UUCUUCUUCCUCCCAAAAAAAUCACUAUCCAGCUCAAGCACGAGUUCUAGCUCAUUUUGCUGCGAUUUUCGAUCUCCUUGCUCAAAGCACCUCUCACAAAACUGCUUUGGGGGAUUGUUCCUUGGUAUGUGACUCCUCCAUUGGUCCAAUUAGUUUUUGUUCUAAUGCUUUAUUCAUUGCAAAUUUGUGCUGCCUAGGUGACCAUGUUCUUGAGCUUGCAUGUCAAAUUUAUAUGGUUCCAACUAGUUCUAAUGCAUGAUAUAGGCUCUAGGCACUUGUAGGAGUAGUUGCUAUCAAUUUUGUUGAGCUUGGUUCACUUUUAUUUGAAGUUACUAAAAAUUUCAGAAAUUUUUCAGAGGAAGAAAUAUGUUUAGGAAAAUGUACCAAGGUGGUUCUUCAAGGAAGCAAGGACCCAGGCUUGCAAUGCGUGAUGCUGAUGAUGAACCACCAAGGGACGCCCCAGUGCGGCCUUGUGAAUGGCCUUCAGAGGACUUCAUGGAUCGAGCAGGAAUUAAGGAAGAAUUUAACGCAUAUUUGCGUAACACCGAUCUUGUGAGCUUCGAGGCAGCCGUCAGUACCACUAUCUCACUUGUUCCUUUGUGAGGAGGUUUGAAUUUUCAUCUUCACGCAAUUCUCAAACUGUCCUGUUUGAUCUUUAUGAAAAUUCUUUUACUAUGGACUUAGAGGAUUUUACCACUGCUUGCAAACUUCCACAAUGGGGUAGUACUAGUGAACCUCGCAAAUCUGAAUUUAGAGAUUUUCUAGCUAGUAUAACUGUGGGGGAAUCUAGAGACAUAGCACAAGCUACCAUAGGGAGCAUUCAUUUUCCUGCUAUACAUUAUUUUGCUCUCUUCGUAGGUAGGUGCAUAAAUGGUAAGGAUGAAGCAUGUCACAUGUGUGUCCCUGACCUCAGUAUUCUUAGGAGUGCCGUGUUAGGAGAUAAAUCUUAUAAUUUGGGAGACAUUGUUGCACGCAAGUUGCAUCAUAAUAGAUUUAAUGGAGAUUUCUUUGGUGGAAUUUAUGCAACCCGUAUAGCUAAUUUUCUUGGUAUAACCAUACGUGAGGAUGAUAUUGAGUUGCCUCCUGCUUAUUUGGAUUAUGAGGCUAUGGUUCAUCAUCAUUUUGUUGAGAAGAACGAUCAGUUCCUCCAGUACCGACUAAUCUUUGACAGACGACGCACCUAUCACGUCGCUCUCCCUGCUUCUACUUUCUUUGACUUUUAGGCAAAAGGGAGAUAUUUUAUAACCAGAGAGGAGGCGGAAGAGUAUAAGAGGAGGGCUAAGAUAGCUCGCCUCCAAGCUGCAGCACACGAUGCAAUGACCGCUGCAUCUCAGUAUGACCCCAACUACAACUAUGGAUAUCCGCCAGGCCAUCCGUGGCAAUAAACCAACUUAGGCCAAAAGCCUAAGCUUGGGGGAGUACAUAUCUCUCCCCGACAUUACAUUCAUGUUCACACACUCAUUGCUAGAUGUCGGUGUUCAUACUCUUUCACUGUAAUAUCCAUGCUAGUUUAUUUUCUUUUUCUUGCUUUCUUCUUGUGUGUUUAAUAAACCUUAAGAAAACCAAAAAAAUAGUGUAGCUUUUAGUUAGUUUACUUUCUUGCUGUAGUAGUAAUAAUUAAAAAGAAAACCCAAAAAGAUUUCCCGUUCUUCUUUUGCUUGUUGAGAGCUUUCCCGUGUAAAUAGUUUUAUUUCUUUUCUUUUCUUUGGGGGUCGAUAGGAGAAGACCUUGAUUAAAUUGUUGAAGUGGCUCUUAUAUGCAUUAUUGUUGAUUUAACCAAGAGCCCAUAUUGCCUUGUCUUCUCCUGUUUAUUGAAUGCUCGCAGAUUCCAGCUUAGUCCAAUGCACGUGCACUCUUAUUAUUUUCACAUUGUUCGGUCGUGCAAGUGAAAGGCAAUUAUGACGAUAUAUGAUGGACUGACUGAGAUGAGAGAAGCUGGUAUGAACUCGACCUCUCUUGUUUUUGGAAAUAUGAUUAGUUCAUCGUUCCUGAUUCAGCCUAUUAUGAAUAAACAUGUUUGCAAUAACAAUUAGAGAUCAUAGUUGCUUAUGCCAUGCUUGAUUAGCUAUGAGUCAUAAUGGUUUACCUUGCGUGCCAACAUGCUAUUAAAAUGGUUGUGAUGUGGUAUGAUGGGGUGGUAUCCUCCUUUGAAUGAUUUAAGUGACUCGACUUGGCACAUGUUCACACAUGUAGUUGAAACAAAUCAACAUAGCCUUCACGAUAUUUAUGUUCAUGGUGGAUUAUAUCCUACUCAUGCUUGCACUCAAUGUUUAUUAAUUUUAAUGCAUGUUCAUGACUGUUGUUGCUCUCUAGUUGGUCGCUUCCCAGUCUUUUGCUAGCCUUCACUUGUACUAAGCGGGAAUACUGCUUGUGCAUCCAAUCCCUUAAACCCCAAAGUUAUUCCAUAUGAGUCCACUAUACCUUCCUAUAUGCAGUAUCUACCUGCCGUUCCAAGUAAAUUUGUAUGUGCCAAACUCUAAACCUUCAAAUGAAAUUCUGUUUUGUAUGCUCGAAAAGCUCAUGUAUCAACUAGGGCUGUCCGUAUCUUCCAUGCUAGGCAGGUUAUUCUCAAGAGGAGUGGACUCCACUCCUCACUCACGAGAAAAUGGCUGGUCACCGGGAUGCCCAGUCCCAUGCUUUAAGAAAAUCAAAUCAAAAUAAUUGCAAACAAAACUCUCCCUGGGACUGUUGUUAGUUGGAGGCACUCGUUGUUUCGAGCAAGCCAUGGAUUGAUGCUUGUUGGUGGAGGGGGAGUAUAAAAUUUACCAUUCUAUUUGGGAACCGCCUAUAAUGUGUGUAGCAUGGAAGAUAUCGCCAUCUCUUGGUUGUUAUGUUGACAAUGAAAGUAUGCCGCUCAAAAUAUUAUUUAUCUCUAUUUCAAAAACCGAGCUCUGGCACCUCUACAAAUCCCUCCUUCCCUCUGCGAAGGGCCUAUCUAUUUACUUUUAUGUUGAGUCAUCACCCUCUUAUUAAAAAGCACCAGCUAGAGAGCACUGCUGUCAUUUGCAUCCAUUAUUAUUAAUUUAUAUUGGGUACGACUAUGAUUGGAUCUCUUUUGCCAUGAAUUACAAUGUCUAGUCAGUCCUUGAUCUUUAAAGCUGCUCUGCAUUUAUGUUUUGCGGUCUCAGAAAGGGCUAGCGAGAUACCAUCCUGUUAUAUCAUAUUAUGAUUGUUUUGAGAAAGUGUUGUCAUCCGAGAUUUAUUAUUAUUGCUCGCUAGUUGAUUAUGUCAUUGAUGUGAUUAAACAUGAGACCUAAGAGUUAUUGUUAAUGUGGUUAGUCAUAAUCUUUGCUGAAAACUUGAAUGCUGGCUUUACAUAUUUACGACAACAAGAGCAAACAGAGUUUGUAAAAGUUUUUCUUUAUCACUUUCAGUUUAUCAACUGAAUUGCUUGAGGACAAGCAAAGGUUUAAGCUUGGGGGAGUUGAUACGUCUCCGUCGUAUCUACUUUUCCAAACACUUUUGCCCUUGUUUUGGACUCUAACUUGCAUGAUUUGAAUGGAACUAACCCGGACUGACGCUGUAUUCAGCAGAAUUGCCAUGGUGUUAUUUAUGUGCAGAAACAAAAGUUCUCAGAAUGACCUGAAACUCCACGGAACAUAUUUUUGGAAAAUAUUAAAAAUACUGGAAGAAGAAUCCACGUCAGGGGGCCUCCACCAGUCCACGAGGGUGGGGGGCGCGCCUGCCCCCUGGGCGCGCCCCCUGCCUCGUGAGCCCCCUGACGCUCCACCGACCUCAACUCCAACUCCAUAUAUUCACUUUCGGGGAUAAAAAAAUCAGGGAGAAAGAUUCAUCGCGUUUUACGAUACGGAGCCGCCGCCAAGCCCUAAACUCUCUCGGGAGGGCUGAUCUGGAGUCCGUUCGGGGCUCCGAAGAGGGGAAUCCUUCGCCGUCGUCAUCAUCAACCAUCCUCCAUCACCAAUUUCAUGAUGCUCACCGCCGUGCGUGAGUAAUUCCAUCGUAGGCUUGCUCGACGGUGAUGGGUUGGAUGAGAUUUAUCAUGUAAUCGAGUUAGUUUUGUUAGGGUUUGAUCCCUAGUAUCCACUAUGUUCUGAGAUUGAUGUUGCUAUGACUUUGCUAUGCUUAAUGCUUGUCACUAGGGCCCGAGUGCCAUGAUUUCAGAUCUAAACCUAUUAUGUUUUCAUGAAUAUAUGUGAGUUCUUGAUCCUAUCUUGCUAGUCUAUAGUCACCUACUAUGUGUUAUGAUCCGGCAACCCCGAAGUGACAAUAAUCGGGACCACUCCCGGUGAUGACUGUAGUUUGAGGAGUUCAUGUAUUCACUAUGUGUUAAUGCUUUGGUCCGGUACUCUAUUAAAAGGAGGCCUUAAUAUCCCUUAGUUUCCGUUAGGACCCCGCUGCCACGAGAGGGUAGGACAAAAGAUGUCAUGCAAGUUCUUUUCCAUAAGCACGUAUGACUAUAUUCGAAAUACAUGCAUACAUUACAUUGAUGAAUUGGAGCUAGUUCCGUGUCACCCUAUGUUAUGAUUGUUACAUGAUGAACCGCAUCCGGCAUAAUUCUCCAUCACCGAUCCAAUGCCUACGAGCUUUUCACAUAUUGUUCUUUGCUUAUUUACUUUUCCGUUGCUACUGUUACAAUCACUACAAAACCCAAAAAUAUUACUUUUGCUAUCGUUACCGUUACUUCCAUACUACUUUGCUAUUAAAUACUUUGCUGUAGAUAUUAAGUUAUCCAGGUGUGGUUGAAUUGACAACUCAACUGCUAAUACUUGAGAAUAUUCUUUGGCUCCCCUUGUGUCGAAUCAAUAAAUUUGGGUUGAAUAUACCCUCAAAAACUGUUGCGAUCCCCUAUACUUGUGGGUUAUCAGCGUAGCACAGGAAGACGUUUCUGUGGUGCCUGCACCGACUAGAGAGGAAGUUAAUGAUGAUGAUCAUGAAACUUCGGAUCAAGUUGGUACUGAACUUCGUAGGUCCACAAGGACACGUUCCGCACCAGAGUGGUACGGCAACCCUGUCCUGGAAAUCAUGUUGUUAAACAAUGGUGAACCUUUGAACUAUGAAGAAGCGAUGGCGGGCCCAGGUUCCGACAAAUGGCUUGAAGCCAUGAAAUCCGAGAUAGGAUCCAUGUAUGAAAACGAAGUAUGGACUUUGACUGACUUGCCCGAUGAUCGGCGAGCCAUAGAAAAUAUAUGGAUCUUUAAGAAGAAGACAGACGCGGAUGGUAAUGUGACCAUCGAUAAGGCUUGGCUUGUCGCUAAGGGUUAUCGACAAGUUCAAGGGGUUGACUAUGAUGAUACCUUCUCACCCGUAGCGAAGCUGAAGUCCGUCUGAAUCAUGUUAGCAAUUGCCGCAUUCUAUGAUUAUGAGAUAUGGCAAAUGGACGUCAAAACGGCAUUCCUUAAUGGUUUCCUUAAGGAAGAAUUGUAUAUGAUGCAGCCGGAAGGUUUUGUCGAUCCUAAGAAUGCUGACAAGGUAUGCAAGCUCCAGCGCUCAAUCUAUGGGAUGGUGCAAGCAUCUCGGAGUUGGAACAUUCGCUUUGAUGAGAUGAUCAAAGCGUUUGGGUUUACACAGACUUAUGGAGAAGCCUGUGUUUACAAGAAAGUGAGUGGGAGCUCUGUAGCAUUUCUCAUAUUGUAUGUGGAUGACAUACUAUUAAUGGGAAAUGAUAUAGAAUUCUUGGAAAGCAUAAAGGCCUACUUGAAUAAGUGUUUUUCAAUGAAGGACCUUGGAGAAGCUGCUUAAAUAUUAGGCAUCAAGAUCUAUAUAGAUAGAUCGAGACGCCUCAUUGGUCUUUCACAAAGCACAUACCUUGACAAGAUAUUGAAGAAGUUCAAUAUGGAUCAGUCCAAGAAGGGGUUCUUGCCUGUAUUGCAAGGUAUGAGAUUGAGCACGGCUCAAUUCCCGACCACGGCAGAAGAUAGAGAAAAGAUGAGUGUCAUCCCCUAUGCCUCAGCCAUAGGGUCUAUUAUGUAUGCCAUGCUGUGUACCAGACCUGAUGUGAACCUUGCCGUAAGUUUAGUAGGAAGGUACCAAAGUAAUCCCGGCAUGGAACACUGGACAGUGGUCAAGAAUAUCCUGAAGUACCUGAAAAGGACUAAGGAUAUGUUUCUCGUUUAUGGAGGUGACGAAGAGCUCGUCGUAAAGGGUUAUGUCGAUGCUAGCUUCGACACAAAUCUGGAUGACUCCAAGUCGCAGACCGGAUACGUGUAUAUUUUGAAUGGUGGGGCAGUCAGCUGGUGCAGUUGCAAGCAAAGCGUCGUGGCGAGAUCUACAUGUGAAGCGGAGUACAUGGUAGCGUCGGAGGCAGCACAUGAAGCAAUCUAGAUGAAGGAGUUCAUUACCGACCUAGGAGUUAUUCCCAAUGCGUCGGGCCCGAUGACUCUAUUCUGUGACAACACUGGAGAUAUUGCCGUUGCCAAGGAGCCCAGGUUUCACAAGAAGACCAGGCAUAUCAAGCGUCGCUUCAACUCCAUUCGUGAAAAUGCUCAAGAUGGAGACAUAGAUAUUUGUAAAGUGCAUACGGAUCUGAAUGUCGCAGAUCCGUUGACUAAACCUCUUCCACGAGCAAAACAUGAUCGACACCAGAACUCUAUGGGUGUUCGAUUCAUCACAAUGUAACUAGAUUAUUGACUCUAGUGCAAGUGGGAGACUGUUGGAAAUAUGCCCUAGAGGAAAUAAUAAAAUGGUUAUUAUUAUAUUUCCUUGUUCAUGAUAAUUGUCUAUUGUUCAUGCUAUAAUUGUGUUAUCCGGAAAUCGUAAUAAAUGUGUGAAUACAUAGACCACAACAUGUCCCUAGUGAGCCUCUAGUUGACUAGCUCGUUGAUCAAUAGAUGGUUACGGUUUCCUGACCAUGGACAUUGGAUGUCGUUGAUGAAGGAAAUAUGCCCUAGAGGCAAUAAUAAAGUUAUUAUUUAUUUCCUUAUAUCAUGAUAAAUGUUUAUUAUUCAUGCUAGAAUUGUAUUAACCGGAAACAUAUUGUGUGAAUACAUAGACAAACAGAGUGUCACUAGUAUGCCUCUACUUGACUAGCUCGUUGAUCAAAGAUGGUAAUGUUUCCUAGCCAUUGACAUGAGUUGUCAUUUGAUUAACGGGAUCGCAUCAUUAGGAGAAUGAUGUGAUUGACUUGACCCAUUCCUUUAGCUUAGCACACGAUCAUUUAGUAUUCUGCUAUUGCUUUCUUCAUGACUUAUACAUGUUCCUAUGACUAUGAGAUUAUGCAACUCCCGUUUACCGGAGGAACACUUUGUGUGCUACCAAACGUCACAACGAAACUGGGUGAUUAUAAAGGUUCUCUACAGGUGUCUCCGAAGGUACUUGUUGGGUUGGCGUAUUUCGAGAUUAGGAUUUGUCACUCCGAUUGUCGGAGAGGUAUCUCUAGGCCCACUCGGUAAUGCACAUCACUAUAAGCCUUGCAAGCAUUGCAACUAAUGAGUUAGUUGAAGGAUGAUGUAUUACAGAACGAGUAAAGAGACUUGCCGGUAACGAGAUUGAACUAGGUAUUGAGAUACCGACGAUCGAAUCUCGGGCAAGUAACAUACCGAUGAUAAAGGGAACAACGUAUGUUGUUAUGCGGUCUGACCGAUAAAGAUCUUCGUAGAAUAUGUGGGAACCAAUAUGAGUAUCCAGGUUCCGCUAUUGGUUAUUGACCGGAGAUGUGUCUCGGUCAUGUCUACAUAGUUCUCGAACCCGUAGGGUCCGCACGCUUAAAGUUUGAUGACGGUUAUAUUAUGAGUUUAUGUGUUUUGAUGUACCGAAGAUAGUUUGGAAUCCAGGAUGUGAUCACGGACAUGACGAGGAGUCUCGAAAUGGUCGAGACAUAAAGAUUGAUAUAUUGGAAGCCUAUAUUUGGAUAUCGGAAGUGUUCCGGGUGAAAUCAGGAUUUUACCGGAGUACCGGGGGUUACCGGAAACCCCCCCGGGGGUUUAAUGGGCCUACAUGGGCCAUAGUGGAGAAGAGGAGGGGCGGCCAGGGCAGGCCGCGCGCCCCCUCCCCCUCAAGUCCGAAUUGGACAAGGAGGGGGGGCGCCCCCCUUUCCUUCCUCUCUCCCUCCUCCUUCCCCCUUCUCCUACUCCAACUAGGAAAGGAGGGAGUCCUACUCCCGGUGGGAGUAGGACUCCUCCUGGCGCGCCUCCUCCUGGCCGGCCGCCUCUCCCUCCCUUGCUCCUUUAUAUACAGGGGCAGGGGGUGUUGGAAAUAUGCCCUAGAGGCAAUAAUAAAAUGGUUAUUAUUGUAUUUCCUUGUUCAUGAUAAUUGUCUGUUGUUCAUGCUAUAAUUGUAUUAACUGGAAACCGUAAUACAUGUGUGAAUACAUAGACCACAACAUGUCCCUAGUAAGCCUCUAGUUGACUAGCUCGUUGAUCAAUAGAUGGUUAUGGUUUCCUGACCAUGGACAUUGGAUGUCAUUGAUAACGGGAUCACAUCAUUAGGAGAAUGAUGUGAUGGACAAGACCCAAUCCUACGCAUAGCACAAGAUCGUGUAGUUCGUUUGCUAGAGCUUUUCUAAUGUCAAGUAUCAUUUCCUUAGACCAUGAGAUUGUGCAACUCCAGGAUACCGUAGGAAUGCUUUGGGUGUACCAAACGUCACAACGUAACUGGGUGGCUAUAAAGGUGCACUACAGGUAUCUCCGAAAGUGUCUGUUGGGUUGGCACGAAUCGAGACUGGGAUUUGUCACUCCGUAUGACGGAGAGGUAUCUCUGGGCCCACUCGGUAAUGCAUCAUCAUAAUGAUCUCAAUGUGACCAAGUGUUUGGUCACGGGAUCAUGCAUUACGAUACGAGUAAAGUGACUUGCCGGUAACGAGAUUGAACAAGGUAUUGGGAUACCGAUGAUCGAAUCUCGGGCAAGUAACGUACCGAUUGACAAAGGGAAUUGUAUACGGGAUUGAUUGAAUCCUCGACAUCGUGGUUCAUCCGAUGAGAUCAUCGUGGAACAUGUGGGAGCCAACAUGGGUAUCCAGAUCCCGCUGUUGGUUAUUGACCGGAGAGUCGUCUCGGUCAUGUCUGCAUGUCUUCCGAACCCGUAGGGUCUACACACUUAAGGUUCGGUGACGCUAGGGUUGUAGAGAUAUUAGUAUGCGGAAAUCCGAAAGUCGUUCGGAGUCCCGGAUGAGAUCCCGGACGUCACGAGGAGUUCCGGAAUGGUCCGGAGGUAAAGAUUUAUAUAUGGGAAGUCCUAUUUUGGCCACCGGAAAAUGUUCGGGAUUUUUCGGUAUUGUACCGGGAAGGUUCUAGAAGGUUCGGAAGUGGGGCCCACCUGCAUGGGGGGACCCACAUGAACGUGGGUAGUGGGGGCAAGGCCCCACACCCCUGGUCAAGGCGCACCAAGAUCCCACCUUAGAAGGAAUAAGAUCAUAUCCCGAAGGGAUAAGAUCAAGAUCCCUAAAAAAGGGGGAUAACAAUCGGUGGGGAAGGGAAAUGAUGGGAUUUCUUUCCCCCACCUUUGCCAACGCCCCAAUGGACUUGGAGGGCAAGAAACCAGCCCCCUCCACCCCUAUAUAUAGUGGGGAGGCGCAUGGGAGCAGCACCCCAAGCCCUGGCGCCUCCCUCCCUCCCGUGACACCUCUUCCUCCCCGCUUGCGCUUGGCGAAGCCCUGGCGCCUCCCUCCCUCCCGUGACACCUCUUCCUCCCCGCUUGCGCUUGGCGAAGCCCUGCCGGGAUCCCGCUACUUCCACCACCACGCCGUCGUGCUGCUGGAUCUCCAUCAACUUCUCCUCCCCCCUUGCUGGAUCAAGAAGGAGGAGACGUCCCCGCUCCGUAUGUGUGUUGAACGCGGAGGUGCCGUCCGUUCGGCGCUAGGAUCAUCGGUGAUUUGGAUCACGACGAGUACGACUCCAUCAACCCCGUUCUCUUGAACGCUUCCGCUCGCGAUCUACAAGGGUAUGUAUAUGUACUCCUCCCCUCUCGUUGCUAGCAUCUCCUAGAUUGAUCUUGGUGACACGUAGGAAAUUUUUGAAUUUCUGCUACGUUCCCCAAGAGUGGCAUCAUGAGCCAGGUCUAUGCGUAGAUUCUAUGCACGAGUAGAACACAAAGUAGUUGUGGGCGAUGAUUUGUUCAAUUUGCUUGCCAUUACUAGUCUUAUCUUGAUUCGGCAGCAUUGUGGGAUGAAGCGGCCCGGACCGACCUUACACGUACUCUUACGUGAGACAGGUUCCACCGACUGACAUGCACUUGAUGCAUAAGGUGGCUAGCGGGUGUCUGUCUCUCCCACUUUAGUUGGAUCAGAUUUGAUGAAAAGGGUCCUUAUGAAGGGUAAAUAGCAAUUGGCAUAUCACCGUUGUGGCUUUUGCGUAGGUAAGAAACGUUCUUGCGAGAAACCCAUAGCAGCCACGUAAAACAUGCAACAACAAUUAGAAGACGUCUAACUUGUUUUUGCAGGGUAUGCUAUGUGAUGUGAUAUGGCCAAAAGGAUGUGAUGAAUUAUAUAUGUGAUGUAUGAGAUUGAUCAUGUUCUUGUAAUAGGAAUCACGACUUGCAUGUCGAUGAGUAUGACAACCGGCAGGAGCCAUAGGAGUUGUCUUAAUUUAUUGUAUGACCUGCGUGUCAAUGAAAACGCCAUGUAAUUACUUUACUUUAUUGCUAACCGUUAGCCAUAGUAGUAGAAGUAAUAGUUGGCGAGACAACUUCAUGAAGACACGAUGAUGGAGAUCAUGAUGAUGGAGAUCAUGGUGUCAUGCCGGUGAUGAAGGUGAUCAUGCCGCGCCUCGAAGAUGGAGAUCAAAGGCGCAAGAUGAUAUUGGCCAUAUCAUCUCACUUUAUGAUUUGCAUGUGAUGUUUGUCAUGUUUACAUCUUAUUUGCUUAGAACGACGGUAGCAUAAAUAAGAUGAUCCCUCACUAAAAUUUCAAGAGAUGUGUUCCCCCUAACUGUGCACCGUUGCGAAGGUUCGUUGUUUCGAAGCACCACGUGAUGAUCGGGUGUGAUAGAUUCUAAUGUUCGCAUACAACGGGGGUUGACGAGCCUAGCAUGUACAGACAUGGCCUCGGAACACAAGCAAAACACUUAGGUUGACUUGACGAGCUUAGCAUGUACAGACAUGGCCUCGGAACACAAGAGACUGAAAGGUCGAACAUGAGUCGUAUAGUAGAUACGGUCAACAUGGAGAUGUUCACCGAUGAUGACUAGUCCGUCUCACGUGAUGAUCGGACACGGCCUAGUCGAUUCGGAUCAUGUAUCACUUAGAUGACUAGAGGGAUGUCUAUCUAAGUGGGAGUUCAUUAAAUAAUCAGAUGAACUUAAUUAUCAUGAACAUAGUCAAAAGGUCUUUGCAAAUAAUGUCGUAGUUUACGCUUUAGUUCUACUAAGAUAUGUUCCUAGAGAAAAUUUAGUUGAAAGUUGAUAGUAGCAAUUAUGCGGACUGGGUCCGUAAACUGAGGAUUGUCCUCAUUGCUGCACAGAAGGCUUAUGUCCUUAAUGCACCGCUCGGUGUGCUGAACCUCGAGCGUCGUUUGUGGAUGUUGCGAACAUCUGACAUACACGUUUUGAUGACUACGUGAUAGUUCAGUGCGUAAUGUUGAACGGUUUAAAAUUGUGGCACCAAAGACGGUUUUGAAACGUCGCAGAACAUAUGAGAUGUUCCAAGGACUGAAAUUGGGAUUUCAUACUAGUGCCCACGUCAAGAGGUAUGAGACCUCUGACAAGUUUCUUAAGCCUGCAAACUAAGGGAGAAAAGCUCAAUCGCUGAGCAUGUGCUCAGAUUGUCUGAGUACUACAAUCACUUGAAUCGAGCGGGAGUUAAUCUUCCAGAUGAGAUAGUGAUGGUUCUCCAUAGUCACUGCCACCAAGCUAUUAGAGCUUCGUGAUGAACUAUAACAUAUCAGGGAUAGACAUGAUGAUCCUUGAGCAACUCGCGAUGUUUGACACCGCGAAAGUAGAAAUCAAGUAGGAGCAUCAAUUGUUGAUGGUUAGUAAAACCACUAGUUUCUAGAAGGGCAAGGGCAAGAAGGGAUACUUCAUGAAACGGCAAAUCAGUUGCUGCUCUAGUGAAGAAACCCAAGGUUGAACCCAAACCCGAGACUAAGUGCUUCUGAAAUGAGGGGAAUGGUCACUGAAGCAGAACUACCCUAGAUACUUCGUAGAUGAGAAGGCUGGCAAGGUCGACAGAAGUAUAUUGGAUAUACAUUAUAUUAAUGUGUACUUUACUAGUACUCCUAGUAGCACCAGGGUAUUAGAUACCGGUUCGGUUGCUAAGUGUUAGUGACUCGAAAUAAAAGCUGCGGAAUAAACGGAGACUAGCUAAAGGUGAGAUGACGAUAUGUGUUUCCAAGGUUGAUGUGAUCAAGCAUCGCAUGCUCCCUCUACCAUCGAGAUUGGGGUUAAACCUGAAUAAUUGUUAUUUGGUGGUUGCGUUAAGCAUAGACAUGAUUGGAUUAUGUUUAUCGCAAUACGGUUAUUCAUUAAAGGAGAAUAAUGGUUACUCUGUCUAUUUGAAUAAUACCUUCAAUGGUCUUGCACCUAAAAUGAAUGGUUUAUUGAAUCUCGAUCGUAGUGAUACACAUGUUCAUGCCAAAAGAUAUAAGAUAGUAAUGAUAGUACCACAUACUUGUGGCACUGCCACUUGAGUCAUAUUGGUAUAAAACGCAUGAAGAAGCUCCAUGUUGAUGGAUCUUUGGACUCACUCGUUUUUGAAAAGAUUGAGACAUGCGAACCAUGUCUAUUAGUAUAUAUGCAUGAAGAAAGUCCAUACAGAUGGAUCAUUUGGACUCACUUGAUUUUGAAUCACUUGAGACAUGCAAAUCAUACCACAUGGGCAAGAUGACUGAAAUGCCUCGUUUUCAGUAAGAUGGAACGAGAGCAACUUGUUGGAAGUAAUACAUUUGAUGUGUGCAGUCCAAUGAGUGCUGAGGCACGCAGUGGAUAUCGUUAUGUUCUUACUUCACAGAUGAUUUGCGUAGAUGCUGAGAAUAUUUACUUGAUGAAACACAAGUCUGAAUUAUUGAAAGGUUCAAGUAAUUUCAGAGUGAAGUUGAAGAUCGUCGUGACAAGAGGAUAAAAUGUCUGUGAUAUGAUCAUAGAGAUGAAUAUCUGAGUUACGAGUUUGCACACAAUUAAGAAAUUGUGGAAAUUGUUUCACGACUAAUACCGCCUGGAACACCAUAUUGUGAUGGUGUGUCCGAACAUCAUAACUGCACCCUAUUGGAUAUGGUGCAUACCAUGAUGUCUCUUAUCGAAUUACAACUAUCGUUUAUGGGUUAGGCAUUAGAGACAACCGCAUUCACUUUAAAUAGGGCACCACGCAAUUCCGUUAAGACGACACCGUAUGAACUGUGGUUUAGAGAAACCUAAGCUGUCGUCUCUUAAAAGUUUGGGGCUGCGACGCUUAUGUGAAAAAGUUUCAGGCUGAUAAGCUCGAACCAAGCGGAUAAAUGCAUCUUCAUAGAAUACCCAAAAAAGUUGGGUAUACCUCCUAUUUCAGAUCUGGAAGAAAAAGUGAUUGUUUCUAGAAACGGGUCCUUUCUCGAGGAAAAGUUUCUCUCGAAAGAAUUGAGUGGGAGGAUGGUGGAGACUUGAUGAGGUCAUUGAACCGUCACUUCAACUAAUGUGUAGCAGGGCACAGGAAGUUGUUCCUGUGGCACCUACACCAAUUGAAGUGGAAGCUUAUGAUAGUGAUCAUGAAACUUCAGAUCAAGUCACUACCAAACCUCAUAGGACGACAAGGAUGCAUACUACUUCAGAGUGGUACGUAAUCCUGUCUUGGAAGUCAUGUUGCUAGACAACAAUGAACCUACGAGCUAUGGAGAAGCGAUGGUGGGCCCGGAUUCCGACGAAUGGCUUGAGGCCAUAAAAUCCGAGAGGAUCCAUGUAUGAAAACAAAGUAUAGACUUUGAAAGAACUACUUGAUGGUCGUAAGGCUGUUGGGUACAGAUGGAUUUUAAAGGGAAGACAGACAAUGAUGGUAAGUGUCACCAUUAAGAAAGCUCGACUUGUCGUUAAGAUGUUUUCCGGCAAGUUCAAGGAGUUGACUGCGAUGAGACUUUCUCACUCGUAGCGAUGCUAAGAGUCUGUUAGAAUUAUAUUAGCAGUUACUGCAUUAUUUAUGAAAUCUUGCAGAUAGGAUGUCAAAACAUUGUUUCCUCGACGAUUUUCUUGAGGAAAGGUUGUAUGUGAUACAACCAGAAGGUUUUGUCAAUCCUGAAAGAUGCUAACAAGUAUGCAAAGCUCCAGCAAUCCUUCUAAGGAUUGGAGUAAGCAUCUCGGAGUUGGAAUGAACGCUUUGAUGAGAUGAUCAAAGAUUUUGGGUUUAUACAAGGUUCGUGAGAAACUUGUAUUUCCAAAGAAGUGAGUGGGAGCACUAUAGAAUUUUUGAUGAGUAUAUGUUGUUAACAUAUUGUUGAUCGGAAAUGAUGUAGAAUUUCUGGAAAGCAUCCAGGGUUAUUUGAAAAGUGUUUUUUAAUGGAAAACCUGGAUUAAGCUACUUGAACAUUGAGCAUCAAGAUCUAUAAGGAUAGAUCAAAAAACGCUUAAUAGUACUUCCAAAUGAAUACAUACCGUGACAAGAUUUUGAGGGAGUUCAAAAUAGAUCAGCAAAGAAGGAAUUCUUGGCCGUGUUACAAGGUGUGAGUAUUGAGUAAGACUCAAGACCUGACCACGGCAGAAGAGAGAGAAAGGACGAAGGUCGUCCCCUAUGCUUUAGACGUAGGCUCUACAGUAUGCUAUGCUGUGUACCGCACCUGAAGUGUGCCUUGCCAUGUGUUAGUCAAGGGGUACAAUAGUGAUCCGGGAAUGGAUCACAUGACUGCGGUCGAACUUAUCCUUAGUAUCUAGUGGACUAAGGAAUUUUCUCGAUUAUGGAGGUGGUAAAACAGUUCGUCGUAAAGGGUUACGUCGAUGCAAACUUUGACACUAAUCCGGAUGACUCUGAGUAGUAAACCGGAUUCGUAUAGUAGAGCAGUUAUUUGGAAUAGCUCCAAGUAGCGCGUGGUAGCUACAUCCACAAGAUGACAUAGAGAUUUGUAAAGCACACACGGAUCUUAAUGUUGCAGACCCGUUGACUAAAACCUCUCUCGUAAGCAUAACAUGAUCAAACCCUAGAACUCAUUGAGUGUUAAUCACAUGGUGAUGUGGACUAGAUUAUUGACUCUAGUGAACUUUGAGUGUUAAUCACAUGGUGAUGUGAACUAGAUUAUUGACUCUAGUGCAAGUGGGAGACUGUUGGAAAUAUGCCCUAGAGGCAAUAAUAAAAUGGUUAUUAUUGUAUUUCCUUGUUCAUGAUAAUUGUAUGUUGUUCAUGCUAUAAUUGUAUUAACUGGAAACCGUAAUACAUGUGUGAAUACAUAGACCACAACAUGUCCCUAGUAAGCCUCUAGUUGACUAGCUUGUUGAUCAAUAGAUGGUUAUGGUUUCCUGACCAUGGACAUUGGAUGUCAUUGAUAACGGGAUCACAUCAUUAGGAGAAUGAUGUGAUGGACAAGACCCAAUCCUAAGCAUAGCACAAGAUCGUGUAGUUUGUUUGCUACAGCUUUUCUAAUGUCAAGUAUCAUUUCCUUAGAACAUGAGAUUGUGCAACUCCCGGAUACCGUAGGAAUGCUUUGGGUGUACCAAACGUCACAACGUAACUGGGUGGCUAUAAAGGUACACUACAGGUAUCUCCGAAAGUGUCUGUUAGGUUGGCACGAAUCGAGACUGGGAUUUGUCACUCCGUAUGACGGAGAGGUAUCUCUGGGCCCACUCGAUAAUGCAUCAUCAUAAUGAGCUCAAUGUGACCAAGUGUUUGGUCACGGGAUCAUGCAUUACGGUACGAGUAAAGUGACUUGCCAGUAACGAGAUUGAACAAGGUAUUGGGAUACCGACGAUCGAAUCUCGGGCAAGUAACGUACCGAUUGACAAAGGGAAUUGUAUACGGGAUUGAUUGAAUCCUCGACAUCGUGGUUCAUCCGAUGAGAUCAUCGUGGAACAUGUGGGAGCCAACAUGGGUAUCCAGAUCCCGCUGUUGGUUAUUGACCGGAGAGUCGUCUUGGUCAUGUCUGCAUGUCUCCCGAACCCGUAGGGUCUACACACUUAAGGUUCGGUGACGCUAGGGUUGUAGAGAUAUUAGUAUGCGGAAAUCCGAAAGUUGUUCGGAGUCCCGGAUGAGAUCCCGGACGUCACGAGGAGUUCCGGAAUGGUCCGGAGGUAAAGAUUUAUAUAUGGGAAGUCCUAUUUUGGCCACCGGAAAAUGUUCAGGAUUUUUCGGUAUUGUACCGGGAAGGUUCUAGAAGGUUCGGAAGUGGGGCCCACCUGCAUGGGGGGACCCACAUGAACGUGGGUAGUGGGGGCAAGGCCCCACACCCCUGGUCAAGGCGCACCAAGAUCCCACCUUAGAAGGAAUAAGAUCAUAUCCCGAAGGGAUAAGAUCAGGAUCCCUAAAAAAGGGGGAUAACAAUCGGUGGGGAAGGGAAAUGAUGGGAUUUCUUUCCCCCACCUUUGCCAACGCCCCAAUGGACUUGGAGGGCAAGAAACCAGCCCCCUCCACCCCUAUAUAUAGUGGGGAGGCGCAUGGGAGCAGCACCCCAAGCCCUGGCGCCUCCCUCCCUCCCGUGACACCUCUUCCUCCCCGCUUGCGCUUGGCGAAGCCCUGGCGCCUCCCUCCCUCCCGUGACACCUCUUCCUCCCCGCUUGCGCUUGGCGAAGCCCUGCCGGGAUCCUGCUACUUCCACCACCACGCCGUCAUGCUGCUGGAUCUCCAUCAACUUCUCCUCCCCCCUUGCUGGAUCAAGAAGGAGGAGACAUCCCCGCUCCGUACGUGUGUUGAAUGCGGAGGUGCCGUCCGUUCGGCGCUAGGAUCAUCGGUGAUUUGGAUCACGACGAGUACGACUCCAUCAACCCCGUUCUCUUGAACGCUUCCGCUCGCGAUCUACAAGGGUAUGUAGAUGCACUCCUCCCCUCUCGUUGCUAGCAUCUCCUAGAUUGAUCUUGGUGACACGUAGGAAAAUUUUGAAUUUCUGCUACGUUCCCCAAGAGGGGGCACCCCAUAGACACAACAAUUGAUCUCUUAGCCGUGUGCGGUGCCCCCCUCCACCAUAAUCCACCUCGAUAAUAUCGUAGCGGUGCUUAGGCGAAGCCCUGCGUCGGUAGAACAUCAUCAUCGUCACCACGCCUCAUGCUGACGGAACUCUCCCUCAAAGCUUGGCUGGAUCGGAGUUCGAGGGACAUCAUCGAGCUGAACGUGUGCUGAACUCGGAGGUGCCGUGCGUUCGGUACUUGAUCGGUCGGAUUAUGAACACGUACGACUACAUCAACCGCGUUGUGCUAACGCUUCCGCUUUCGGUCUACGAGGGUACGUGGACAACACUCCCCCCUCUCGUUGCUAUGCAUCACCAUGAUCCUGUGUGUGCGUAGGAAAUUUUUUGAAAUUAGUACGUUCCCCAACAGUGGAAUCCGAGCCAGGUUUUAUGCGUAGAUGUUAUAUGCACGAGUAGAACACAAGUGAGUUGUGGGCGAUAUAAGUCAUACUGCUUACUUGCAUGUCAUACUUUGGUUCGGCGGUAUUGUUGGAUGAAGCGGCCCGGACCGACAUUACGCGUACGCUUACGCGAGACUGGUUCUACCGACGUGCUUUGCACACAGGUGGCUGGCGGGUGUCAGUUUCUCCAACUUUAGUUGAACCGAGUGUGGCUACGCCCGGUCCUUGAGAAGGUUAAAACAGCACUAACUUGACAAACUAUCGUUGUGUUUUUGAUGCGUAGGUAAGAACAGUUCUUGCUCAGCCCGUAGCAGCCACGUAAAACUUGCAACAACAAAGUAGAGGACGUCUAACUUGUUUUUGCAGGGCAUGUUGUGAUGUGAUAUGGUCAAGGCAUGAUGCUAUAUUUUAUUGUAUGAGAUGAUCAUGUUUUGUAACCGAGUUAUCGGCAACUGGCAGGAGCCAUAUGGUUGUUGCUUUAUUGUAUGCAAUGCAAUCGCCCUGUAAUGCUUUACUUUAUCACUAAGCGGUAGCGAUAGUCGUAGAAGCAUAAGUUGGCGAGACAACAACUAUGCUACGAUGGAGAUAAAGGUGUCGCGCCGGUGACGAUGGUGAUCAUGACGGUGCUUCGGAGAUGGAGAUCACAAGCACAAGAUGAUGAUGGCCAUAUCAUAUCACUUAUAUUGAUUGCAUGUGAUGUUUAUCUUUUAUGCAUCUUAUCUUGCUUUGAUUGACGGUAGCAUUAUAUGAUGAUCUCUCACUAAAUUAUCAAGGUAUAAGUGUUCUCCCUGAGUAUGCAUCAUUGCGAAAGUUCUUCGUUCUGAGACACCACAUGAUGACCGGGUGUGAUAGGCUCUACGUUCAAAUACAACGGGUGCAAAACAGUUGCACACGCGGAAUACUCAGGUUAAAAUUGACGAGCCUAGCAUAUGCAGAUAUGGCCUCGGAACACUGAGACUGAAAGGUCGAGCGUGAAUCAUAUAGUAGAUAUGAUCAACAUAGUGAUGUUCACCAUUGAACUACUCCAUCUCACAUGAUGAUCGGACAUGGUUUAGUUGAUUUGGAUCACGUGACCACUUAGAGGAUUAGAGGGAUGUCUAUCUAAGUGGGAGUUCUUAAGUAAUAUGAUUAACUGAACUUAAAUUUAUCAUGAACUUAGUACCUGAUAGUAUUUUGCUUGUCUAUGUUGAUUGUAGAUAGAUGGCCCGUGCUGUUGUUCCGUUGAAUUUUAAUGCGUUCCUUGAGAAAGCAAAGUUGAAAGAUGAUGGUAGCAAUUACACGGACUGGGUCCAUAACUUGAGGAUUAUCCUCAUUGCUGCACAGAAGAAUUACGCCCUGGAAGCACCGCUAGGUGCCAGACCUGCUGCAGGAGCAACACCAGAUGUUAUGAACGUCUGGCAGAGCAAAGCUGAUGACUACUCGAUAGUUCAGUGUGCCAUGCUUUAUGGCUUAGAACUGGGACUUCAACGACGUUUUGAACGUCAUGGAGCAUAUGAGAUGUUUCAGGAGUUGAAGUUAAUAUUUCAAGCAAAUGCCCGGAUUGAGACAUAUGAAGUCUCCAAUAAGUUCUACAGCUGUAAGAUGGAGGAGAACAGUUCUAUCAGUGAGCAUAUACUUAGAAUGUCUGGGUAUAACAAUCACUUGAUUCAACUGGGAGUUAAUCUUCCGGAUGAUAGCGUCAUUGACAGAAUUCUUCAAUCACUGCCACCAAGCUACAAGAGCUUCGUGAUGAACUAUAACAUGCAAGUGAUGGAUAAGACGAUUCCCGAGCUCUUCGCAAUGCUAAAGGUUGCGGAGGUAGAAAUUAAGAAGGAGCAUCAAGUGUUGAUGGUCAACAAGACCACCAGUUUCAAGAAAAAGGGCAAAGGGAAGAAGAAGGGGAACUUCAAGAAGAACAACAAACAAGUUGCUGCUUAGGAGAAGAAACCCAAGUCUGGACCUAAGCCUGAGACUGAGUGCUUCUACUGCAAACAGACUGGUCACUGGAAGCGGAACUGCCCCAAGUAUUUGGCGGAUAAGAAGGGUGGCAAGGUGAACAAAGGAAUAUGUGAUAUACAUGUUAUUGAUGUGUACCUUACUAAUGCUCACAGUAGCACCUGGGUAUUUGAUACUGGUUCUGUUGCUAAUAUUUGCAACUCGAAACAGGGACUACGGAUUAAGCGAAGAUUGGCUAAGGACGAGGUGACGAUGCGCGUGGGAAAUGGUUCCAAAGUCGAUGUGAUCGCGGUCGGCACGCUACCUCUACAUCUACCUUCGGGGUUAGUUUUAGACCUGAAUAAUUGUUAUUUGGUGCCAGUGUUGAGCAUGAACAUUAUAUCUGGAUCUUGUUUGAUGCGAGACGGUUAUUCAUUUAAAUCAGAGAAUAAUGGUUGUUCUAUUUAUAUGUGUAAUAUGUUUUAUGGUCAUGCACCCUUGAAGAGUGGUCUAUUUUUUGUUGAAUCUCGAUAGUAGUGAUACACAUAUUCAUAAUAUUGAAGCCAAAAGAUGCAGAGUUGUUAAUGAUAGUGCAACUUAUUUGUGGCACUGCCGUUUAGGUCAUAUUGGUGUAAAGCGCAUGAAGAAACUCCAUACUGAUGGACUUUUGGAACCACUUGAUUAUGAAUCACUUGGUACUUGCGAACCGUGCCUCAUGGGCAAGAUGACUAAAACGCCGUUCUCCGAAACUAUGGAGCGAGAAACAGAUUUGUUGGAAAUCAUACAUACAGAUGUAUGUGGACCGAUGAAUGUUGAGGCUCGCGGCGGGUAUCAUUAUUUUCUCACCUUCACAGAUGAUUUAAGUAGAUAUGGGUAUAUCUACUUAAUGAAACAUAAGUCUGAAACAUUUGAAAAGUUCAAAGAAUUUCAGAGUGAAGUUGAAAAUCAUCGUAACUAGAAAAUAAAGUUUCUACAUUCUGAUCGUGGAGGAGAAUAUUUGAGUUACGAGUUUGGUCUUCAUUUGAAACAAUGCGGAAUAGUUUCGCAACUCAUGCCACCCGGAACACCACAGCGUAAUGGUGUGUCCGAAUGUCGUAAUCGUACUUUACUAGAUAUGGUGCGAUCUAAGAUGUCUCUUACUGAUUUACCGCUAUUGUUUUGGGGUUAUGCUUUAGAGACGGCUGCCUUCACAUUAAAUAGGGCACCAUCAAAAUCCGUUGAGAUGACGCCUUAUGAACUGUGGUUUGGCAAGAAACCAAAGUUGUCGUUUCUUAAAGUUUGGGGCUACGAUGCUUAUGUGAAAAAGCUUCAACCUGAUAAGCUCGAACCCAAAUCGGAGAAAUGUGUCUUCAUAGGAUACCCAAAGGAAACUGUUGGGUACACCUUCUAUCACAGAUCUGAAGGCAAGAUUUUUGUUGCUAAAUUUGGAUCCUUUCUAGAGAAGGAGUUUCUCUCGAAAGAAGUGAGUGGGAGGAAAGUAGAACUUGAUGAGGUAACUGUACCUGCUCCCUUAUUGGAAAGUAGUUCAUCACAGAAACCGGUUCCUGUGACACCUACACUAAUUAGCGAGGAAGUUAAUGAUGAUGAUCAUGAAACUUCAGAUCAAGUUGUUACUGAACCUUGUAGGUCAACCAGAGUAAGAUCCACACCAGAGUGGUACGGUAAUCCUGUUCUGGAGGUUAUGUUACUAGACCAUGACGAACCUACGAACUAUGAAGAAGCGAUGGUGAGCCCAGAUUCCGCAAAAUGGCUUGAGGCCAUGAAUCUGAGAUGGGAUCCAUGUAUGAAAACAAAUUGUGGACUUUGGUUGACUUGCCCGAUGAUCGGCAAGCCAUUGAGAAUAAAUGGAUCUUCAAGAAGAAGAUUGACGCUGACGGUAAUGUUACUGUCUAUAAAGCUCGACUUGUUGCGAAAGGUUUUCGACAAGUUCAAGGGAUUGACUACGAUAAGACUUUCUCACCCAUAGCGAUGCUUAAGUCUGUCCGAAUCAUGUUAGCAAUUGCCGCAUUUUAUAAUUAUGAAAUUUGGCAAAUGGAUGUCAAAACUGCAUUCCUAAAUGGAUUUCUGGAAGAAGAGUUGCAUAUGAUGCAGCCGGAAGGUUUUGUUGAUCCAAAGGGAGCUAACAAAGUGUGCAAGCUCCAGCGAUCCAUUUAUGGACUGGUGCAAGCCUCUCGGAGUUGGAAUAAACGCUUUGAUAGUGUGAUCAAAGCAUUUGGUUUUAUACAGACUUUUGGAGAAGCCUGUAUUUACAAGAAAGUGAGUGGGAGCUCUGUAGCAUUUCUGAUAUUAUAUGUGGAUGACAUAUUGCUGAUUGGAAAUGAUAUAGAAUUUCUGGAUAGCAUAAAGGGAUACUUGAAUAAGAGUUUUUCAAUGAAGGACCUCGUGAAGCUGCUUAUAUAUUGGGCAUCAAGAUUUAUAGAGAUAGAUCAAGACGCUUAAUUGGACUUUCACAAAGCACAUACCUUGACAAAGUUUUGAAGAAGUUCAAAAUGGAUCAAGCAAAGAAAGGGUUCUUGCCUGUGUUACAAGGUGUGAAGUUGAGUAAGACUCAAUGCCCGACCACUGCAGAAGACAGAGAGAAGAUGAAAGAUGUUCCCUAUGCUUCAGCCAUAGGCUCUAUCAUGUAUGCAAUGCUGUGUACCAGACCUGGUGUGUGCCUUGCUAUAAGUUUAGCAGGGAGGUACCAAAGUAAUCCAGGAGUGGAUCACUGGACAGCGGUCAAAAACAUCCUGAAAUACCUGAAAAGGACUAAGGAUAUGUUUCUCGUUUAUGGAGGUGACAAAGAGCUAGUCGUAAAUGGUUACGUCGAUGCAAGCUUUGACACUGAUCCGGACGAUUCUAAAUCGCAAACCGGAUACGUGUUUACAUUGAACAGUGGAGCUGUCAGUUGGUGCAGCUCUAAACAAAGCGUUGCGGCGGGAUCUACGUGUGAAGCGGAGUACAUAGCUGCUUCGGAAGCAGCAAAUGAAGGAGUCUGGAUGAAGGAGUUCAUAUCCGAUCUAGGUGUCAUACCUAGUGCAUCGGGUCCAAUGAAAAUCUUUUGUGACAAUACUGGUGCAAUUGCCUUGGCAUAGAAUCCAGAUUUCACAAGAGAACCAAGCACAUCAAGAGACGCUUCAACUCCAUCCGGGAUCUAGUCCAGGUGGGAGACAUAGAAAUUUGCAAGAUACAUACGGAUCUGAAUGUUGCAGACCCGUUGACUAAGCCUCUUCCACGAGCAAAACAUAAUCAUCACCAAGGCUCCAUGGGUGUUAGAAUCAUUACUUUUUAAUCUAGAUUAUUGACUAUAGUGCAAGUGGGAGACUGAAGGAAAUAUGCCCUAGAGGCAAUAAUAAAGUUAUUAUUUAUUUCCUUAUAUCAUGGUAAAUGUUUAUUAUUCAUGCUAGAAUUGUAUUAACCAGAAACAUAAUACUUGUGUGAAUACAUAGACAAACAGAGUGUCACUAGUAUGCCUCUACUUGACUAGCUCGUUGAUCAAAGAUGGUUAUGUUUCCUAGCCAUUGACGUGAGUUGUCAUUUGAUUAAGGGGAUCACAUCAUUAGGAGAAUGAUGUGAUUGACUUGACCCAUUCCGUUAGCUUAGCACACGAUCGUUUAGUAUUCUGCUAUUGCUUUCUUCAUGACUUAUACAUGUUCCUAUGACUAUGAGAUUAUGCAACUCCCGUUUACCGGAGGAACACUUUGUGUGCUACCAAACGUCACAACGUAACUGGGUGAUUAUAAAGGUGCUCUACAGGUGUCUCCGAAGGUACUUGUUGGGUUGGCAUAUUUCGAGAUUAGGAUUUGUCACUCCGAUUGUCGGAGAGGUAUCUCUUGGCCCACUCGGUAAUGCACAUCACUAUAAGCCUUGCAAGCAUUGCAACUAAUGAGUUAGUUGCGGGAUGAUGUAUUACAGAACGAGUAAAGAGACUUGCUGGUAACGAGAUUGAACUAGGUAUUGAGAUACCGAUGAUCGAAUCUCGGGCAAGUAACAUACCGAUGACAAAGGGAACAACGUAUGUUGUUAUGCGGUCUGACCGAUAAAGAUCUUCGUAGAAUAUGUGGAAACCAAUAUGAGCAUCCAGGUUCCGCUAUUGGUUAUUGACCGAAGACGUGUCUCGGUCAUGUCUCCAUAGUUCUCGAACCCGUAGGGUCCGCACGCUUAAAGUUUGAUGACAGUUAUAUUAUGAGUUUAUGUGUUUUGAUGUACCGAAGAUAGUUCGGAGUCCCGGAUGUGAUCACGGACAUGACGAGGAGUCUCGAAAUGGUUGAGACAUAUAGAUUGAUAUAUUGGAAGCCUAUAUUUGGAUAUCGGAAGUGUUCCGGGUGAAAUCGGGAUUUUACCGGAGUACCGGGGGUUACGGGAACCCCCCGGGGGUUUAAUGGGCCUACAUGGGCCUUAGUUGAGAAGAGGAGGGGCGGCCAGGGCAGGCCGCGCGCCCCCUCCCCCUCUAGUCCAAAUUGGACAAGGAGGGGGGGCGGCGCCCCCUUUCCUUCCUCUCUCCCUCCUCCUUCCCCCUUCUCCUACUCCAACUAGGAAAGGAGGGAGUCCUACUCCCGGUGGGAGUAGGACUCCUCCUGGCAUGCCUCCUCCUGGCCGGCCGCCUCUCCCUCCCUUGCUCCUUUAUAUACGGGGGCAGGGGGCACCCUAUAGACACAACAAUUGAUCUCUUGAUCUCUUAGCCGUGUGCGGUGCCCCCCUCCACCAUAAUCAACCUCGAUAAUAUCGUAGCGGUGCUUAGGCGAAGCCCUGCGUCGGUAGAACAUCAUCAUCGUCACCACGCCGUCGUGCUAACGGAACUCUCCCUCAAAGCUCGGCUGGAUCGGAGUUCGAGGGACGUCAUCGAGCUGAACGUGUGCUGAACUCAAAGGUGCCGUGCGUUCGGUACUUGAUCGGUCGGAUCGUGAAGAUGUACGACUACAUCAACCGCGUUGUGCUAACGCUUCCGCUUUUGGUCUACGAGGGUACGUGGACAACACUCUCCCCUCUCGUUGCUAUGCAUCACCAUGAUCCUGUUUGCGCGUAGGAAUUUUUUUGAAAUUACUACGUUCCCCAACAGUUGAUAACGGGAUCACAUCAUUAGGAGAAGGAUGUGAUGGACAAGACCCAAUCCUAAGCAUAGCACAAGAUCGUGUAGUUCGUCUGCUAAAGCUUUUCUAAUGUCAAGUAUAAUUUCCUUAGACCAUGAGAUUGUGCAACUCCCGGAUACCGUAGGAAUGCUUUGGGUGUACCAAACGUCACAAAGUAACUGGGUGGUUAUAAAGGUACACUACAGGUAUCUCCAAAAGUGUCUAUUGGGUUGGCACGAAUCGAGACUCGGAUUUGUCACUCCGUAUGACGGAGAGGUAUCUCUGGGCCACUCGGCAAUGCAUCAUCAUAAUGAGCUCAAUGUGACUAAGCAGUUAGUCCUGAGGUCAUGCAUUACGGAACGAGUAAAAUGACUUGCCGGUAACGAGAUUGAACGAGGUAUUGGGAUACCGACGAUCGAAUCUCGGGCAAGUAACAUACCGAUUGACAAAGGGAAUUGUAUACGGGAUUGUUUGAAUCCCCGACAUCAUGGUUCAUUCGAUGAGAUCAUCGUGGAACAUGUGGGAACCAACAUGGGUAUCCAGAUCCCGCUGUUGGUUAUUGGCCGGAGAGAUGUCGCGGUCAUGUCUGCAUGAUUCCCGAACCCGUAGGGUCUACACACUUAAGAUUCGGUGACGCUAGAGUUGUUAUGGGAAUUAUUAUGCGGUUACCGAAUGUUGUUCGGAGUCCCGGAUGAGAUCCCGGAUGUCAUGAGGAGUUCCGGAAUGGUCCGGAGAUAAAGAUUUAUAUAUGGGAAGUCCUUAUUCGGUCACCGGAAGUGUUCAGGGUUUUAUCGGUAUUGUACCGGGACCACCGAAAGGGUUCCGGGGGUCCACCGGGAGGGUCCACCUGCCCCGGAGGGCCCUAUGGGCUGAAUAUGGAGGGGAACCAGCCCCUAGGUGGGCUGGGCGCCAAACCCCCCUAGGGCCCAUGCGCCUAGGGUUGGGGGGAAACCCUAAAGGGGGCGCCCCCCUUGGCUUGGGGGGCAAGCCUCCCCCCUUGGCCGCCGCCCCCCCUCUAGAUCCAUCUGGAGGGCGCCGGCCCCCCUCUCCCUUGCCCCUAUAAAUAGAGGGGAGGUGGGAGGGCUGCCGCACCCCUUCCUCUGGCGCAGCCCUCUCCCUCCUCAACACCUCCUCCUCCUCUGUAGUGCUUGGCGAAGCCCUGCCGGAGAGCUGCAAGCUCCCCCACCACGCCGUCAUGCUGCCGGAGCUCUUCCCCAACUUCUCCUUCCCCCUUGCUGGAUCAAGAAGGAGGAGACGUCCCCGGGAUGUAUGUGUGUUGAACGCGGAGGCGCCGUUGUUCGGCGCUUAGAUCGGCAUCAACCGCGAUCUGAAUCGCUGCGAGUACGACUCCUUCAUCCGCGUUCUUGUAGCACUUCCGCGUCGCGAUCUUCAAGGGUAUCAAGAUGAACUCCCCUCUCACUCGUUGCUAGUCUUUCCAUAGAUUGAUCUUGGUGAUGCGUAGAAAUUUUUUAAUUUCUGCAACGAUCCCCAACACCACCCGCCAUGGCUAGGUCCCCAAAUCGGGAUCCACUAGACGCCACAUGCACCCACCAGAGAUUGCCCGCGCAUAGCCGCCACACAACAAGCACUCGCCCAUGUCGCCGCCGCCCACCCUCGAGCAAACGUUGCUGCUACCCGCGCCCGCUGCCGCUCUUCCACCCAAGGCGCCUCCGCGCGACUAGGCCAUCCCGCGCCAACCUUCACGGACCGAGCGAAGGGGAGAAGAUUCCCGCCGCCAUUUGGGCUUUGCCCAGCGGCGGCGAGGGGAGUGAGAGGUGUUGUUGGGGGUUAUUAGUCCGUCUCCAUGGACUUUGGUCAAUAUCGCUCGUUAAUUCCUGCUCCUACGCAUGUACGUCAGGUGCAUAACUGCACGCACUAGUUAGUUCACCCAACAGUUCAAGCUGAUGGGAGAAAGGUGGGCUAAGCAUUUAUACGUCAAUACACACCCUUGUGUGUGGCUCCCUGAGGCCUAAACAUGAACUGAAAGUGGGCUGCAAUUUAAUUACGCCAGCCGGGUCUUGAACUAAAGACCUUUUGGUUCUCAUACCAUGUACAAAUGCACGCGCCAGCCAGUUCAUCCAAAAGCUCAAUCUAUGGGAGAGGGCAUGACAUUAUACUUCAACACUCCCCCUCACGUCUAUGCUCCUUUGGAGUGUAUGACGUGGGCAGCGAAAGCCGGGUAAGCCCCAAUUAUUUAUUGUGUUUACUGGGUUUUGAACCCUGAACCUCUUGGUUGCAAGUUUAUGUACCUAACCAGUUCACUCAUAAGCUCAAGCUAUGGGAGAUGGCCGAACAUUAUACUCCAACACUCCCCCUCAUGUCUAUGCUUCUUUGGAGAUUAUGAUGUUGGCAGCAAAAGCGGGGCAGGCCGCAACCAACUCAUCCAAAGGUCCGAAGUGAUGGAGAGAGCCAGGCAAUGUACUUUAACACCCCCUCACGUCUAGGCUUAUUUAGUCUUUAGACAUGAGAUUUAUGUAGGCCGCAAAAUCUGUUUUUAAUACUACUUUGGCAGAGUAUUACUCAAGACCUCCUGGUUCGGAUAGCAUGUUAAACUAAUGCUCUAGCCAACUCAUUCAAAAGUUCCAACCAUGAGAGAGGGCCGGACAUUAUACUUCAACAUCGACGGUGAAAACAUUGUAGCGGGAGCGGACAAGAAUGUAGUCCUCCAGUGGUGAGUAGCUGUGACGAGCCAAAUACUUUUUUUAUAAAGGGAAUAUAUUAAUACCACGGAUACCAAUUACACCCAGCCUCUGCAACAAUGCAAUACCCUAAUGGCAUUAUGGAUGCGCACAGCCAAAAAAAGAAGAAUCUAAAAAAAGAAAAGCCCCGCUAGAGAGUUCCAGUCCUUGCAACAGCAGUACAACCACCACCAAAACAACACCUCAAGUCCAAGUUCUCCAAAAACGACGCCUCAAAGAAGGAAACCGUGCAUAAACACCAUCGUCACCCGAUCGUAGAUCUUGGAUUUUCACCCUGAAGAUAGGCUCCGCUCUCAAAACGAUGCCUUCAACAAGGUCAUUGCCAUGCACAACCAACUAAGGCCAGACCUUGGAUUUUCACCUUGAGAGGUAAGACUUUGAACUGCACAUGUGUUGUCGCCCCCACUUACAUACCAUUGCUACAAUCCGAAACUCCAAGCAAGUUCCUCAUCGCCAUAAAGGCUCCAGUCACCAUUACUAGUCCUCCGAUCUCGGCUUCCAUGACAUUCUCGCCUCUGACUUCACCAUGGAGUUAAACAUAUCCCAUGAUGACAACAAAUAGCAGAGCUUCGCACCGCUCCCUUCUUAACGGAGAACCAGUGGGCACGACCGAAUCCCAUCCGAUCUAGCAAUCUUCAGACAUAACGCGCCCAUGGGAGUUCAUCGGCAGAGCCUUCCGGAACCCGACACUCCGACCGGAUCAAGGAGGACAGGCGUCAGGCAAAUCUUCGUCUUGUCACUUGAGGAACCCUAGGGACGCCCCCUUAAUUCAGGCCGAGCCCGCAGCCCCCACGCCGCCGCGGCACCCCGGAUCAGAUCGGAGGGAUCGGCACGCACCAGCACCUCGACCAAUGACCCAGGGAUGCGCGAAUCUCAUCGGGAGCAGUAGGGGCGCCGGGAAAGGGCACCUCGCGGGUAGCCAACGGCGCGCCGCCACGCCAUGGAGGAGCAGGCCACGCACCGCCUGAAGAAAGCACCAACAGCAUGGCCGGCUGCUGCCUCGGCCUUGAAUCUGAGGGGAAAACGGCGCGCCGCGAGAGAGAGCUUGCCCCGUCGCUGCCGUCCGCGGCACGGGCUUAGCCUGGUCACCUCCUUCGAUGACAGCGAGGGGGAUGGAGGGGGGGGGGGCUCGCGGUGGCCGGCGGCUGGGUCUCCUCCGUAUCGCCCAAGUCCAUUGCCACAAUUUCGUCGUGUGGACAUGUUCAGAAUGAAGCACAAGUGGUAUAGUAUAUUUUUUCUGCGGCAUCUUUUUGUUGAGUAAAUAGGCAAUUUCUCGAUUAAAUUAAUCCACGAGUAAAUCACUAGCAUGGCAUUGACACAAAUAAACGCAUACUGAUAUUCAGUCAAGCUAGCAAAUACUACGCUAAUUGCAGAAAGAUCUACGUAUAACGCUAGCAUGGCUAAAACAGGAAACAGUAGGAGCGGGAUAAACGAGUUAUACCCUCCAGUAGGCCAUGCAGAGGCCGCGGCUUUGGUGGCAGCAACGGCGUCCUCGGCAGCCUUCUUGUCGGCUUCAGCUUUCUCGGCGGCAGCACGUUCGGCGUUGGUGGACAUGGUGAUGAUGAAGGCGACGCAGAUGUAGAGGAAGUAGACGAUCGGAAGUGAGCAGUCGCGUAAUCGCUGCCCAAAAACCUAUUCGCCCCUCACCCCGUACAGGAACCAGAAGGGCGUGGUUUCGGAGACCUGCUCUCCUGUCGACCGUGUACGCGGUGGACGAGAUGGAGUCACCGGCGGCAGCAGCAGCAAGGGAACGAUGGUGGGCGUGUGCGUGGAGCAGAUGUGAUCUGUUCGUGGUGGCUAGGGUUAGGAGACACCGCACACUUAUAUAGGCGCAGCCGCGUGGAGAGACAUGGGCUCGACCCACGUCCGAGUCCGAGACAGCCCACGAUCCGACGUCUCAGAUCGUGACCCAGCUGUCAGAGAACUCUCCGUUAGUGACUGGCAAAAAUAAGCGCAUAGGUUUGAGCUCGGCUCGGCUCAAUCCCGCAACCCGCGGUGCGUCGUGACGAGGCGUGGCGUGGCGAGGCGGGCGGCGGAGGAGGAGUGCGCGAGGGCCUCUUCUCUUCUCAAGCUCCAAUAGCAUGUAGAAGAGAAACCCUUAUAAGGAGGUCCAACUCCUCUUCCACUUCCGGGGUGGGACUAAACUUCCCACUACACCUAGUGCCAUAUAACCCACAUGGGCCCUUAAAGAUUUUUUAGAAAUUGCUAUAAGGGCCUAGAGCCCAUCUCAAAUUUCAGCAAUCCCCCACCAGAUCUCGAGGGCCCAUUGUGUCCUCUGUUCCAAUUACUGUUUCGAUAUACCAGUGUUUUAGUGAAGACCUGUUAAGGUUGAACUUCACCUAGAGCAAGUAGCUACACUCCUUCACAACUGAACAAUGGACUAUGCCUUGAAUUGUCAGUUUGGCGUAAAGAAGUUUCACCACAUGUCUUACUAGUACUAGGCUGCCGAAGGCUAACCCCUCGGGUGGAGCAUAUAAGUCACACUCCUGGCCUAUUCAUGAGCUUACAAGAGAUCACCCCAAUCUCAUAGACUGUGACCAGCAGUCGGGCUCAUAUAGGUGUGUUCCUCCAAAGAUCGCUCUGUAGGAUAGCAUCUUGCUUUCAUAAGCUUUGGAACACAUUAAGACAGUAGUCAUCCUACCAUACAGUAUCGAGAGUAUUGCAUCUCCAACGGAGUGGGUUAGUAUAGUUACUCUCCUCGGUUCACCACUGGCUUGUUUUCCCAGGUCCUACUUCACGGGAUCUCCGAUCACAUAGGUUGGGUUACCACCAUGGCAACUCAUGUGGGUCUCAUACCCAUCUCCCUCGAUGCAUUAUCUAUCACAACACGUGAUAGCCCUUUCGUAAAGGGAUCUGCCAGACUCUUAGCCGUAUGGACAUAGUCCAACGCUAUCACUCCGGAGUUUCUUAAUUUUCUGACAACUUUUAAUCUCAUUCUUAUCUGUUUGUUGGACUUCAUGUUGUCCUUUGAACUCUUCACCUUGGUGACGACCGUCUGAUUGUCACAGUUCAUAAGGAUAGCCGGAACCGGUUUAUCAACCAAUGGCAAGUCCAUCAAAAGAUCUCGAAGCCAUCCUGCUUCAACACCAGAUGUGUCUAAUGCUGUUAAUUCUGCUUCCAUUGUCGAUCUCGUUAAGAUCGUUUGCUUGCAAGACUUCCAGCAAACAGCGCCACCUCCAAGAGUAAACAUAUACCCAGUUGUGGCCUUCAUCUCAUCAGCAUCAGAGAUCCAAUUCACAUCACUAUACCCUUCAAGUACCGACGGGUCUCCAGUAUAGUGAAGUUCAUAGUUCAUAGUACCUUUCAGAUAGCGCAUAACUCUUUCAACAUCAUGCCAAUGUACAUCACCCGGUUUGGAAACAAACCGGCUUAAUUUGCUCAUAGCAAACGCGAUGUCAGGCCUUGUUGCGCUCGCUAGGUACAUCAGUGAACCAAUGAUUUGAGAGUAUCUCAAUUGAUCUUUAGCUGUGCUUUUGGACUUUCGAAUCAACACGCUAGGAUCAUAUGGUGUUUGAGAUGGUGCACAGUCCGAAUAUCCAAAACGACUCAACACCUUCUCAACAUAGUGGGAUUGCAGAAGUGUAAUGCCAUCCUCAUUAUCUCUCAGUAGCUUGAUGUUCAAGAUAACAUCAGCCACACCAAGGUCUUUCAUCUCAAAGUUCUGAGAUAGAAACGAUUUGACCUCCUCAAUGACUUUGAGGUUUGUUCCAAAUAUCAGCAUGUCAUCAACAUACAAGCACAGUAUAACUCCUUCGCCCCCACCAUGGCGAUAGUAUACACAUUUGUCAGCCUCAUUAACAACGAAACCAACAGAUGCCAGAGUUGUAUUAAACUUAUCAUGCCAUUGCUUAGGUUCUUGCUUCAGGCCAUAUAAAGAUUUCAGCAACCUACACACCUUUCUUUCCUGACCAUCUAUCACAAAGCCAUCUGGCUGUUGCAUGUAGAUUUCCUCGUUUAGCUCUCCAUUCAAAAAAGCCGUCUUAACAUCCAUCUGAUGGACGAGAAGACCAUGUGAGGCCUCCAACGAGAGUAAUACUCGAAUGGUGGUCAGUCUAGCCACAGGUGAAUAAGUAUCGAAGAAAUCUUCCUCUUCUUUCUGGUCAUAGCCCUUGGCCACAAGCCUAGCCUUGUACUUUUCAAUUGUACCAUCGGGCCUAAGCUUCUUCUUGAACACCCACUUACAUCCUAAUGGUUUGCAACCAUAGGGACGGUCAGUGAUCUCCCAUGUCCCGUUAGCCAUGAUGGAGUCCAUCUCGCUACGGACCGCAUCCUUCCAGUAAUCAGCUUCUGGAGAGGCAUACGCUUCUGAAAUAGAAGUGGGAGUGUCAUCCAUGAGAUACAUGAAGAAAUCAUCACCACAGGUCUUUGCAGUCCUUUGUCUCUUGCCCCUACCAAGGGUUUCCUCGUCAUCCUCCUCAGGAUUUCCAUCAUGUGUUUGUUCAUAAUAUUCCAUAGGGAUGGCAGGUUCAGGAGUCUCCUCGGAUUCCAGUCUAGAAGUGAUUUGCAUAUCUCUCAUAGGAAAAAUAUCCUCGAAGAAUGUAGCAUCCUUAGACUCCAUAAUUGUACCGACCUUCUGGUCAGGUACCUCAGAUUUCACUACUAGAAAUCUAUAGCCAACGCUGUUCUUAGCGUAGCCCAAAUUAACGCAGUCCACAGUCUUGGGUCCAAGCUUACGCUUUUUGGGGAUCGGCACAUUGACUUAUGCCAAACAGCCCCAAGUGCGCAAGUACGAAAUUAUUGUCCUUCUCUUCGCCCAUUUCUCAUAGGGAGUGAUCUCAUUAUCCUUUGUCGGAACUUUAUUCAGGACAUGACAUGCCGUCAAUAUAGCCUCCCCCCACUAUGCCUUGGAUAAACCCGAUGUAUCUAACAUGGCGUUAACCAAAUCAGUUAGAGUACGGUUUUUCCGCUCGGCAACCCCGUUUGACUGGGGUGAAUAGGGAGGCGUCUUCUCAUGAAUAAUGCCGUGUUCCGCACAAAAGGAAUCAAACUCACUCAAGAAGUACUCUCCAUCACGAUCUGACCGGACUCGUUUAAUUUUCUUUUCAAGUUGAUUCUCAACUUCUGCCUUAUAGAUUUUAAAGUAGUGUAGAGCCUCAUCUUUAGUAUUUAACAGAUACACAUAGCAAUAUCUAGUGGAAUCAUCUAUCAAUGUCAUGAAGUAUUUCUUUCCACCUUUACUCAACACACCAUUCAUCUCACAAAGAUCAGAAUGUAUGAGUUCUAAUGGUGUCAAGUGUCUCUCCAACGCGGCCUUGUGAGGCUUGCGAGGUUGCUUAGCUUGCACACAUGAAAGACACUUAGAACCUUUGGCUAAAGUGAAACUCGGGAUUAAAUCCAACUUGUCUAGCCGUGUCAUAACACCGAAACUAAUGUGACAAAGACGUGAAUGCCAAACUUCCGAUUCAUUAACAUUCGAAUGAAUAUGGUUCACGACUUUAUUACAAAAAUCUGCAAGGGAAAGGCGGAACAUCCCUCCGCUCUCAUAACCUUUUCCAACAAAGAGUCCAUAUUUCGUAACAACUAAUUUAUUAGACUCAAAAACCAACUUAAACCCUUCUCUACAUAGAAGGGAGCCACUAACGAGGUUCUUCUUGAUGGCGGGGACAUGCUGCAUUCUUCAGCUGCACGAUCCUUCCCGAAGUAAACUUCAGAUCGAACGUGCCAACACCAUGAACAGAAGCACUCGCGCCAUUCCCCAUCAAUACGGACCUGUGACCUGUGACCUGGUAAGAAGUGAACAAUGAAAUGUCAGCACACACAUGAACACCUGCACCUGUGUCCACCUACCAAUCGGUAGGCUGAAACACUGAAAAAACAGUAAAUAAAUUACCGUACCCAGAUGCACCAUUCUCAUUGUUGCCCACAAUCAUGUUGACAGACUUGGAGUCCUGUCCUGACUUCUUGUACUUGUUUGGGCACUUGUUGGCCCAAUGUUCAACCGAACCACAAGUAAAGCAGCCCUCGUCCUUCUUGUUCUUCUUGAAGGUCUUCUUACCCUUCUUCUUAAAGUCAGUAUUGUGUUGGACACCGUUCUUUCCCUUGGGUCCUCUGGUUCACCAUGUUGGCAACAGAAGUUCCUUCGACCCCUUUUCCGUGGGAGUCCUUUGCCCUUGAAUUCUGCUCGACACUCAGAUGGCCAAUGACAUCCUCUACAGAGAAUUCACGCCUCUGAUGUUUUAGAGUGGUGGCAAAGUUCCUCCAGGAAUUAGGGAGCUUAGCGAUUAUGCAGCCCGCGACAAACUUGCCCGGUAACUCGCACUUAAGAAGCUCAAGCUCCUUAACAAUGCAUAUUAUCUCAUGAGCCUGCUCCAAUACAGAACGGUUUUCAACCAUCUUGUAAUCGUGGAACUGCUAAUUGCGGAAAGAUCUACGUAUAACGCAAGCGCGUAGGUGUGAGCUCGGCUUGGCUCAAUCCCGCAACCCGCGGCGCUUCGUGACGAGGCUUGGCGAGGCGGGCGGCGGAGGAGGAGUGCGCGAGGGCCUCUUCUCUUCUCAAACUCCAAUAGCAUGUAGAAGAGAAACUCUUAUAAGGAGGUCCAACUCCUCUUUCAUUUCCGGGGUGGGACUAAACUUCCCACUACACCUAGUGUCAUAUAACCCACAUGGGCCCUUAGAGAUUUUUCAGAAAUUGCUAUAAGGGCCUAGAGCCCAUCUCAAAUUUCAGCACUUUUCACUGGUCUUGCUCUCUGUUUCGAUCCAGAAAACAGCAGCAGAAAUCAGAGAUUUGGGGCCCCUAGCACGACACCUCACUGUCACUGCCGUGCCUUGUGCACAUGCGUCUGUUCACUGGAUCGUCCCGUGGUAUAAUAGCAUGACAAGAAGACAUGCAAUCACCAGACAAAUUACUGAACAAAUUAGGAGCAACUGUACUCGCCAUCAGUUACGUACGUACCCUGCAUUUGGAUGCCACGAACAUCUUACAAGUUAGGGGCCGUUCGGAGGCCCUCCGCUCCGCGCCUUCUCUCCCGGAGCGGACGGAGCUGCGGUUAGAAAUUUCAGAGCUGGCGAAACGGUGCUACCCAGCUCCGCGUAUUUUGAGGAGCUGAUGGAUCCCCGAACGGGCCCUUACAAUCACAUCAUAUGUAUACCCAUUUUGUUGGAGAUUAUAACAUGUAAAUGAUGUAUGGCGGUUCGUAGAUCUCGAUCUAGUCCAUCAUGAGAGACAAUACUGACAAGACAGCUCACCCAACUGCAUUCUGAUCUACGGCCAGCAAUGCAUGGGCACCGACGCAUCAACCGCUCUUUCGUUCAUGCAAUGUAGACAAAGGUUCUCCGUUGUUUCUUGAGAGGCAUCAACCAAUUUUUUGUUCUACAUUUAAGUGUAAAUAAUGGAAUGCGACAAUUAAAACCUGACGUGCACAGAAGCGCAAUUGGAUCGACAAAUAAUACACCUCAUGUCCAUUAUCAAGGGCCAGCCAGGGGACCAUGGACCCCCAAAUCCCCAGUACCACAGACGCAAUCCUACUGUUUUUGUAUAUAAACAACAAACCCGAACGUGCUGCAUCAGCAGUGAUACGGACUAGCAAGCGCUGUAGUCUUCCACUCAUCCCGGCCAUGGCUUGCUUCAAGCUCAACCCCACGUCCUUCGCGCUCGCCGCAGCCGUCGCCGUCAUCCUGGCGGUGGCGGCGCCGCGGCCGGCGGCCGGGGCGUCGGCGCACCUGCACGUGUACAUGCACGACGUGAUGGGCGACAGCGCGAUGAUGGUGGUGCGCGGCCCGCGGGGCAACUUCGGCAACACGGUGGUGAUGGACGACGUGCUGACGGAGGGCACGUCGGCGUCGUCGGCCGCCGUGGGGCGCGCGCAGGGGCAGUACAUCGUCGCCUCCUCCAAGGGAGGGUUCGAGCUGAUGGUGACCAUGAACGUGGUGCUCACGUCGGGGACCUACGCGGGGAGCUCGGUGACCGUGAUGGGGCGCGACGACACCGGCGUGGCGGUGCGCGAGCUGGCCGUUGUCGGCGGCACAGGGCAGUUCCGGAUGGCGAAAGGCUACGUGCUGUGGAAAACCGUCCGCCCCGACCUGCUGGAGCUCGACAUCUACGUCAACCCAUGAGCCACUGCCCACUGCCCACUCGGCCGAUUCAGCGUGCAUGCGUCAGUGACCUGUGGCAGCAUUACGUAAGUGUUGCGUGUGGUCGUUCAAAAUAAAAUGAGUGUUGCACCUUGUGUUACAAAGCGCUACGUGGAUGUUUGUGAUAUUGUUUUUCGUGUUUCUUUUAUCUUGUCAUUCUUUUUGUUGGUCUUAGUGCAACGGAUUAUGAGCACAUGUCAUAUGUGGAUGCUGCUUGUUUGAAUCAAAUAAAUAUUUUGCAACUAUACAAUAAUAAUCAAACAAAUAAAUCAUUGCUAUUUUGAAUUUUAAUUCUCAUAUUAUUACUCUAAUUCAUGUUUCAUCCAAUUAAAUCUCAUUUACUUCUAUAAAGCAUGGUGAGUACCCCGCCUCCUUGGGGCUUCGCCGCGCUAGAGUGCCAUCCGCAUUGUCCGUUUCAGCGCGCAUCACGCCAAUUUCUCCUAGGCACUCUUCGCGUCAUCCGAUCUUCAUGGCUGCCCCGCACCCUGCCGGUUUUCCUCGGGGAUCCACAACUUAGUGACAUGAUUGUGGAUCAUAUUUCUAUUCCUUCGGGUGAGUCGUGGACGUGUCUGGGGCCACCUUUUGGGUUAUCAUCGCACCCACAGGCGCCAUAUUGCGCGUUGCGUCGCACGCGGUAGGUGAGCCUAAUCCAUGUUAUCAAAGCCGUUCGCCCCUAUGGGGCUGCGUCGCUUGAGUGAGCCAUGCACGCGGGUGCGCCCUUCUCGGGGUGAGCGUCGUUCGCCCUGCCGAGCUGUUUCGUUCGCCCGACCUGGGUACGAGCGGGGUGCAUCAUCGUUUGUUUCCCACUGGGCAGUUUUGUUCGCACGAGCCGGCUCGGGGUCUGAGCAAAGGAACCAGUCGUCGAGGCUGCCGUGAGGGGAUGGACGGGGACGCUGCUCGGCUUUUGUGAGUCGGGGUGCUUCAUGGGUGUUUCGAUCUUUUAUUAAGGCCGUUGCGUUUUUCUAUAAGUUCGUUGUUUUAUGCCGCACGUCGGACGCCAUGCACACUGACAUCCCUCUCACUUCGCUUUGCAGCUCCUACUUCGGAGGGUCAUUUGCCCCGCUGACGACGCUCGACCACGUCUCCGGUCCCUCCCUUACACGGAUGUAUAGCCUGCCCUGUUCUCCGGCCUCAAGAAGCGUGUUGUUGUCGUCGGCCUGCAUACAGUUUCUGUUUCGGGCCGGUAGCCCCUUCGCUCCAUUGUUCAUGCUCGUGUUCCUCCUUUUGUUUUUUGUUGUCAUUUUUUAUUGUCAAGGAGUAUAUCCGCUCGGCCAUAUGGCACUUGUGCCGCUCGUGUUGGGGAACGUAGUAAUUUCAAAAUUUUCCUACGCACACGCAACAUCACGGUGAUGCAUAGCAACGAGAGGGGAGAGUGUUGUCUACGUACCCUCGUAGACCGUAAGCGGAAGCGUUAUGACAACGCGGUUGAUGUAGUCAUACGUCUUCAUGAUCGACCGAUCUUAGCACCGAAAGUACGGCACCUCCGCGAUCUGCACACGUUCGGCUCGGUGACGUCCCACGAACUCAUGAUCCAGCAGAGUGUCGAGGGAGAGCUUCGUCAGCACGACAGCGUGAUGACGGUGAUGAUGAAGCUACCGGCGCAGGGCUUCGCCUAAGCACUACGACGAUAUGACCGAGGUGGAUUAUGAUGGAGGGGGGCACCGCACACGGCUAAGAGAUCAAUGAUCAACUUGUGUGUCUAUGGGGUGCCCCCUGGCCACACAUAUAAAGGAUGGAGGGAGGAGGAGGCCGGCCCUCAUAGGGCGCGCCCAAAGUGUGGAGUCCUACUAGGACUCCCUAGUCCUAGUAGGAUCCCACCUCCCACAUGGAAUAGGAAAAAGGGAAGGGAUAAGGAGAAGGAAGGAAGGGGGCGCCCCCUUUCCCUAGUCCAAUUCGGACCAGUCCAUGGGGAAAGGGCGCGGCCACCCUUGAGGCCUCUCUCUCCUUUCCCGUAUGGCCCAUUAAGGCCCAAUAUGAAUUCCCGUAACUCUCCGGUACUCCGAAAAAUACCCGAAUCACUCGAAACUUUUCCGAUGUCCGAAUAUAGCCUUCCAAUAUAUCGAUCUUUACGUCUCGACCAUUUCGAGACUCCUCGUCAUGUCCCCGAUAUCAUCCGGGACUCCGAACAAACUUCGGUCACCAAAUCACAUAACUCAUAAUACAAAUCGUACAGAACGUUAAGCGUGCGGACCCUACGGGUUCGAGAACUAUGUAGACAUGACCGAGACUCAUCUCCGGUCAAUAACCAUUAGCGGAACCUGGAUGCUCAUAUUGGUUCCUACAUAUUCUACGAAGAUCUUGAUCGGUCAAACUGCAUAACAACAUACAUUGUUCCCUUUGUCAACGGUAUGUUACUUGCCCGACAUUCGAUCGUCGGUAUCUCAAUACCUAGUUCAAUCUCGUUACUGGCAAGUCUCUUUACUCGUUCCGUAAUGCAUCAUCCCACAACUAACUCAUUAGUCACAAUGCUUGCAAGGCUUAUAGUGAUGUGCAUUACCGAGAGGGCCCAGAGAUACCUCUCCGAUACACGGAGUGACAAAUCCUAAUCUCGAUCUAUGUCAACUCAACAAACACCAUCGGAGACACCUGUAGAGCAUCUUUAUAAUCACCCAGUUACAUUGUGACGUUUUAUAGCACACAAGGUGUUCCUCCGGUAUUCGGGAGUUGCAUAAUCUCAUAGUCCGAGGAACAUGUAUACGUCAUGAAGAAAGCAGUAGCAAUGAAUCUGUAACGAUCAUAAUGCUAAGCUAACGAAUGGGUCUUGUCCAUCACAUCAUUCUCCUAAUGAUGUGAUCCCAUUCAUCAAAUGACAACACAUGUGUAUGGUUAGGAAACAUAACCAUCUUUGAUAAACGAGCUAGUCUAGUAGAGGCAUACUAGGGAAACUUUGUUUUGUCUAUGUAUUCACACAUGUACUAAGUUUCCGGUUAAUACAAUUCUAGCAUGAAUAAUAAACAUUUAUCAUGAAAUAAAGAAAUAAAUAAUAAUUUUAUUAUUGCCUCUAGGGCAUAUUUCCUUCAGUCUCCCACUUGCACUAGAGUCAAUAAUCUAGUUCACAUCGCCAUGUGAUUUAACACCAAUAGUUCACAUCACCAUGUGAUUAACACUCAUAGUUCACAUCGCCAUGUGACCAACACUCAAAGGGUUUACUAGAGUCAGUAAUCUUUGUUCACAUCGCCAUGUAAUUGAUACGUCUCCAACGUAUUUAUAAUUUUUAAUUGUUCCAUGCUAUUAUAUUAUCUGUUUUGGAUGUUCAAUGGGCUUUAUUAUACACUUUUAUAUUAUUUUUGGGACUAACCUAUUAACCGGAGGCCCAGCCCAAAUUGCUUUUUUUGCCUAUUUCAGUGUUUCGAAGGAAAGGAAUAUCAAAUGGAGUCCAAACGGAAUGAAACCUUUGGGAACGUGAUUUUCGGAACAAACAUGAUCCAGAGGACUUGGAGUGGACGUCAAGCAAUCAACGAGGAGGCCACGAGGCAGGGAGGCGCGCCUGCCCCCAUGGGCGCGCCCCCCACCCUCGUGGGACCCUCGUAGCUCUCCUGACCGACUUCUUUCGCCUAUAUAUACUCAUAUACCCUGGAAACAACAGAAGAGGAGCCGAAACCCUAUUUCCACCGUCGCAACCUUCUGUACCCGUGAGAUCCCAUCUUGGGGCCUUUUCCGGCGCUCCGGCGGAGGGCGCAUUGAUCACGGAGGGCUUCUACAUCAACACCAUAGCCUCUCCGAUGAUGUGUGAGUAGUUUACCUCAGACCUUCGGGUCCAUAGUUAUUAGCUAGAUGGCUUCUUCUCUCUCUUUGGAUCUCAAUACAAAGUUCUCCUCGAUUCUCUUAGAGAUCUAUUUGAUGUAAUCUUCUUUUGCGGUGUGUUUGUCGAGAUCAGAUGAAUUGUGGGUUUAUGAUCAAGAUUAUCUAUGAACAAUAUUUGAAUCUCCUCUGAAUUCUUUUAUGUAUGAUUGGUUAUCUUUGCAAGUCUCUUUGAAUUAUUAGUUUGGUUUGGCCUACUAGAUUGAUCUUUCUUGCAAUGGGAGAAGUGCUUAGCUUUGGGUUCAAUCUUGCGGUGCUCGAUCCAAGUGACAGUAGGGGAAACGACACGUAUUGUAUUGUUGCCAUCGAGGAUAAAAAGAUGGGGUUUAUAUCAUAUUGCUUGAGUUUAUCCCUCUACAUCAUGUCAUCUUGCUUAAAGCGUUACUCUGUUCUCAUGAACUUAAUACUCUAGAUGCAUGCUGGAUAGCGGUCGAUGUGUGGAGUAAUAGUAGUAGAUGCAGGCAGGAGUCGGUCUACUUGUCGCGGACGUGAUGCCUAUAUACAUGAUCAUACCUAGAUAUUGUCAUAACUAUGCUCAAUUCUAUCAAUUGCUCGACAGUAAUUUGUUCACCCACCAUAAUACUUAUGCUAUCUUAGAGAAGCCACUAGUGAAACCUAUGGCCCUCGGGUCUAUUUUCCAUCAUAUUAAUCUCCCAACAACUAGCAAUUUCGGGCGCCGUUUAUUUUGCUUUCUUUACUUUUAGUCUUUAUCAUAAAAAUACCAAAAAUAUUAUCUUAUCAUCUCUAUCAGAUCUCACUUUUGCAAGUGGCCCUGAAGGGAUUGACAACCCCUUUAUCGCGUUGGUUGCAAGGUUCUUAUUUGUUUGUGUAGGUACGAGGGACUUGCGUGUGGCCUCCUACUGGAUUGAUACCUUGGUUCUCAAAAAACUGAGGGAAAUACUUACGCUACUUUGCUGCAUCACCCUUUCCUCUGCAAGGGAAAACCAAGCUGUGCUCAAGAGGUAGCAAGAAGGAUUUCUGGCGCCGUUGCCGGGGAGUCUACGCACAAGUCAAGACAUACCAAGUACCCAUCACAAACUCUUAUCCCUCGCAUUACAAUAUUUGCCAUUUGCCUCUCGUUUUCCUCUCCCCCACUUCACCCUUGCCGUUUUAUUCGCCCUCUUUUCCCUUCGCCUCUUUAUGCUUGCCUCUUAUUUAUUGUUGCCCUUAUAACCUUGCCUAGAUUUGGUGAUCUUCACCUUAAAAGGUUGGAAGAGAUUGAAAGCAACGUCGUAAGUUUUAUGACUUUACAAUUUGAGCACAAUAAUUUCUUUAGAAACGAGCUUAAGGAACAAAAAUGCUUUAUGAGUACAUGAAUAAGGAGCUUGAUGAUAUAUCUAAGGAAUUCUAUGGUUUGAAAUCUUAGAUUGCUCAUUUUGAAAAAUUAAUUGCUGAAAUUUUGGAUAAGCAGGACACCUUAGUUAAUAACAUGGCCGCUAAACCGGAAUUUUUUAUGAGAAUAAAGAUGAAGAUCUAAAAAUUAUUGAUGUGUCCCCUAUUAAAUCUUUGUUUUGCAAUAUGAAUCUUGAUAAUGAUGGGACUGGAGAUGAGUCAACUUUAGUUAAAAGGCGUCCCAAUAAUUCGGAGUUUUUAGAUCUUGAUGCGAAAAUUGGUAAAAGUGGGAUUGAAGAGGUCAAAACUUUAGAUAGCAUUGAACCCACUAUUUUGGAUUUCAAGGAAUUUAACUAUGAUAAUUGCUCUUUAAUAGAUUGUAUUUCCUUGUUGCAAUCCGUGCUAAAUUCUCCUCAUGCUUAUAGUCAAAAUAAAGCCUUUACUAAACAUAUCGUUGAUGCUUUGAUGCAAUCUUAUGAAGAAAAAUUUGAGUUGGAAGUUUCUAUUCCUAGAAAACUUUAUGAUGAGUGGGAACCUACAAUUAAAAUUAAAAUUAAAGAUCAUGAAUGCUAUGCUUUGUGUGAUUUGGGUGCUAGUGUUUCCACGAUUCCAAAAACUUUGUGUGAUUUGCUAGGUUUCCAUGAAUUUGAUGAUUGCUCUUUAAACUUGCACCUUGCGGAUUCCACUAUCAAGAAACCUAUGGGAAGAAUUAAUGAUGUUCUUAUUAUUGCAAAUAGGAAUUAUGUGCCCGUAGAUUUUAUUGUUCUUGAUAUAGAUUUCAAUCCUUCAUGUCCUAUUAUUCUUGGUAGACCUUUCCUUAGAACGAUUGGUGCAAUUAUUGAUAUGAAGGAAGGGAAUAUUAGAUUCCAAUUUCCGUUAAGGAAAGGCAAGGAACACUUCCCUAGAAAGAAGAUUAAAUUACCUUAUGAAUCUAUUAUGAGAGCCACUUAUGGGUUGCCUACCAAAGAUGGCAAUACCUAGAUCUAUUAUUGCUUUUAUGCCUAGCUAGGGGCGUUAAACGAUAGCGCUUGUUGGGAGGCAACCCAAUUUUAUUUUUGUUUCUUUCUUUUUGGUUCUGUUUAGUAAUAAAUAAUUCAUCUAGCCUCUGGUUAGAUGUGGUUUUGUGUUUUAAGAUCUUCUUGGAUGAUAGUUAUUUGAUCUUGCUGAAAAUUCCAGAAACUUUCUGUUCACGAAAACAAUUGUGUAAAAUCACCAGAACGUGAUAAAAUACUGAUUCCAAUUGCAGUAGACCAAUAAACAAAUUAUCUCCUAUUUUGGUAGAUUUUUCUGAGUUCCAGAAGUUUGCGUUAGAUACAGAUUAAUACAGACUAUUCUAUUUUUGACAAAUUCUGUUUUUUUGUGUGUUGUUUGCUUAUUUUGAUGAAUCUAUGGCUAGUAAAAGAGCUUAUGAACCAUAGAGAAGUUGGAAUACAGUAGGUUUAACACCAAUAUAAAUAAAGAAGAGUUCAAUAUAGUACCUUAUAGUAGUGGUUUGUUUUAUUUCGCUAACGGAGCUUAUGAGAUUUUCUGUUGAGUUUUGUGUUGUGAAGUUUUCAAGUUUUGGGUAAAGAUUUGAUGGAUUAUGGAACAAAGAGUGGCAAGAGCCUAAGAUUGGGGAUGCCCAAGGCACCCCAAGGUAAAAUUCAAGGACAACCAAAAGCCUAAGCUUGGGGAUGCCCCGGAAGGCAUCCCCUCUUUCGUCUUCGUCUAUUGGUAACUUUAUUUGGGGCUAUAUUUUUAUUCACCACAUGACAUGUGUUUUGCUUGGAGCGUCUUGUAUGAUUUGAGUCUUUGCAUUUUAGUUUACCACAAUCAUCCUUGUUGUACACACCCUUUUGGAGAGACACAGAUGAUUCGGAAUUUAUUAAAACACUCUAUGUGCUUCACUUAUAUCUUUUGAGCUAUAUAGUUUUUGCUCUAGUGCUUCACUUAUAUCUUUUAGAGCACGGCGGUGUCUUAAUUUUGUAGAAAUUAUUGAUCUCUCAUGCUUCACUUAUAUUAUUUUGAGAGUCUUCUAGAACAACAUGGUAUUUUCUAUGGUUAUAAAAAUUGGUCCUAGUAUGAUGGGUAUAAUAAAAACAAUCAUAGAAAGUGCAUUAAACACUAUGAUCAAUUUGAUGCUUGAUAAUUGUUUUGAGAUAUAAAGGUGGUAAUGUUAGAGUCAUGCUAGUUGGGUAAUUAUGAAAUUGAGAAAUACUUGUGUUAAGGUUGGCAAGUCCCGUAGCAUGCACGUAUGGUAAAAGUUGUGUGACAAAUUUGACGCAUAAGGUGUUCUUUUAUUGCUUUCCUUAUGAGUGGCGGUCGGGGAUGAGCGAUGGUCUUUUCCUACCAAUCUAUCCCUCUAGGGGCAUGCGUAGUAGUACUUUGCUUCGAGUGCUAAUAAACUUUUGCAAUAAGUAUAUGAGUUCUUUAUGACCAAUGUGUGUCCAUGGAUUAUACGCACUCUCACCCUUCCACAAUUUUCUAGCCUCUACGGUACCGUGCAUUGCCCUUUCUCACCUUGAGAGUUGGUGCUAACUUCGCCGGUGCAUCCAAACCCCAUGAUAUGAUACGCUCUAUCACACAUAAACCUCCUUAUAUCUUCCUCAAAACAGGCACCAUACCUACCUAUCAUGGCAUUUCCAUAGCCAUUCCGAGAUAUAUUGCCAUGCAACUUUCCACCGUUUCGUUUAUCAUGACACACUUCAUCAUUGUCAUUUUGCUUUGCAUGAUCAUGUAGUUGACAUUGUAUUUGUGGCAAAGCCACCAUUCAUAAUUUUUCAUACAUGUCACUCUUGAUUCAUUGCAUAUCCCGGUACACCGCCGGAGGCAUUCACAUAGAGUCAUAUUUUGUUCUAAGUAUUGAGUUGUAAUUCUUGAGUUGUAAGUAAUAAAAGUGUGAUGAUCAUCAUUAUUAGAGCAUUGUCCCAUGUGAGGAAAGGAUGAUGGAGACUAUGAUUCCCCCACAAGUCGGGAUGAAAUUCCUGACUAAAUAAAUAAAUAAAAAAGAGGCCAAAGAAAAAAAGAAAAAGGCCCAAGAAAAAGAAAAAAAGAGAAAAAAUGAGAGAAAAAGAGAGAAGGGACAAUGUUACUAUCCUUUUUCCACACUUGUGCUUCAAAGUAGCACCGUGAUCUUCAUGAUAGAGAGUCUCCUAUGUUGUCACUUUCAUAUACUAGUGGGAAUUUUUCAUUAUAGAACUUGGCUUGUAUAUUCCAAUGAUGGGCUUCCUCAAAAUGUCCUAAGUCUUCGUGAGCAAGCAAGUUGGAUGCACACCCACUUAGUUUCUUUUGUUGAGCUUUCAUAUAUUUAUAGCUCUAGUGCAUCCGUUGCAUGGCAAUGCCUACUCCUCACAUUGACAUCAAUUGAUGGGCAUCUCCAUAGCCUAUUGAUUAACCGCGUCAAUGUGAGACUUUCUACCUUUUUGUCUUCUCACAUAACCCCCAUCAUUAUACUUUAUUCCACCCAUAGUGCUAUAUCCAUGGCUUGCGCUCAUGUAUUGCGUAAGGGUUGAAAAGGAUGAAGCGCGUUAAAAACUAUGAACCAAUUGCUCGGCUUGUCAUCGGGGUUAUGCAUGAUGAGAACGUUUUAUGUGACGAAAUUGAAGCAUGGCCUAACUAUAUGAUUUUGUAGGGAUAAGCUUUCUUUGGCUAUGUUAUUUUGAUAAGACAUGAUUACUUGUUAGUAUGCUUGAAGUAUUACUAUUUUUAUGUCAAUAUGAACUUUUAUUUUGAAUCAUUUGGAUCUGAAUAUUCAUGCCACAAUUAAGAGAAUUACAUUGAAAAUUAUACUAAGUAGCAUUCCACAUCAAAAAUUCUGUUUUUAUCAUUUACCUACUCGAGGACGAGUAGGAAUUAAGCUUGGGGAUGCUUGAUACGUCUCCAACGUAUCUAUAAUUUUUGAUUGUUCCAUGCUAUUAUAUUAUCUGUUUUGGAUGUUCAAUGGGCUUUAUUAUACACUUUUAUAUUAUUUUUGGGACUAACCUAUUAACCGGAGGCCUAGCCCAAUUGAUGUUUUUUUUGCCUAUUUCAGUGUUUCGAAGGAAAGGAAUAUCAAACGGAGUCCAAACGGAAUAAAACCUUCGGGAACGUGAUUUUCGGAACAAACGUGAUCCAGAGGACUUGGAGUGGACGUCAAGCAAUCAACGAGGAGGACACGAGGCAGGGAGGCGCGCCUGCCCCCCUGGGCGCGCCCCCACCCUAGUGGGCCCCUCGUAGCUCUCCUGACCAACUUCUUUUGCCUAUAUAUACUCAUAUACCCUGGAAACAAUAGAAGAGGAUCCGAAACCCUAUUUCCACCGCCGCAACCUUCUGUACCCGUGAGAUCCCAUCUUGGGGCCUUUUCCGGUGCUCCGCCGGAGGGGGCAUUGAUCACGGGGGGCUUCUACAUCAACACCAUAGCCUCUCCGAUGAUGUGUGAGUAGUUUACCUCAGACCUUCGGGUCCAUAGUGAUUAGCUAGAUGGCUUCUUCUCUCUCUUUGGAUCUCAAUACAAAGUUCUCCUCGAUUCUCUUGGAGAUCUAUUUGAUGUAAUCUUUUUUUGCGGUGUGUUUGUCGAGAUCCGAUGAAUUGUGGGUUUAUGAUCAAGAUUAUCUAUGAACAAUAUUUGAAUCUCCUCUGAAUUCUUUUAUGUAUGAUUGGUUAUCUUUGCAAGUCUCUUCGAAUUAUCAGUUUGGUUUGGCCUACUAGAUUGAUCUUUCUUGCAAUGGGAGAAGUGCUUAGCUUUGGGUUCAAUCUUGCGGUGCUCGAUCCCAGUGACAGUAGGGGAAACGACACGUAUUGUAUUGUUGCCCUCGAGGAUAAAAAGAUGGGGUUUAUAUCAUAUUGCUUGAGUUUAUCCCUCUACAUCAUGUCAUCUUGCUUAAAGCGUUACUCUGUUCUCAUGAACUUAAUACUCUAGAUGCAUGCUGGAUAGCGGUCGAUGUGUGGAGUAAUAGUAGUAGAUGCAGGCAGGAGUCGGUCUACUUGUCGCGGACGUGAUGCCUAUAUACAUGAUCAUACCUAGAUAUUGUCAUAACUAUGCUCAAUUCUAUCAAUUGCUUGACAGUAAUUUGUUCAACCACCAUAAUACUUAUGCUAUCUUAGAGAAGCCACUAGUGAAACCUAUGGCCCCGGGUCUAUUUUCCAUCAUAUUAAUCUCCCAACAACUAGCAAUUUCUGGCGCCGUUUAUUUUGCUUUCUUUACUUUUAGUCUUUAUCAUAAAAAUACCAAAAAUAUUAUCUUAUCAUCUCUAUCAUAUCUCACUUUUGCAAGUGGCCGUGAAGGGAUUGACAACCCCUUUAUCGCGUUGGUUGCAAGGUUCUUAUUUGUUUGUGUAGGUACGAGGGACUUGCGUGUUGCCUCCUACUAGAUUGAUACCUUGGUUCUCAAAAAACUGAGGGAAAUACUUACGCUACUUUGCUGCAUCACUCUUUCCUCUUCAAGGGAAAACCAACGUUGUGCUCAAGAGGUAGCAGUGAUAAACACCCAAAGAGUACUAAGGUGUGAUUAUGUUUUGCUUGUGAGAGAAGUUUAGUCAACGGGUCUGCCAUAUUCAGAUCCGAAUGUAUUUUGCAAAUUUCUAUGUCAACAAUGCUCUGCACGGAGCUACUCUAGCUAAUUGCUCCCACUUUCAAUGUGUAUCCAGAUUGAGACUUAGAGUCAUCUGGAUCAGUGUCAAAACUUGCAUCGACGUAACCCUUACGAUGAACCUUUUGUCACCUCCGUAAUCGAGAAACAUAUCCUUAUUCCACUAAGGAUAAUUUUGACCGCUGUCCAGUGAUCUACUUCUAGAUCACUAUUGUACUCCCUUGCCAAACUCAGUCUAGGGUAUAUAAUAGAUCUGGUACAUAGCAUGGCAUACUUUGUAGAACCUACGGCGAGGCAUAGGGAUCGACUUUCAUUCUCUUUCUAUCGUCUGCCAUGGUAGGGCUUUGAGUCUUACUCAAUUUCACACCUUGCAACACAGGCAAGAAAUCUUUCUUUGACUAUUCCAUUUUGAACUACUUCAAAAUCUUGUCAAGGUAUGUACUCAUUGAAAAACUUAUCAAGCAUUUUGAUCUAUCUCUAUAGAUCUUGAUGCUCAAUAUGUAAGCAGCUUUACCGAGGUCUUUCUUUGAAAAACUCCAUUCAAACACUCCUUUAUGCUUUCUAGAAAAUCCUACAUCAUUUCCGAUCAACAAUAUGUCUUUCACAUAUACUUAUCAGAAAACUGUAGUGCUCCCACUCACUUUCUUAUAAAUACAGGCUUCACCGCAAGUCUGUAUAAAUCUAUAUGCUUUGAUCAACUCAUCAAAGCAUAUAUUCCAACUCCGAGAUGCUUUGCACAAGUCCAUGGAUGGAUCGCUGGAGCUUGCACAUUUUGUUAGCACCUUUAGGAUCGACAAAACCUUCUGGUUGCAUCAUAUACAACUCUUCUUUAAGAAAUCCAUUAAGGAAUGUAGUUUUGCCACCCAUUUGCCAGAUUUCAUAAAAUGUGGCAAUUUGCUAACAUGAUUCGGACAGACUUGAGCAUCGCUACGAGUGAGAAAAUCUCAUCGUAGUCAACACCUUGAACUUUGUCAAAAACAUUUUUCGACAAGUCUAGCUUUGUAGAUAGUAACACUACUAUCAGCGUCCAUCUUCCUCUUGAAGAUCCAUUUAUUUUCUAUGGCUUGUCGAUCAUCGGGAAAGUCAACCAAAGUCCACACUUUGUUCUCAUACAUGGAUCCCAUCUCAGAUUUCAUGGCCUCAAGCCAUUUCAGGGAAUCUGGGCUCUAAUCGUCGCUUCCUCAUAGUUCGUAGGUUCGUCAUGGUCAAGUAACAUGAACUCCAGAAUAGGAUUACCGUACCACUCUGGUGCAGAACGUACUCUGGUUGACCUACGAGGUUCGGUAGUAACUUGAUCUGAAGUUUCAUGAUCAGUAUCAUUAACUUCCUCACUAAUUGGUGUAGAAAUCACUCGAACUGAUUUCUGUGAUGAACUACUUUCCAAUUCGGGACCAGGUACAAUUACCUCAUCAAGUUCUACUUUCCUCCCAUUCACUUCUUUCGAGAGAAACUUCUUCUCUAGAAAGGAUCCAUUCUUAGGAAUGAAUAUCUUGCCUUUGGAUCUGUGAUAGAAGGUGUACCCAACAGUUUCCUUUGGGUAUCCUAUGAAGACGCAUUUCUCCGAUUUGGGUUCGAGCUUAUCAGGUUGAAACUAUUUCACAUAAGCAUCGCAACCCCAAACUUUAAGAAACGACAACUUAGGUUUCUUGCCAAACCACAAUUCAUAUGGUGUCGUCUCAACGGAUUUAGAUGAUGCCCUAUUUAACGUGAAUGCAGCUGUCUGUAAUGCAUAAUCCCAAAACGAUAGUGGUAAAUCGGUAACAGACAUCAUAGAUCGCACCUUAUCUAAUAAAGUACAGUUAUGAUGUUCGGACACACCAUUAUGCUGUGGUGUUCCAGGUGGCGUGAGUUUGCGAAACUAUUCCACAUUGUUUCAAAUGAAGACCAAACUUGUAACUCAAAUAUUCGUCUCCGCGAUCAGAUCGUAGAAACUUUAUUUUCUUGUUAUGAUGAUUUUCCACUUCACUCUGAAAAUCUUUGAACUUUUCAAAUGUUUCAGACUUAUGUUUCAUCAAGUAAAUAUACCCAUAUCUGCUCAAAUCAUCUGUGAAGGUCAGAAAAUAACAAUACCCGCCACGAGCCUCAACACUCAUCGGACCGCAUACAUCAGUAUGUAUUAUUUCCAACAAGUCUGUUGCUUGCUCCAUUGUUCCAGAGAACGGAGUCUUAGUCAUCUUGCCCAUCACGCAUGGUUCGCAAGCAUCAAGUGAUUCAUAAUCAAGUGAUUCCAAAAGCCCAUCAGCAUGGAGUUUCUUCAUGCGCUUUACACCAAUAUGACCUAAACGGCAGUGCCACAAAUAUGUUGCACUAUCAUUAUUAACCUUGUAUCUUUUGGCAUCACUAUUAUGAAUAUGUGUAUUAUUACGAUCGAGAUUCAGUAAACCAUUUACAUUGGAUGUAUGACCAUAGAAGGUUUUAUUCAUGUAAACAGAACAACAAUUAUUCUCUGACUUAAAUGAAUAACCGUAUCACAAUAAACAUGAUCAAAUCAUAUUCAUGCUCAACGCAAACACCAAAUAACAUUUAUUUAGGUCCAACACCAAUCCCGAAGGUAUAGGGAGUGUGCGAUGAUGAUCUUAUCAACCUUGGAAUCACUUCCAACACACAUCGUCACUUCGCCCUCAACUAGUUUCUGUUCAUUUUGCAACUCCCGUUUCGAGUUACUACUCUUUAGUAGCUGAACCAGUAUCAAAUACCGAGGGGUUGCUAUAAACACUAGUAAAGUACACAUCAAUAACAUGUAUAUCAAAUAUACCUUUAUUCACUUUGCCAUCCUUCUUAUCCGCCAAGUAUCUAGGGCAGUUCCACUUCCAGUGACCAUUUCCUUUGUAGUAGAAGCACUUAGCUUUAGGCUUGGGUCUAGCUUUGGGCUUCAUCACGGGAGUGGCAACUUGCUUGCCAUUCUUCUUGAAGUUCCCUUUCUUUCCCUUGCACUUUUACUUGAAACUAGUGGUCUUUUCAACCAUCAACACUAUGUUUUUCUUGAUGUCUACCUUCGCCGAUUUCAGCAUCGCGAAGAGCUCGGGGAAUCGUUUUCGUCAUCCCUUGCAUAUUAUAGUUCAUCACGAAGUUCCAGUAACUUGGUGAUAGUGACUAGAGAACUUUGUCAAUCACUAUCUUAUCUGGAAGAUUAACUCCCACUUGAUUUAAGCGAUUGUAGUACUUAGACUUUCUGAUCACAUGCUUACUGGUUGAGCUAUUCUCCUCCAUCUUGUAGGCAAAGUACUUGUCAGAGGUCUCAUACCUCUCGACUCGGGCAUGAGUCUGAAAUACCAAUUUCAGCUCUUGGAACAUCUCAUAUGCUCCAUGACAUUUCAAAACAUUUUUGAAGUCCCGGUUCUAAGCCGUAAAGCAUGGUGCACUAAACUAUUAAGUAGUCAUCAUACCGAGCUUUGUCAAACGUUCAUAACGUGUGCAUCUGCUCCUGCAAUAGGUCUGUCACCUAGCGGUGCAUCAAGGACAUAAUUCUUCUGUGCAGCAAUGAGGAUAAUCCUCAGAUCACGGACCUAGUCGCAUCAUUGCUACUAACAUUUUUCAACAUAGUUUUUCUCUAGGAACAUAUCAAAAAUAAAGGGGGAGCUACAUCGCGAGCUAUUAAUCUACAACACAGACAUGCAAAAACUAUCAGGUACUAAGUUCAUGAUAAAUUAAAGUUCAAUUAAUCAUAUUACUUAAGAACUCCCACUUAGAUAGACAUCCCUCUAGUCAUCUAAGUGAUCACGUGAUCCAUAUCAACUAAACCAUGUCCGAUCAUCACGUGAGAUGGAGUAGUCUUCAAUGGUGAACAUCACUAUGUUGAUCAUAUCUACUAUAUGAUUCACGCUCGACAUUUCGGUCUCAGUGUUCCGAGGCCAUAUCUGCAUAUGCUAGGCUCGUCAAGUUUAUCCCGAGUAUUCUGCGUGUGCAAAACAGGCUUGCACCCGUUGUAUGUGAACGUAGAGCUUAUCACACUCGAUCAUCACGUGGUGUCUUAGCACGAAGAACUGUCGCAACGGUGCAUACUCAGGGAGAACACUUAUAACUUGAAAUAUUAGUAAGGGAUCAUCUUAUAAAGCUACCGCCGAACUAAGCAUGCAAUCAAAAUAUGUGACAUGAUAUGGCCAUCAUCAUCUUGUGCCUUUGAUCUCCAUCUCCAAAGUACUGUCAUGACCUCCAUCGUUACCGGCAUGACACCAUGAUCUCCAUCAUCUUGAUCUCUAUCAGCGUGUCGUCACAUGGUCGUCUCGCCAACUAUUGCUUUUUGCAACUAUUGCUAUCGCAUAGCGAUAAAGUAAAGCAAUUACAUGGCGCUUGCAUCUUAUGCAAUAAAGAGACAAUCAUAAGGCUCCAGCCAGUUGCUGAUAAUUAUGUUACAAAACAUGAUCAUAUCAUACAAUAAAAUUUAGCAUCAUGUCUUGACCAUAUCACAUCACAACAUGCCCUGCAAAAACAAGUUAGACGUCCUCUACUUUGUUGUUGCAAGUUUUACGUGGCUGCUACGGGCUGAGCAAGAACCGUUCUUACCUACGCAUCAAAACCACAACGAUUUUUCGUCAAGUAUGUGUUGUUUUAACCUUCAACAAGGACCGGUCGUAGCCACACUUGAUUCAACUAAAGUUGGAGAAACAGACACCCAAUAGCCACCUGUAUGCGAAGCACGUCGGUAGAACCAGUCUCGCGUAAGCGUACGCGUAAUGUCGGUCUGAGCCGCUUCAUCCAACAAUACCGCCGAAUCAAAGUAUGACAUGCUGGUAAGCAGUAUGACUAUUAUUGCCCACAACUCUUUGUGUUCUACUCGUGCAUAUAACAUCUACGCAUAAACCUGGCACGGAUGCCACUGUUGGGGAACGUAGUAAUUUCAAAAUUUUCCUACGCACACGCAAGAUCAUGGUGAUGCAUAGCAACGAGAGGGGAGAGUGUUGUCCACGUACCCUCGUAGACCGUAAGCGGAAGUGUUAUGACAACGCGGUUGAUGUAGUCGUACGUCUUAACGAUCGACCGAUCUUAGCACCGAAAGUACAGCACCUCCGCGAUCUGCACACAUUCGGCUCGGUGACGUCCCACGAAUUCAUGAUCCAGCAGAGUGUCGAGGGAGAGCUCCGUCAGCACGACAGCGUGAUGACAGUGAUGAUGAAGCUACCGGCGCAGGGCUUCACCUAUGCACUACAACGAUAUGACCGAGCUGGAUUAUGGUGAAGGGGGGCACCGCACACGGCUAAGAGAUCAAUGAUCAACUUGUGUGUCUAUGGGGUGCCCCCUGGCCACGUAUAUAAAGGAUGGAGGGAGGAGGAGGCCGGCCCUCAUAGGGUGCGCCCAAAGUGUGGAGUCCUACUAGGACUCCGUAGUCCUAGUAGGAUUCCACCUCCCACAUAGAAUAGGAAAAAGGGAAGGGACAAGGAGAAGGAAGGAAGGGGGCGCCCCCUUUCCCUAGUCUAAUUCGGACCAGUCCAUGGAGAAGGGGCGCAACCACCCUUGAGGCCUUUCUCUCCUUUCCCGUAUGGCCCAUUAAGGCCCAAUACGAAUUCCCGUAACUCUCCGGUACUCCAAAAAUACCUGAAUAAUUUGAAACCUUUCCGAUGUCCGAAUAUAGCCUUCCAAUAUAUCGAUCUUUACGUCUCGACCAUUUCAAGACUCCUCGUCAUGUCCCCGAUCUCAUCCGGGACUCCGAACAAACUUCGGUCAUCAAAUCACAUAACUCAUAAUACAAAUCGUCACAGAACGUUAAGCGUGCGGACCCUACAGGUUCGAGAACUAUGUAGACAUGACCGAGACUCAUCUCCGGUCAAUAACCAAUAGCGGAACCUGGAUUCUCAUAUUGGUUCCUACAUAUUCUACGAAGAUCUUUAUCGGUCAACCUGCAUAACAACAUACGUUGUUCCCUUUGUCAUCGGUAUGUUACUUGCCCGAGAUUCGAUCGUCGGUAUCUCAAUACCUAGUUCAAUCUCGUUACUGGCAAGUCUCUUUACUCGUUCCGUAAUGCAUCAUCCCGCAACUAACUCAUUAGUCACAAUGCUUGCAAGGCUUAUAGUGAUGUGCAUUACCGAGAGGGCCCAGAGAUACCUCUCCGAUACACGGAGUGACAAAUCCUAAUCUUGAUCUAUGCCAACUCAACAAACACCAUUGGAGACACCUGUAGAGCAUCUUUAUAAUCACCCAGUUACGUUGUGAUGUUUGAUAGCACACAAGGUGUUCCUACGGUAUUCGGGAGUUGCAUAAUCUCAUAGUCUGACGAACAUGUAUAAGUCAUGAAGAAAGCAGUAGCAAUGAAACUGUAAUGAUCAUAAUGGUAAGCUAACGAAUUGGUCUUGUCCAUCACAUCAUUCUCCUAAUGAUGUGAUCCCGUUCAUCAAAUUACAACACAUGUCUAUGGUUAGGAAACAUAACUAUCUUUGAUAAACGAGCUAGUCAAGUAGAGGCAUACUAGGGACACUUUGUUUUGUCUAUGUAUUCACACAUGUACUAAGUUUCCAGUUAAUACAAUUCUAGCAUGAAUAAUAAACAUUUAUCAUGAAAUAAAGAAAUAAAUAAUAAUUUUAUUAUUGCCUCUAGGGCAUAUUUCCUUCAGCUCGACCCACUCGGAAUACUCCCACACACUCUCCAAGAACUCUCUCUCGUCGCGUUCCUCUUCGUUUUUGCUGGGGAAGGGCCGGGAGGAGGCCACACUGGGCGCGGCAUGGUCUCUGGAGGUGACUAUGGCAGCAAUGCUUUAGGCCAUGUCUCGUUUGCUGACGCCGUCAGAAUCUGAUGGGGGUUUAUAUAGGUGCGAAGCAUAAUGGUGACGGGUUUUGGACGUUCAAGCAGCUCAUCGAUUGAAAACAGGUGAGCCGUGUCGGCUUGUCCUCGACGAUGGCUAUUAUUCAUUCGCAUCCUACACUUAGUGUGGGUUGCGGUAAAGGAUGGUCAAAGUUGGUGCAUGUCGGUUCAUAAAGGUGUGAUGUACUUUGUUCUAUGUACACACUCCGACACAAUAAUAUUUUAUCUCCUUGGAGAGCCUAAACCUAGGUAAAUUAUGUGUCCUUGUUAUCAUCGGCCCAAGACACCUAGCUUAGAACACCAUAUCGAGGGAUCUGCCAUAUUUAGGUCUGAAUGUCGUGGCCGAUGCAGGUCCUGCUAGGUUAUCGUCGCGGUUCAAUGAGAAUUUGAAUCGACGCUCAGAUGGGCUCCAACGCAAUCUAUCCACCAGGGGCGGAUGUCCGUCUUCGGUGGCAUCACCCUUGUCACCAAUCCGACUGGCCACCUCGGCCAAGUCGAAUCAUUCGCUCUAGGCCAGAUCGUAAGAUGCAGCAACAUGUCAUGUUGUGUUUCAAUAUGUAUGCAAUUAUGGAGUAAAAAGGAGGAAAACCAAAAAAAUUGGGCACCAAUUCUACACCAUGUGUUAAAGCAACAACAACCGUGGUGCCCAAAAACCUUCUCUCUCUGAUUAUAGGGCAUCAAAAUGUACAUCUAUUGGAGUUGCUCUUAUGAACUGUUGCUUAAGAGUCUGCCUCUCCCCCUCCCUACACCCUAAUACUCGUUGUCGGUGUCAAAACCGGCGGAUCUCGGGUAGGGGGUCCCGAACUGUGCGUCUAAGGUCGAUGGUAAUAGGGGACGAGGGACACAAUGUUUACCCAGGUUCGGGCCCUCUCUAUGGAGGUAAUACCCUACUUCCUGCUUGAUUGAUCUUGAUGAAUAUGAGUUGAUCUACCACGAGAUCGCAAUGGCUAAAACCCUAGAAGUCUAGCCUGUAUGACUAUAAUUGUAUAUGCCGAUCCGGACUAAGCCCUCCGGUUUAUAUAGACACCGGAGGGGACUAGGGUUGUACAAAUUCGGUUACAAAGAAAGGAAUAUUCAUAUUUGGUCGCCAAGCUUGCCUUCCACGCCAAGGAGAGUCCCAUCCGGACACGGGUAGAGUCUCCGGUAUUUGUAUCUUCACAACCCAACAGUCCGGCCCAUGUCCAACAGGCCGGACGCCCGAGGACCCCUUAGUCCAGGACUCCCUCAGUAUCCCCUGAACCAGGCUUCAAUGACGAGGUGUCCGAUGCGUAGAUUGUCUUCGGCAUUGCAAGGCAGGUUCCCUUUUCCGAACACUCCAAGAUAGUCUUCGGACGCAACGAACGUGUCCGGACCUGCAACACAAGUACCACACGCACAGCCGUAGAGAGUAUAAUAUUUCACGAGUCCCAUCUGCUGACAACUUUUUGCAAGAUGACAUCACGUCUGCCCGGUCAUUAUUUUGAACCGUUUUUGUCUGCCAUUCCGCGUUUCGAGAUGCGGUUUCCAUUGGCACGUCUUGUCAAAGCAGAGAUCAUGUCCCCUUAUCGUGGGAUUCUCAUCGCUGAGCUUCGGGAGGCUGGGUAUCUGGCAAAAGAGAUCGCCCACCGGCUUCCGGCCAAGGGGCAAGUCAUCCCUACACCGAAGCCCAACGAGAGGGUGGUGUUCCUCCCUCAUUUCGUCUGCGGGUUAGGGUUUCCACUCCAUCCUUUCGUCCGCGGACUGAUGUUCUAUUACGGGCUAGAUUUCCAUGAUCUAGCCCCGAACUCCUUCCUCAACAUCUCGGCAUUCAUUGUCGUGUGUGAGGCUUUCCUCCGCAUCCAGCCCCACUUCGGCCUGUGGCUCAAGAUCUUCAACAUGAAGCUGAAGGUGGUGGACGGCCAACACGCAGAGUGCGGAGGAGCCAUGGUGAGCAAGAUGCCCAACGUCAUAUGGCCCAAAGGCACAUUUGUGGAGACUGUCAAGGAGUGGCAGAAGCUGUGGUUCUAUAUCACAGAACCCCGCGACGCCACCUGGGCCGCAGCUUCCAAAUUCAAGUCCGGAGCUCCAAUGCGGCUGACCUCCUGGAUGGAGAAGGGCCCAAAUUAGUUUUUUAUCGGAUGAGCUGAUGGCGCUGCAAACGCGCAUCCAAAGCAUGGUGGACAAAAACAUCAAGCUCGUCGACGUGAUCCAGGUGAUGCUAGUUCGCCAGAUCCUCCCCUGCCAAAGCCGAACCUCCCCUUUAUGGGAAUUCGAUCCGGAGAAGCACCAAACCUUGGUGAGGCUCUUCGGGACCACUCACGAAGAUGCCUGGAAGUUGCUCUUUAAGGGCGUUGAGAAGCCGCCGGCCAUAGACUCGGACCGUGGGCACGAUCUUGCCCAUCCCGCCAAUGCGGUAAGUCCUUCACGUCUCAGGGCGUACCCUCUACUUGCUUGCUCAAGGAGGGUAACUAAACUUUACUAAUUUAUCCUUUCAGGUAUGGACAGAGAAAGCGGAGCGUAUUCGGUGUCCGACUCCGUUGCCCGAGGAACCAGUCAUCCCGCUCUUGGCGAAGAUGCUGGUCCCGGUGCCCUACCAGCCGCCGGAGAAGAAGUCCAAGGGGGGUCGGGGUGGCCUCCGCCGCAAGGGUGCUUCGGACGUGAUGUCCGAAGACAAGACUCACUCCUCUGCCGCCGAAGACGACGACGACAAGGAGGAGGAAAGCAACUCCCCCCCAGAGGGGGGAAGGAAGAAGAGGGCGGCCUCCACAAAUUUGGAGGCGGAGGCGCCCAAGAGGGGGAAGGCCCCUCUCGCGGAUAACUCCACAUGGGAUGUCGACAGCAGCCCAGAGCGCCCCCCCCGAAGCAAGCCCCUGCCCCAUCGUAAGUACUAAAAAUCCGUAUACGUCCAUGUGUCCGGCCUUCCUGCUUCAUGGUAUUAAUAUAUUAUGCUAUUACAGUCUGGCCCACGACAGCUCCCAGCGAUCCUCAUUAGGAGGUUCGCUAGAUUCAAAGGCGAAGGCCAGCGAGUCACCGUCGGCCGCUCACUCUCCCACGGCCAAGGGUGGUGACGAGGUGGUGUCCCGAAGGACCUUCCCAGGCCAGGGAGAGGUUCAGGAGGCCGUUAGGGUGGCGCCAGAGGAUGACUCCUCGGCCGCCGGGCACAUGGGGGAGGAAGCCCCCAAGGAGACUGGCGAUGGGGGCCAUAUCCAAUUCGGCCCCCAGCCGAAUACCAUUCCAGAGACCUACACGGCUCCGGAGUCAAGCGAGCAGCCUUCCCCGAAAGGAGGAGGUGUGCCUGUUCCGCCGGUGACCUCUGUCCAACCAGAGGCACCGGAUAAUCUGCUGGAAGCGCUACGAGGCGCUUCCAUUGUGGAUGAACACCGUAUCCUUAUGGGUACGGUGAUUGAGAAAGUUCAAUCCAUCAAGAGCGGACUGACCGAAGCCUGCAGCAGCCUGCUGACAGGUUUUGAGGUAAGCGACGCAGGAGAGAAAAUCCCAAUAUAGACAGUAGGGGCAUUGUCCGGUGUUCGGAAAGAAAAGCCGGACAGAGGAUCAAUUAAUUUUCACAGGAAACUAACUAAAUGUGUCUUAUAUGCAUAAGCAGGCGUCGUUGCUGGCCGCGACAUCACACACUGCCGAAGUCUCCGGACUGAAGCAGAGAAUGAAGCGGGCCGAGGAGGAGCUCGGCCAGGCGAGGAAGCAACUAGAAGACCAGCAAGGUAUGUAAUAACUCGCCAUAUAUUCAGAAAGAAUAAAUGCUGUGUAUUGACCGUAGUGUCAUGAUAUGUGUAGGAGCGACGACCGAGGUCAAGGCCCUUAAAAAGGCCCUGGCCGAAGCCGAGGAGAAGGCUGCCAAGAGCAAGCCGCCCGCAAAAAGUUCAAGGCCAGGCUCAACGAGGUCUAGCAAGAGCUCCAGGACGCUGUGAAAAAAUGCGAGGCCUUGGAGUGCGAUGUUUCGGCUCGAGAGACCGAACUCGCCAAGGCUCGCUAAAGCGCGGAAGAGGCUCGGGUUGAAGCCCAGGGCACCCUCCAGGAGAUCCAGGAGGCCAAGAAGAUCACGGCGGGUAAGGCAUUUAGUAUGCAAAGCAAGUAUGUGAAGAAGAAGUAUUUCUUACUAACCCGGAUUCGGAAUUCUCCGGGGGCGUUUGUGGAUCUGCCACGCAGUGUGUCCGAUGCUGCGGAGUUCUUCCGAGCUGAAGAAGGGAGCUCAACGGAGAAGCUGUUCUGGUCGCAAUAUCUUGCGCCAGAACAUCCGACGCCCUUCAGCAAUCAGCUAAAACAGCUGGUCGAGCUGCACAGGGUGGCCGAACUGGCCAUGAAGGAUUUGAUAAUUCGGUUGUGGCCUGCCGAAGCUAUACCCAGCAGCUACUUCGGCCUCGUGAAGCAGUUGGUGAAUGCCUGUCCUCAGCUGGACGUCGUCAAGCGGUCGGUCUGCAUCGAGGGCGCGCGCCUGGCCUUCGCCCAUGUCAAGGUGUGGUGGGCGAAGAUGGACGCCGUCAAGCUAGAGACCGAGGGGCCGCAUGAGGGCAAGGAGCACCGCACGCCCGAGCAAUAUUUUGGACACGUCCUGGAGGGGUCUCGCAUCGUGGCGACGCAAUGUGCGAAAGACAUUAUCUUUGAAUGAGUACAUUCAUGUUGUCUCUGCCUUGUAUGAUAAAACAAAGUUGUUAUGUAAUAUAUUAUUUGUUUUAAAAAAAUUUACCUCAUGUGCGGCUGUAUUUUGUGAAAUCUGAGAGUUGGCCAGUCGUCGGCUGCUGCCCCCACGUAGAUAGUACGGCGGUGUUCGGGAUGUAAUCUAAACACUCUUGAUCCAAUUGUUGGUCCUUGAAGGAGGUGUUUAGCGCAACGAACCAGGCAAUCAGACUAUGCGGCUUGAACACCCUCACUUAGCCAUAGGAGUUUGACAAUAAAAAUAUAGGUGCAGCCCCUCGUAUCCGAACUAGGAUGCUGUAAACACCUAAUCGGGCAAGUACCGAUCCCUCGCGUAAUGCGGAAAAAAUCUCCAACGAUUUGAGACCUCCGAAGAGCUGACCGGCUCUCGCCGCAUCAUGGCAGUCAGUUUUCGGCUUUCUCUACUGAGGUGCUCCAUCGGGUAAAACAGGGCACAAUCGCAGUAGUUCUCCCUUUACUACCUUAGCUGAUAUAGCAGAACGUAAGGUAGCAAGCACAGGAGCCGGGCAACCCAACUAUUGACCAAAGACAUGAUUUGGAGCCAAUGCAUAUAAUGCUAAAUUCGGGGUGCCGAACUGUACUGUAAAAAAGUGUUCGGACUUUGUUGCCAUAGUGCGGGGCGCUAUGAAGCCCCUCGCAAAUUGAAACGUACCAAAGUGUAUGGGUGCUAAGGUUAUCAACAGAAAAAAGGGAAACAAAAAAGGAGCAAAGGUAAUGAGCCCGGGCCGCAGAAUUUGGGCCGCAAACUGUUUUCAUUAUAAUUUUAUUAAUACGUUAAAGCGCAUUGAUACAAAUAGUGCGAUAAGCAACAAGCUAUUUGACAUGCCACAACCAAGGGAGAGCUGCGUGUGGGUCCUGAAAACAGGUAGAGUGAUCGUUAAAGAAAACACCUAGAAAUUCCCCUGUACGUUUGUGCUUCUUGCCAUCUUAGUGUAUUUAUCCUUUGACAGGACCGGUGAUCAAGCCAUCAGGAAAAGCCUGUGGAAAAAGAAACCUGAAAAAGGGGAAAGAGAAACAGUGAAAGUAUGUGUGUCCGGGAGCGGUCGAGCCGUAUUGCGGAUCACAAGCUAGCUAUGCCUCCGUCUAUGCCCAUGGUAUUUUGAGUGCGUAGUUAUGUACGCGCAGCGCAAAUGCCGCCACUUGAUCGGGACUAGGACGGAGGCCAAAUUGCUAGUCGAGCUCUUGACGAGCCGAGCUAUCCUGCUGCAGAAUAGUCCGGACCCUCUUGAUAGUGUCCGGGAGUUCGGCCGCUGAAUUGAGGUUCUGCUUGAGAAGGCCGCUCUGUACUUCUGCUGCUAAGGCAGCGGUGUGCUCCUCGGUACGGAGGGAGCAUUCCGGGUUUCCAUUAACUAUUAUGACGCCGCGUGGUUCGGGCAUCUUGAGCUUGAGUUAAGCAUAAUGAGGCACCACAUUAAAUCGAGCAAAUGCGGUUCGUCCGAGCAGUGCGUGAUAGCCGCUGCGAAAAGGGACGAUAUCGAAGAUUAACUCUUCGCUUCGGAAGUUGUCCGGAGAUCCGAAGACAACCUCGAGCAUAAUUGAGCCCGUACAGUGAGCCUCUACACCUGGUAUCACUCCUUUGAAGGUAGUCUUUGUGGGCUUGAUCCGUGAUGGGUUAAUGCCCAUUUUGCGCACUGUAUCCUGAUAGAGCAGAUUGAGUCUGCUGCCACCGUCCAUGAGGACACGCGUCAGGUUGAAUCCAUCAAUGAUUGGGUCGAGGACCAGUGCGGCUGAACCGCCAUGAAGGAUACUAGUCGGGUGAUCCCGGCGAUCAAAGGUGAUCGGGCAUGACGACCAUGGAUUAAAUUUUGGGGCGACUGGCUCUAUCACAUAGAUGUCCCUGAGCGCGCGCUUGCGCUCCCUCUUAGGGAUGUGUGUGGCAUAUAUCAUGUUCACCGUUUUGACUUGGGGGGGGGGGAACUUCUUUUGUCCCCCUAUGUUCGGUUGCCGGGGCUCCUCGUCAUCGUCCUCGCUUUGCAAUCCCUUUUCCUUGUUCUCGGCAUUUAACUUGCCGGCCUGUUUAAAAACCCAACAAUCUCUGUUGGUAUGAUUGGCUGGUUUGUCUGGGGUGCCAUGGAUCUGGCACGGACGAUCAAGUAUGCGGUCCAAGCUGGAUGGUCCUUGAUUGUUUCUUUUAUAUGGCUUCUUCCGCUGACCGGACUUGGAGCCACUGAAUCCGUCGUUGACUGUCGUGUCAUCGGUGUUGUCACCAAUGCUUCGGCGUUUGUGUCUGCUGCGUCGGAGCUUGCCAUUGCUAUUUUUACCCUCGGAGGUGCCCAUUUCGCUUGUUAUGUUUUUGCUACGGGCCAGCCAACUAUCCUCACCCGCACAAAAGCAGGUCAUGAGUGCCGUGAGGGCUACCAUGGACUUCGGCUUUUCUUGGCUGAGGUGGCGGGCUAGCCAUUCGUCACGGAUGCUAUGUUUAAAGGCCGCUAGGGCUUCGGCAUCCGGAUAGUCGACGAUCUGGUUCUUUUUAGUUAGGAACCUAGUCCAGAAUUUCCUGGCUGACUCUCCAGGUUGUCGAACUAUGUGACUUAAGUCAUCGGCAUCUGGUGGCCUGACAUAUGUACCUUGGAAGUUGUCAAGGAAGGCUUCUUCCAAGUCCUCCCAGCUGCCAAUAGAAUUUUCAGGCAGACUAUUUAGCCAGUGCCGAGCUGGCCCUUUGAGUUUUAGUGGGAGGUAUUUGAUGGCGUGAAGGUCAUCCCCGCGGGCCAUGUGGAUGUGGAGAAUAAAAUCCUUGAUCCAUACCGCGAGAUCGGUUGUUCCAUCGUAUGAUUCGAUGUUUAUGGGUUUAAACCCUUCUGGGAAUUAAUGAUCCAUUACUUCAUCAGUGAAGCAAAGAGGGUGUGCGACGCCUCUAUAUCGAGCCGCAUCGCGACGUAGCUCCGACGGAGUCCGUGUGUGGUUUUUGGCCUGGGCGUGACUAGGUCUGUCACGUCCGAAUAGAUAGCCGUCGUCGCGUGUCGAAGCGCGUCCUCGCGAUCCGUAGAUCGAUCUUGUAUGUCCUGCUCUGCUGUCCAGGUCCUGCCGAAGGUCAUAUGUGUAACCCCGAGCUAUUUUAUCUCUGCCUUUACGGCGGGGUGGGGCAUUCUGGUGUUCGGCUUGAGUUGCCACUUUAUCCCGACUGCGUGGUGGUCGAUCAGCCGCAUUGCGUGAUGCUGGUACGGGCUCUAGUGCCUCGUCAUCGAACCGAGGUAGCAAUUUGCGCUUUGGGUAACUUUUGGCCGGGCGCUUGAGGCCGUAUUCUUCGGCUGCUAGGACAUCAGUCCAUCUGUCGUUGAGCAGAUCUUGGUCAGCUUGAAGCUGCUGCUGCUUCUUUUUCAGGCUCCUUGCACUGGCUAUUAGCUGGCGCUUGAAGCGCUCCUGCUCGAGCGGUUCCUCAGGAAUGAUAAAAUCCUCAUUGCCGAGGCUCACCUCCUCCUCGGAGAGCGGAUGAUAACUACCGUCCUCCGAGUCUUCGUCUAUGGCCUGUUCAUCAAGGCUAACUUGCCCAUCUUCCCGAUUGUUCUGUUCGGCAGUUUGUUCGUCGAGGUCUUCUAUGUCUUCAGCACCAUCCGGAGUGUUAUCGUCUCCUGUGCCGGUGUUGUUGUCUUUGCUGCGGCGGGAUUUAGAGCGGCGCCGCUGACGCUGGCGCUUUGGUUGUGUCUUAGGAGGGUCAUCCUCGACUGGAUUUUCCUUGUCCUCACCGUUAUUCUCUUUGGGUGUAUCCACCAUAUAUACGUUGUACGAAGAAGUGGCCGUCCAGCGUCUGGUAAAUGGCAGGUUUUGGGCCUCCUCUUCUCCGGCAUCGUCGACCAUACCGUCGAUGUCUUCGGAGUCGUAAUCGAGCGUGUCAGUUAGGUCUUCGACAGUGGCUAUGAAGUGGGCGGUGGGCGGGAAAUGAAAUUCUCCAUCGUCAGCCUCCAGUUCAAACCGGAUAUAAUUCGGCUGAGAGUCCCCCACUACGGAUAGAUUCUUUAAUGAGUUCAGCAUGUCGCCUAAAGGCGAGUGUCGGAAGAUGUCCGCGGCGCUAAAUUCGGCGAUCGAUGAACGAUCCUGCUCGACGUACGCGGACGCACAUGGCUCGGAACUUAUAGCCGGAAACGAGUCCAAGGUUCCGGAGACACAGAUAUCACUCGAGGUUAGGUCUGUGUGCGGCUCCAACGCCGCGGAGUCUACGGCUUCCGUGGCGGGGUUGAGCUUCCCGUCCUCGAAUGGCACGAUUUGCUCUGGCUCUAAGGCCAGGGCGGUUACAGGUGCAAUUUCCUGGGCAUGGCCCAAUGACAGAUUUGAGUCAUGUUCAUCAUGGCGACGGGGAGCGACUGCCGUGGUCUCGAAUCCGUCGAAGAUUAAGUCUCCGCGGAUAUCCGCGACAUAGUUCAAGCUUCCAAAUCUGACCUGAUGGCUAGGGGCGUAGCUUUAGAUCUGCUCCAGAUGGCCAAGCGAGUUGGCCCGUAGUGCGAAGCCGCCGAACACAAAGAUCUGUCCGGGAAGGAAGACUUCUCCUUGGACAGCAUCGUUGUAGAUGAUCGAAGGAGCCAUCGAACCUUUUGAGGACGGCACAGCGGAACUCUCAAUGAAAGCACCAAUGUCGGUGUCAAACCGGCGGAUCUCGGGUAGGGGGUCCCGAACUGUGCGUCUAAGGUCGAUGGUAACAGGAAACGGGGGACACAAUGUUUACCCAGGUUCGGGCCCUCUCUAUGGAGGUAAUACCCUACUUCCUGCUUGAUUGAUCUUGAUGAAUAUGAGUAUUAUAAGAGUUGAUCUACCAUGAGAUCGCAAUGGCUAAAACCCUAGAAGUCUAGCCUGUAUGACUAUAAUUGUAUACGCCGAUCCGGACUAAGCCCUCCGGUUUAUAUAGACACCGGAGGGGACUAGGGUUGUACAAAUUCGGUUACAAAGAAAGGAAUCUUCAUAUUUGGUCGCCAAGCUUGCCUUCCACGCCAAGGAGAGUCCCAUCCGGACACGGGUAGAGUCUCCGGUCUUUGUAUCUUCACAGCCCAACAGUCCGGCCCAUGUCCAACAGGCCGGAUGCCCGAGGACCCCUUUGUCCAGGACUCCCUCACUUGUCGUUGAUCCUGCCUUGAUGUUGUAUGAAUUGAUCCCAGAUGGCACAUUCUGGUUUGCUAAGCUUUGGCUUAUAAUAUGGCCCAGAAUUCCCUAGGAUGAAUAAUGCCAGGCUGUCAAUACUAUUAGGGCUCAUUUGGUUACAAGAGAUCCUCCCGGGAACCAUGCCUCUUCCUUGGGUGGAGAGAACUUGGGUUGAAUCGGUCCAGGGAAGCCAACCGCUGCAUUUGGACUCCCAUGAGAUUGGGGCACCCCCGCCCCUUCCAUGACCUUUCCCCGGGAGCGGCUUCCACGGCUCGAGAGGUCAGGGAUCAAACCCCCGCUCGCUACCGCGAAAAAGUGGUGACGGGGCUGGAAGCGUCGCCUCCCCACCCCCCUUCACCAUCCUUCCUCCAGCGCUCCACGUCUAAGCUUCGUCGUUCCCGUGGCUGUAACAGAAAUUCCCCGCGGUGGUGGGAAAUCCCAUGUGCAUGUGAAAACUACCCCUACAGCGUGUUUGGCUAGAAUGAGGAAAUGGAAUGGGAGUUUACACGUGUGAGUUUAGCAGGGGAUUAGGCGUGGGAAGUUGAAUUUUAGUUCCAAUCCCAUGUUUGAUGUAUGGUGGUAAUUAGUAAAGGGAAUUUAAGAGAAAAUAACUUUCCAACUGAAUUAACAGGGGAGGCUCGGAAGAGAUAGGUGGGGAUUGACCUCCUUAGUUCACUUUCCCCAUCUCACCCCAAUUCCCUUGCCCUCAAACCAAACAAUGGACUAUAUAUCACGUACCCCUUAAAUUCUCAUUCCCUACCUCUAAUACCCCCAGCCAAACGGGCUGCUAGGGGCUUGUGGCCUUGGGCUUUCUCCCCCUUCUAACAAACAAGGUCUUAUAAUUCUGCGAAACAUUGCAAGUUUAUUCAGGAUGUUGUGCAUUGUUUUUAUUCAGCAGAACAUUGCAGGUUUAAUAGUUUCAUUUUUAUUUUGGAGAUAAAUUAAUAGAGCUCUCUUUGGCAAUAAAUACCACUCCCUCCAUCUCACAAUAUAAAAUGUUUUCCCAAGCUAUAUGAGUGAGUAGCACGCUGCGCCUGUUUCAUAAGAAAAAGAGGAAAAAAAAGGAACAGUCUAGCCUUGGGCAGUUGGGCACACUGGGACAGAGUUCAGGUGACGUGCCUCUGUGCAGUCAUGCUGUAACAUGCGGCCACCCAUCUGUCGUUGAAGCAAGAUCCAACGCAACUGAUUGGCCCAAGUGAAACCAAGCCACAACUAUACAGACUUGAGGGACGGACGGGGACUAUGGCGGGGGAAAACUAGAGAUUUGGCGGGACACGUCGUCCUCUCCUGCGCCGCGAACGAGAGGCUGGAGGGCGACUGUCGCCGUGGUGGAGGAGAGGAAGGCGAGCUGCCACGCAGGGGAGCCCCCAAGAUGGAAGCGAGGCAGCCCAAGGCCGUCACCGAGGAGCACGAGGAGGGGCGCCGCCGCCAUGGAGGAGAGCGGCGAGGGGCUGCGCCGUGGCUGUAGAGGAGGGAGGAGAGCCACUGCACCGUGAGAUUCCACGUGAACCUCUCCAGAUGAAUCUGUAGUGAGUCCCCUGUUGUUCAUCUUUAGGCUAAACAUCUUCUGACAUUUUACUUUGGCUGAAAAUGUUCUUACUCCCUCAUCGUAUCAGCUAUACAAAUGCUCUAAAGCACUGCUUGACUGCUUAUUUUUUAUCUAAAUAAAAGUGCAAAUCUGCAGCAUCUUUUCAUGGAUUUGGAUCCUUGACUUGCAUCUCUGAAAUCUGCAACUCAUGUUUAUGCAACUGAAGUACACAAGAUAGUUUCUCUGCAAUGUUGUUUGAUUUAGUAACAAGUAACAAAUCAGUACUUUAGAGGGCAAGAAACCUGCACAUUUGAUGCUUCUCUGCAUGUUUAUGGUGGUCAUGCCAUGAUGACUAGGUUCAGCUUAUGAAGUAAUGUGUGUUGAUUAAACCCAGUCUAAAGGGCAGUGCACAGCUGCCAUUGCUUGAAAAGUAGCAAGUACUAUGCUAGGCUUUCUCCGAUCAAAAGACUGAGAUGGAGAAGUAGCUAGAUAGUAGUAGGCUUUAUCUAGUCAAAAGGCUGAGGUGGAGAUGCAGGUAAGUAUAGCAUUAGGCUUUAGCUGUGGAAGCAAUUACGUAGUAGUUUCUAGGAAAUGGCUUUUGCAUGGCCAUGGUAGUAGCCCCGUAAUUUCUAGCGUGUGUGUGAGCCAGCCCAAUAACAAUUUCAGAAAUUCCUAAUAAAUUCUAGAGGUCCACUAAGCCCAUUCGUGCAAGGCAAGGGACACUACUAAAGUUUAGUCCCACAUUGCUAGUUUAGAGGGAGUUGGACCUCUUUAUAAGGGAGGUUCUUUCCCCACAUGUAUGAGCAUGAGAACAAGAGGGACAUCCACGCGCGCUCCUCCUCCGCCGCCCGCCUCGCCUCGCCAUCUCUCGUCACGACGCGACGGGGGUUGCGGGAAUGAGCCGAGCCGAUGUCUAAAUUUUUGCCACGCACUACGGGUAUACGAAAGGUCACUCGGAGCUAGAAAGUUUUUGCUGUAGUGGAUAUUGAAUACGAACGUUGCACCCUUCGGCUGCUGCCUGUUCGUUUCAUCUCCCUCGUUCCCUUCAGCUCCCGGCGCAGCCUCUCGCCUCCUUCUCUUGCGCCUAUAAAAGGGAGGUCGCUCCUCUCAGAGAGAUGCACCAGAACUUCUUCUUCCUCUCGCCACCGGUUUCAUUCUCUGAGCUGUUGCAGUCUUCCUCAUCCCGGCUUGCGGCGUGCACCGCGAGUCGGGACAGUAGGCCUCCGAAACCGCACCACUUUGAGUCCUGUACGGGAGAAGGGUGAUAAGGUUUUUAGGGAGCGCUCCGCACGACUACUGACUCCUUCAUCACGGACUCCGACGACUACUUCCCCGACGACGACUUCUUCCCCGACGUCGACAACCUCAUCGACGACAUGGCUGGAGAGGAUGUCGACCCCAUGUCCAGUGCUUCUGCUGCUGCUGUCCUGUACGUGUUCUUGUUCUUUCUGUUAGGAGUCCUGCUACAGUUCUUGGCUCUUGUUUCUGCCCUACAUAUGUUAGGUUCUAUGUCAUAUAAGCAACUUAAUCUAGUGUCUGUUCUAGAUGUGUUUAGCUCAAGUUCAUAUAUGCAGACGUUGUUUACCUUCUCUCUGUCAGAUUGCAUGACUUUCUUUAUAUUUGCUAUAUUAGUCAUGCUUUAUCUAGUAUUUCCGUUAGCAAAAUUAUUUGGUAAAUUGCUCAUAUUUCCAACAAUCCAAAAACCUUAUUAUAGGCAAUUUACACCAAGUGGUUUUGCUGCUUCCAUGAGACCUCCUAUGUUUGAGGGUAUCCACUAUAAGAGGUGGCGCGUGAGAGCAGUCUUAUGGUUUCAAACCAUGAGUUGUUAUGACGCCACUCUUGGCAAACCUGAAGGAGAGCUUGAUGCUCAACAGGCACAAGCUUUUCAGAAAAUGGAUACUCUGUUUAAGGCUGCUCUCUUGAGUGUUCUUGGUGAGAACAUAGUUGAUGCUUAUGCGUCAAUUGAUAAUGGAAAAGAUAUGUGUGAUCCACUCGAGGCCAAGUUUGGGGUCUCGGAUGUUGGCACUGAGCUGUACAUCAUGGAGCAAUUCUAUGAUUACAGGAUGACUGAAGAGCGCUCUGUGGUUGAGCAAGCUCAUGAGAUGCAGUCAUUUGCUAGAGAACUUGAGCACUUCAGUUCUAUGCUACCGGACAAGUUUGUUGUCGGAGGUAUCAUCAGUAAGCUUCCUCCUUCAUGGAGGAACUUUGCUACCUUACUGAAGCAUAAGAGGCAGGAGUUUUCCGUUCCGGAUCUCAUUGGCACUCUUGAUGUGGAAGAAAAGGCGAGAGCAAAGGACACACGUGCUCGAGGUAUUGAGGAAGGAUCUAGUGCCAAUCUGGUACAGAAGAAGAACUUCCAGCCCCACAAGUUCAAGAACAAGGGAAAGUUUAAUGGUAAACCAAAGUUUGAUGGGAAGAACAAGGCUGUGCAACACACGAACUUCAAGAAGAAGAAUGACAAGAAGAAAGGUGCUUGUCAUGUGUGUGGGGAUCCUGAUCAUUGGGCUCCUAGUUGCCCUAAUCGCUGUGACAAGCGUCAUCCUGGGAAAGGCGGCAAAACCGCUAAUGUUGUCAUUGGAGACACUGACAUGAAGGAUGCUGGUGUUGGAAAUAUGCCCUAGAGGCAAUAAUAAAUAGGUUAUUAUUAUAUUUCCUUGUUCAUGAUAAUCGUUUAUUAUCCAUGCUAGAAUUGUAUUGAUAGGAAACUCAGAUACAUGUGUGGAUACAUAGACAACACCAUGUCCCUAGUAAGCCUCUAGUUGACUAGCUCGUUGAUCAAUAGAUGGUUACGGUUUCCUGACCAUGGACAUUGGAUGUCGUUGAUAACGGGAUCACAUCAUUAGGAGAAUGAUGUGAUGGACAAGACCCAAUCCUAAGCCUAGCACAAGAUCGUGUAGUUCGUUUGCUCAGAGCUUUUCUAAUGUCAAGUAUCACUUCCUUAGACCAUGAGAUUGUGCAACUCCCGGAUACCGUAGGAAUGCUUUGGGUGUGCCAAACGUCACAACGUAACUGGGUGGCUAUAAAGGUGCACUACGGGUAUCUCCGAAAGUGUCUGUUGGGUUGGCACGAAUCGAGACUGGGAUUUGUCACUCCGUGUAAACGGAGAGGUAUCUCUGGGCCCACUCGGUAGGACAUCAUCAUAAUGUGCACAGUGUGAUCAAGGAGUUGAUCACGGGAUGAUGUGAGUUACGGAACGAGUAAAGAGACUUGCCGGUAACGAGAUUGAACAAGGUAUAGGGAUACCGACGAUCGAAUCUCGGGCAAGUAACAUACCGAUGGACAAAGGGAAUUGCAUACGGGAUUGAUUGAAUCCCCGACAUCGUGGUUCAUCCGAUGAGAUCAUCGUGGAACAUGUGGGAGCCAACAUGGGUAUCCAGAUCCCGCUGUUGGUUAUUGACCGGAGAACGUCUCGGUCAUGUCUGCAUGGUUCCCGAACCCGUAGGGUCUACACACUUAAGGUUCGAUGACGCUAGGGUUAUAGGGAAAGUAUGUACGUGGUUACCGAAUGUUGUUCGGAGUCCCGGAUGAGAUCCCGGACGUCACGAGGAGUUCCGGAAUGGUCCGGAGGUAAAGAUUUAUAUAUGGAAAGUUGUUGUUCGGGUUCCGGGAAAAGUUCGGGUUUUUUCGGUAUUGUACCGGGAAGCUUCCAGAAGAUUCCGGAGGAUUCCGGAGGGGUCCGGAGGUCCGGAAAAUGUUCCACCACGUCUAAUACAGUAGCAUGGGCUGUAAGGGGGCGCCCUAGCCUUAAUGGGCCAGGGGCACCAGCCCCCCAAGGCCCAUGCGCAUGGGAGAGGGGAAACCCUAAGGGGGAGGGCCUCCACUUGACUUGGGAGGCACUCCUCCCCCCUUUGGCCGCCCCCCAAGCCCCAUCUAGGGCUAGCCGCACCCCUUGAGGGGGGAAACCCUAGAUGGGGGCGCAGCCCUCCCCCUCCCCUAUAUAUAUUGAGGUUUUGGGCUGCCAUAGACAUGAGAACGUCUCCUUUUGGUGCAGCCCUACCCCUCUUCCUCCUCCUCCUCUCCCGCGGUGCUUGGCGAAGCCCUGCGGGAUUGCCACGCUCCUCCACCACCACCAUGCCGUCGUGUUGCUGCUGGAUGGAGUCUUCCCCAACCUCUCCCUCUCUCCUUGCUGGAUCAAGGCGUGGGAGACGUCACCGGGCUGCACGUGUGUUGAACGCGGAGGCACCGUUCUUUCGGUGCUUAGAUCGGAAUCAACCGCGAUCUGAAUCGCUACGAGUACGACUCCCUCAUCCGCGUUCUUGCAACGCUUCCGCAUCGCGAUCUACAAGGGUAUGUAGAUUCACUCCCCUUCCCCUCGUUGCUAGAUUACUCCAUAGAUUGAUCUUGGUGAUGCGUAGAAAAUUUUGAAUUUCUGCUGCGUUACCCAACAGUGGCAUCAUGAGCUAGGUCUAUGCGUAGUUUCUAUGCACGAGUAGAACACAAAGUAGUUGUGGGCGUCGAUGUUGUCAAUUCUUCUUGCCGCUACUAGUCUUAUCUUGUUUCGGCGGCAUUGUGGGAUGAAGCGGCCCGGACCGACCUUACACGUACGCUUACGUGAGACAGGUUCCACCGACUGACAUGCACUAGUUGCAUAAGGUGGCUAGCGGGUGUCUGUCUCUCCCACUUUAGUCGGAACGGAUUCGAUGAAAAGGGUCCUUAUGAAGGGUAAAUGGAAAUUGGCAAAUCACGUUGUGGUCAUACGUAGGUAAGAAACGUUCUUGCUAGAAACCUACAAACCACGUAAAAACUUGCAACAACAAUUAGAGGACGUCUAACUUGUUUUUGCAGCAUGUGCCUUGUGAUGUGAUAUGGCCAGAAGAUGUGAUGAAUGAUAUAUGUGAUGUAUGAGAUUGAUCAUAUUCUUGUAAUAAGAAUCACGACUUGCAUGUCGAUGAGAAUGACAACCGGCAGGAGCCAUAGGAGUUGUCUUUAUUAUUUUUGUAUGACCUGCGUGUCAUUGAAUAACGCCAUGUAAGUUACUUUACUUUAUUGCUAAGCGCGUUAGCCAUAGAAGUAGAAGUAACCAUUGGCAUGACAACUUCAAGAAGACACAAUGAUGGAGAUCAUGAUGAUGGAGAUCAUGGUGUCAUGCCGGUGACAAAGAUGAUCAUGGUGCCCCGAAGAUGGAGAUCAAAGGAGCAUAAUGAUAUUGGCCAUAUCAUGUCACUAUUUGAUUGCAUGUGAUGUUUAUCAUGUUUUUGCAUCUUAUUUGCUUAGAACGACGGUAGCAAGUAGGAUGAUCCCUUAUAAUAAUUUCAAGAAAGUGUUCACCCUAACUGUGCACCGUUGCGAAGGUUCGUCGUUUCGAAGCACCACGUGAUGAUCGGGUGUGAUAGAUUCUUACGUUCGAAUACAACGGGUGUUGACGAGCCUAGCAUGUACAGACAUGGCCUCGGCCCACACGCAAUACACUUAGGUUGACUUGACGAGCCUAGCAUGUACAGACAUGGCCUCGGAACACGGAGGACCGAAAGGUCGAGCAUGAGUCGUAUAGAAGAUACGAUCAACAUGGAGAUGUUCACCGAUCUUGACUAGUCCGUCUCACGUGAUGAUCGGACACGGCCUAGUUGAACUCGGAUCAUGUUUCACUUAGAUGACUAGAGGGAUGUCUAUCUGAGUGGGAGUUCAUAAUCAGAUGAACUUCAUUAUCAUGAACAUAGUCAAAAAGGUAUUUGCAAAUUAUGUCAUAGCUUGCGCUUUAAGUUCUACUGGUUUAGAUAUGUUCCUAGAGAAAAAUUUAGUUGAAAGUUGGUAGUAGCAAUUAUGCGGACUGGGUCCGUAAACUGAGGAUUGUCCUCAUUGCUGCACAGAAGGCUUAUGUCCUUAAUGCACCGCUCGGUGUGCUGAACCUCAGCGUCGUCUGUAGAUGUUGCGGAACAUCUGACAUACACGUUUUGAUAACUACAUGAUAGUUCAGUGCGUAAUGCUAACGGUUUAGAAUUGUGGCACCAAAGACGUUUUGAAACGUCGCAGAACAUAUGAGAUGUUCCGAAGACUGAAAUUGGGAUUUCAGACUAGUGCCCACGUCAAGAGGUAUGAGACCUCUGACAAGUUUCUUAAGCCUGAAGACUAAGGGAGAAAAGCUCAAUCGUUGAGCAUGUGCUCAGAUUGUCUGAGUGCCACAAUUGCUUGAAUCGAGUGGGAGUUUAUCUUCCAGAUGAGAUAGUGAUGGUUCUCCAUAGUCACUGCCACCAAGCUAUUAGAGCUUCGUGAUGAACUAUAACAUAUCAAGGAUAGAUGAUGAUCCUUGAGCAACUCGCGAUGUUUGACACCGCGAAAGUAGAAAUCAAGAAGGAGCAUCAAUUGUUGAUGGUUAAUAAAACCACUAGUUUAAGAAGGGCAAGGGAAAAAGGGAUACUUCAUGAAACAACAAGUCGUUUGCUGCUCUAGUGAAGAAUCCCAAGGUUGAACCCAAACCCGAGACUAAGUGCUUCUGUAAUAAGAGGAACGGUCACUGAAGCAGUACUACCCUAGAUACUUGGUAGAUGAGAAGGCAGGCAAGGUCGACAGAAGUAUAUUGGAUAUACGUUAGAUGAAUGUGUACUUUACUAGUACUCCUAGUAGCACCAGGGUAUUAGAUACUGGUUCGGUUGCUAAGUGUUAGUAACUCGAAAUAAAAGCUGUGGAAUAAAUGGAGACUAGCUAAAGGUGAGAUGACGAUAUGUGUUGGAAAUGUUUCCAAGGUUGAUGUGAUCAAGCAUCGCAUGCUCCCUCUACCAUCGAGAUUUGGUGUUUGCGUUGAGCAUGAUUGGAUUAUGUUUAUCGCAAUACGGUUAUUCAUUUAAGGAGAAUAAUGGUUACUCUGCUUAUUUGAAUAAUACUUUCAAUGGUCUUGCACCUAAAAUGAAUCUCGAUUGUAGUGAUACACAUGUUCGUGCCAAAAGAUGUAAAAUAGUAAUGAUAGUUCUAGAUACUUAUGGCACUGCAAUUUGAGUCAUAUUGGUAUAGAACGCAUGAAGAAGCUCCAUGUAGAUGGAUCUUUGGACUCAAUCGUUUUUGAAAAGAUUGAGACAUGCGAACCAUGUCUAUUGGUAUAUAUGCAUGAAGAAACUCCAUGCAGAUGGAUCGCUUGGACUCACUUGAUUUCGAAUCACUUGAGACAUGCAAAUCAUACCACAUGGGCGAGAUGACUGAAAGUCCUCGUUUUCAGUAAGAUGGAACAAGAGAGCAACUUAUUGGAAGUAAUACAUUUUGAUGUAUGCAGUCCAAUGAGUUCUAAGGCAUGCAGUGGAUAUCAUUAUGUUCUUACUUCACAGAUGAUUUGAGUAGAUGCUGAGAAUAUUUACUUGAUGAAACACAAGUCUGAAUUAUUGAAAGGUUCAAGUAAUUUCAGAGUGAAGUCGAAGAUUGUCGUGACAAGAGGAUAAAAUGUCUAUGAUAUGAUCAUAGAGAUAUCUGAGUUACGAGUUUGGCACACAAUUAAGACAUUGUGGAAAGUGUUUCACAAUUAAUACCGCCUGGAACACCAUAGUGUGAUGGUGUGUCCGAACAUCAUAACUGCACCCUAUUGGAUAUGGUGCAUACCAUGAUGUUUCUUAUCAAAUUACCACUAUCGUUUAUGGGUUAGGCAUUAGAGACAACCGCAUUCACUUUAAAAGGGGCACCACGCAAUUCCGUUGAGACGACACCGUUUAGAGAAACCUAAGUUGUCGUUUCUUAAAAGUUUGGGGCUGCGCAGCUUAUGUGAAAAAGUUUCAAGCUGAUAAGCUCGAACCCAAAGCGGAUAAAUACAUCUUCAUAGAAAACCCAAAACAGUUGGGUGUACCUCCUAUUUCAGAUCUGGAAGCAAAAGUAAUUGUUUCUAGAAAUGAGUCCUUUCUCGAGGAAAAGUUUCUCUCAAACGAAUUGAGUGGGAGGAUGGUGGAGACUUGAUAAGUUUAUUGAACCGUCACUUCAACUAGUGUGUAGCAGGGCACAGGAAGUUGUUCCUGUGGCACCUACACCAAUUGAAGUGGAAGCUUAUGAUGGUGAUCAUGAAACUUCGGAUCAAGUCACUACCAAACCUCGUAGGACGACGAGGAUGCGUAAUACUUCAGAGUAGUACGUGAUCCUGUCUUGGAAGUCAUGUUGUUGGACAACGAUGAACCUAUGAGCUAUGGAGAAGCGAUGGUGGGCCCAUAUUCCGACAAAUGGUUAGAAGCCAUGAAAUCCGAGAUAAAUGGAACUUUGAGAAGAACACGGACGUGGACGGUAAUGUUACCGUCUAUGAAGCUCGACUUGUGGCAAAGAGUAUUUCCACAAGUUCAAGGAGUUGACUACGAUGAGAUUUGCUCAUCCGCAGCGAUGCUUAGGUCCGUCGGAAUCAUGUAGGCAUUAGCUGCAUUUAUGAAAUCUGGCAGAUGGAUGUCAAAACAAGUUUCCUUACCAGUUUUCGUAAGGAAAGGUUGUAUGUGAUACAAUCAGAAAGGUUUUGUCGAUCCUAAGGAUGCUAAAAGGUAUGCUAGCUCCAGCGAUCCUUCUAAGGACUGGAGUAAGCAUCUCGGAGUUGGAAUGUACGCUUUGAUGAGAUGAUCAAAGAUUUUGGAUUUAUACAAAGUUUAUGAGAAAUUUGUAUUUCCAAUAAAGUGAGUGGGAGCGCUACAACAUUUCUGAUAAGUAUAUGUGAAUGACAUAUUGUUGAUCCGAAAUGAUGUAAAAUUUCUGGAAAGCAUAAAGGGUUGUUUGAAAGGAGUUUUUCAAAGGAAGACCUGGAUAAAGCUACUUACAUAUUGGGCAUCAAGAUCCAUAGAGAUAGAUCAAGACGCCUGAUGAUACUUUCAAAAGACAGCACACCUUGACAUGAUUUUGAAAGAGUUCAAAAUAGAUCAGCAAAGAAGGAGUUCUUGGCUGUGUUACAAGGUGUGAGUAUUGAGUGAGACUCAAGACCUGACCACAGCAGAAGAUAGAGAAAGGACGAAGGUCGUCCCCUAUGCUUUAGACGUAGGCUCUAUAGUAUGCUAUGCUGUGUACCGCACAUGUAGUGUGCCUUGCCAUGAGUUGGUCAAGAGGGUACAAUGGUGAUCCGGGAAAGGAUCUCAUGACAGCGGUCGAACUUAUCCUUAGUACCUAGUGGAUUAAGGAAUUUUCUCGAUUAUGGAGGUGGAAAGGAGUUCGUCGUAAAGGGUUACGUCGAUGCGAACUUUGACACUAAUCCGGAUGACUCUGAGUAGUAAACCGGAUUCGUAUAGUAGAGCAAUUAUUUGAAAUGGCUCCAAAUAGCGCGUGGUAGCAUCCACAAAGAUGACAUGGAUAUUCGUAAAGCACACACGAAUCUGAAAGGUUCAGACCCGUUGACUAAUAACCUCUCUCACAAGCAUAACAUGAUCAAACCAGAACUCAUUGAGUGUUAAUCACAUAGAGAUGUGAACUAGAUUGUUGACUCUAGUAAACUCUUGGGUGUUGGUCACAUGGUGAUGUGACCUGUCAGUGUUAAUCGCAUGGUGAUGUGAACUAGAUUAUUGACUCUAGUGCAAGUGGGAGACUGUUGGAAAUAUGCCCUAGAGGCAAUAAUAAAUAGGUUAUUAUUAUAUUUCCUUGUUCAUGAUAAUCGUUUAUUAUCCAUGCUAGAAUUGUAUUGAUAGGAAACUCAGAUACAUGUGUGGAUACAUAGACAACACCAUGUCCCUAGUAAGCCUCUAGUUGACUAGCUCGUUGAUCAAUAGAUGGUUACGGUUUCCUGACCAUGGACAUUGGAUGUCGUUGAUAACGGGAUCACAUCAUUAGGAGAAUGAUGUGAUGGACAAGACCCAAUCCUAAGCCUAGCACAAGAUCGUGUAGUUCGUUUGCUCAGAGCUUUUCUAAUGUCAAGUAUCACUUCCUUAGACCAUGAGAUUGUGCAACUCCCGGAUACCGUAGGAAUGCUUUGGGUGUGCCAAACGUCACAACGUAACUGGGUGGCUAUAAAGGUGCACUACGGGUAUCUCCGAAAGUGUCUGUUGGGUUGGCACGAAUCGAGACUGGGAUUUGUCACUCCGUGUAAACGGAGAGGUAUCUCUGGGCCCACUCGGUAGGACAUCAUCAUAAUGUGCACAGUGUGAUCAAGGAGUUGAUCACGGGAUGAUGUGAGUUACGGAACGAGUAAAGAGACUUGCCGGUAACGAGAUUGAACAAGGUAUAGGGAUACCGACGAUCGAAUCUCGGGCAAGUAACAUACCGAUGGACAAAGGGAAUUGCAUACGGGAUUGAUUGAAUCCCCGACAUCGUGGUUCAUCCGAUGAGAUCAUCGUGGAACAUGUGGGAGCCAACAUGGGUAUCCAGAUCCCGCUGUUGGUUAUUGACCGGAGAACGUCUCGGUCAUGUCUGCAUGGUUCCCGAACCCGUAGGGUCUACACACUUAAGGUUCGAUGACGCUAGGGUUAUAGGGAAAGUAUGUACGUGGUUACCGAAUGUUGUUCGGAGUCCCGGAUGAGAUCCCGGACGUCACGAGGAGUUCCGGAAUGGUCCGGAGGUAAAGAUUUAUAUAUGGAAAGUUGUUGUUCGGGUUCCGGGAAAAGUUCGGGUUUUUUCGGUAUUGUACCGGGAAGCUUCCAGAAGAUUCCGGAGGAUUCCGGAGGGGUCCGGAGGUCCGGAAAAUGUUCCACCACGUCUAAUACAGUAGCAUGGGCUGUAAGGGGGCGCCCUAGCCUUAAUGGGCCAGGGGCACCAGCCCCCCAAGGCCCAUGCGCAUGGGAGAGGGGAAACCCUAAGGGGGAGGGCCUCCACUUGACUUGGGAGGCACUCCUCCCCCCUUUGGCCGCCCCCCAAGCCCCAUCUAGGGCUAGCCGCACUCCUUGAGGGGGGAAACCCUAGAUGGGGGCGCAGCCCUCCCCCUCCCCUAUAUAUAUUGAGGUUUUGGGCUGCCAUAGACAUGAGAACGUCUCCUUUUGGUGCAGCCCUACCCCUCUUCCUCCUCCUCCUCUCCCGCGGUGCUUGGCGAAGCCCUGCGGGAUUGCCACGCUCCUCCACCACCACCAUGCCGUCGUGUUGCUGCUGGAUGGAGUCUUCCCCAACCUCUCCCUCUCUCCUUGCUGGAUCAAGGCGUGGGAGACGUCACCGGGCUGCACGUGUGUUGAACGCGGAGGCACCGUUCUUUCGGUGCUUAGAUCGGAAUCAACCGCGAUCUGAAUCGCUACGAGUACGACUCCCUCAUCCGCGUUCUUGCAACGCUUCCGCAUCGCGAUCUACAAGGGUAUGUAGAUUCACUCCCCUUCCCCUCGUUGCUAGAUUACUCCAUAGAUUGAUCUUGGUGAUGCGUAGAAAAUUUUGAAUUUCUGCUGCGUUACCCAACAGCUGGGUAUGGUAUAUUUCCCACUAUUCUUUCAGUAUGUCAUUCUCCUGAUUGGUUGAUUGACACGGGUGCUAAUGUGCAUGUAUGCGGUGAUAUUUCCAUGUUUUCGUCUUAUCAGACCGCAGGGACUUCAACCGUGCUGAUGGGCACCGGUUCAAGUGCUUCUGUUCGUGGUGUUGGCACGGUCGAUCUGAAGUUUACUUCGGGGAAGAUCGUGCGGCUGAAGAACGUGCGUUAUGUCCCCUCCGUCAAUAAAAAUCUUGUUAGUGGAUCUCUUCUAUGUAGAGAUGGCUACAAGCUUGUCUUUGAGUUGAAUAAAUUUGUAAUAUCCAAGUAUGGAACCUUUGUUGGUAAAGGCUAUGAGUCAGGAGGCAUGUUUCGUUUAUCCUUAUCAGACGUUUGCAAUAAAGUUGUUAAUCAUAUUUGCAACAAUAGUGAAUCAAAUGUGUGGCAUUCACGUCUUUGUCAUGUUAACUUUGGUUGCAUGUCGCGACUAGCGAAGUUAAACUUAAUCCCUAGUUUCACCACUGUCAAGGGAUCCAAGUGUCAAGUGUGUGUUGCAACAAUAGUGAAUCAAAUGUGUGGCAUUCACGUCUUUGUCAUGUUAACUUUGGUUGCAUGUCGCGACUAGCGAAGUUAAACUUAAUCCCUAGUUUCACCACUGUCAAGGGAUCCAAGUGUCAAGUGUGUGUGCAAGCUAAGCAACCUCGUAAGUCUCAUGUGACUACGGAAACGAGAAAUCUUUCACCACUAGAACUCAUACAUUCAGAUCUAUGUGAAAUGAAUGGUGUGUUGACAAAAGGUGGAAAGAAAUAUUUCAUGACGUUAAUUGAUGACUCCACUAGAUUGUUGGGGAACGUAGUAAUUUCAAAAAAAUUCCUACGCACACACAUAAUCAUGGUGAUGCAUAGCAACGAGAGGGGAGAGUGUUGUCCACGUACCCUCGUAGACCGAAAGUGGAAGCGUUAGCACAACACGGUUGAUGUAGUCGUACGUCUUCACGAUCCGACCGAUCAAGUACCGAACGCACGGCACCUCCGAGUUCAGCACACGUUCAGCUCGAUGACGUCCCUCGAACUCCGAUCCAGCCGAGCUUUGAGGGAGAGUUCCGUCAGCAUGACGGCGUGGUGACGAUGAUGAUGUUCUACCGACGCAGGGCUUCGCCUAAGCACCACUAUGAUAUGACCGAGGUGGAUUAUGGUGGAGGGGGGCACCGCACACGGCUAAGAGAUCAAUGAUCAAUUGUUGUGUCUUUGGGGUGCCCCCCUCCCCGUAUAUAAAGGAGUGGAGGAGGGGGAGGGCCGGCCCUCUCUAUGGCGCGCCCUAGGAGGAGUCCUACUCCCACCGGGAGUAGGAUUCCCCCUUCCAAGUAGUAGUAGGAGUCAAGGAAAGGGGAGAGAGAAGAGAAGGAAGGAGGGGGCGUAGCCCCUCCCCCUAGUCCAAUUCGGACUAGGCCUUGGGGGGGCACCCAGCCUCUCCUCUCUCUUUCCCCUAAAGCCCAAUAAGGCCCAUAUACUCCCCGGCGAAUUCCCGUAACUCUCUGGUACUCCAAAAAAUACCCGAAUCACUCGGAACCUUUCCGAUGUCCGAAUAUAGUCGUCCAAUAUAUCGAUCUUUACGUCUUUGCCAUUUCGAGAAUCCUCGUCAUGUCCCCGAUCUCAUCCGGGACUCCGAACUACCUUCGGUACAUCAAAAAACAUAAACUCAUAAUAUAACCGUCAUCGAACUUUAAGCGUGCGGACCCUACGGGUUCGAGAACUAUGUAGACAUGACCGAGACACGUCUCCGGUCAAUAACCAAUAGCGGAACCUGGAUGCUUAUAUUGGCUCCCACAUAUUCUACGAAGAUCUUUAUCGGCCAAACCGCAUAACAACAUACGUUGUUCCCUUUGUCAUCGGUAUGUUACUUACCCAAGAUUCGGUCGUCGGUAUCUCAAUACCUAGUUCAAUCUCGUUACCGGCAAGUCUCUUUACUCGUUCCGUAAUACAUCAUCCCGCAACUAACUCAUUAGUUACAAUGCUUGCAAGGCUUAUAGUGAUGUGCAUUACUGAGUGGGCCCAGAGAUACCUCUCCGAUAAUCGGAGUGACAAAUCCUAAUCUCGAAAUACGCCAACCCAACAAGUACCUUCGGAGACACCUGUAGAGCACCUUUAUAAUCACCCAGUUACGUUGUGACGUUUGGUAGCACACAAAGUGUUCCUACGGUAAACGGGAGUUGCAUAAUCUCAUAGUCAUAGGAACAUGCAUAAGUCAUGAAGAAAGCAAUAGCAACAUACUAAAUGAUCAAGUGCUAAGCUAACGGAAUGGGUCAAGUCAAUCACAUCAUUCUCCUAAUGAUGUGAUCCCGUUAAUCAAAUGACAACUCAUGUCUAUGGCUAGGAAACUGAACCAUCUUUGAUUAACGAGCUAGUCAAGUAGAGGCAUACUAGUGACACUAUGUUUGUCUAUGUAUUCACACAUGUAUCAAGUUUCCGGUUAAUACAAUUCUAGCAUGAAUAAUAAACAUUUAUCAUGAAAUAAGGAAAUAAAUAAUAACUUUAUUAUUGCCUCUAGGGCAUAUUUCCUUCAUACAUACUGCCGUGUGUAUCUUCUGAAAUCUAAGGAUGAGGCUUUGAAUUUUUUCAAGAUCUAUAAAGCUGAAGUGGAAAACCAACUUGAUCGGGAAAUCAAGAGGCUUAGGUCCGACCGUGGUGGAGAGUAUUUUUCCAAUGAAUUUGAUGCUUUUUGUGCGGAACAUGGUAUAAUCCAUGAGAGGACGCCUCCCUAUUCACCUCAGUCAAAUGGGGUAGCCGAAAGAAAGAACCGUACUCUAACUGAUUUGGUUAACGCCAUGUUAGACACAUCGGGUCUCUCCAAGGCAUGGUGGGGGGAGGCGAUAUUGACUGCAUGUCAUGUCCUAAACCGAGUUCCCACAAAGAAUAAAGAGAUAACUCCAUUCGAGGAAUGGGAGAAGAAAAGAUUAAAACUCUCUUAUCUACGAACAUGGGGUUGUUUGGCGAAAGUCAAUGUGCCAAUUCCAAAGAAGCGGAAGCUUGGACCAAAAACUGUGGAUUGUGUUUUCCUGGGAUAUGCUUUUCAUAGCAUUGGUUAUAGAUUCUUGGUUGUAAAAUCUGAGGUACCUGACAUGCAUGUUGGUACAAUCAUGGAGUCAAAUGAUGCGACUUUCUUUGAAGAUAUAUUUCUCAUGAAGGAUAUGGCUACCUCAUCUAAUCAGGAGAUACCUAGUUCAUCGAAUCAGGAACCAGUUACAAUUACUGAACCUGCCAUUUUGAUGGAACACUUUGAAAAGCCUGUGGAGGAGAACAAUGAAGUUCCUACUAGGAGCAAGAGACAGAGGACUGCAAAGUCCUUUGGUGAUGAUUUUCUUGUGUAUCUCAUAGAUGACACUCCCAGUUCUAUUUCAGAGGCCUAUGCAUCUGAAGAUGCUGACUACUGGAAGGAAGCAGUCCGUAGUGAGAUGGAUUCCAUCUUGGCAAAUGAAACUUGGGAGAUAACUGAGCGUCCUUAUGGGUGCAAACCUAUAGGGUGCAAAUGGGUAUUCAAGAAGAAGCUUAGCCUUAUGGUACUAUCGAAAAGUACAAGGCAGGGCUCUUUGGAAUCUUAGGGCUGAUGGGUGCAAACCUAUAGGGUGCAAAUGGAUGCACACGCGGCGGCGCCCUCGUCAUCAACGAGGGUGGCCGUGGCCCCUCUACUCCCUCUUCCCGCCUCGUCCAGCCAAAGACCAAGCCGGGGUUGCUCCCCGUGAAGAAGGAGCAUGACGCCAUGGCCGCCGACGACGAGACCGCGCUCAAGUGGGCGCAGGAGGACUACGUCCGCGAGGAGAUGGCGCGCCAGCGCCGCGCCCUCGAGGAGAUAGCUGCUCGGCGCCGCGGGCGUGAGGAGGGCGGUGUUAUCAUCCUCGACGACAGUGAUGACGAGGCGCCCGGGCCGUGUGAUACGUCUCCAACGUAUCUACUUUUUCUCAUGCUUUUCCUCUUGUUUUGCACUCUAAUUUGCAUGAUUUGAAUGAAACUAACCCCGGACUGAUGCUGUUUUCAGCAGAACUACCAUGGUGUUGUUUUUGUGCAGAAAUAAAGGUUCUUGGAAUGGAACAAAACUUUGCGAGGAUUUUUUAUAUCAAUAAUAAGAAUUUCUGGAGCCAAGACCUGCCGGAGAGGGGCACCUGGGUGGGCACAACCCACCAGGGCGCGCCCCCCUCUCCUGGCGCGCCCAGGUGGGUUGUAUCCACCUGAUGGCCCCACUGACGACCCCCCUGAUACUAUAAAUUCACAUAUUUCCAGAAAAAUCAGGGAAAAAGAAUUAUCGCGUUCCACGAGACGGAGCCGCCGCCAAGCCCUGUUCUUCCUCGGGAGGGCAAAUCUGGAGUCCGUUUGGGGCUCCGGAGAGGGGGAUCUUCGUUCUUUGUCAUCACCAACCAAUCUCCAUCGCCAAUUCCAUGAUGCUCCCCACCGGGAGUGAGUAAUUCCUUCGUAGGCUCGCUGGUCGGUGAGGAGUUGGAUGAGAUUCAUCAUGUAAUCGAGUUAGUUUUGUUAGGGCCUGAUCCCUAGUAUCCACUAUGUUCCUAGAUUGAUGUUGCUAUGACUUUGCUAUGCUUAAUGCUUGUCACUUUGGGCCCGGGUGCCAUGAACUCAGAUCUGAACCGUUUAUGAAUUCAUCAUUAUAUCCAUGUUUUAGAUCCGAUCUUGCAAGUUAUAGUCACCUACUACGGUUAUGGUCCGACAACCCCGGAGUGACAACAACCGGGCCCACUCUCGGUUAUGACCGUAGUUUGAGGAGUUCAUGUAUUCACUAUGUGUCAAUGCCUUGUUCCGGUUCUCUAUUAAAAGGAGGCCUUAAUAUCCCUUAGUUUCCAAUAUGGACCCCGCUGCCACGGGAGGGUAGGACAAAAGAUGUCAUGCAAGUUCUUUUAAUAAAGCAUGUAUGACUAUUUACGGAAUAUAUGCCUACAUUAUAUCGAUGAACUGGAGCUAGUGCCGUAUCGCCCUAGGUUAUAACUGUCACAUGAUGAAUAUCAUCCAACAAGUCACCGAUCCAAUGCCUACGAAUUUAUUUAUAUUGAUCUUGCUGCAUUACUAUUGCUAUCAUCACUGUUACACUUGCUACAAAUUAUUGCUAUCACUGUUACUAUUACCAUUGCUGCUGCCACUACUAUCAAAACUAUCAAACUACUUUGCUACUGAUCACUUUGCUGCAGAUAAUUAAUCUCCAGGUGUGGUUGAAUUGACAACUCAGCUGCUAAUACCUUCAAAUAUUCUUUGGCUCCCCUUGUGUCAAAUCUACAAAUUUGGGUUGAAUACUAUACCCUCGAAAAAUGUUGCGAUCCCCUAUACUUGUGGGUUAUCAAGACCUUUUUCUGGCGCCGUUGCCGGGGAGCAUAGCUAUAUUUGUUGAGUCACUUGGGAUUAUUAUCAUAUUAUCACUAUGAAGAAUCUGAAGGAUCCAAAGACUAAGAUAUUUCCCUCAAGGACGAGGGGAGGUAAGGAACUGCCAUCCAGUUCUGCUUUAGAUUCACCUUCUGUUAUGAGUAAACUUGCAACACCACCACAUGCUAUGAAUUCUAAUAUGUCGCAAGUUAUUGAUGAUGCUACUUCUACUAUGAAUGAUGCUUAUGAUGAUGCUAGUACCUUGCUUGAUAAUGAUGAUGUGCCACUUGGUGUAUUUCUUGAUGAACAAAUUGCUAGAGUAAUACAACAUGAUGUUGUUGAAUCUGAUGAUGAGUUUGAAACUGAAACUCCUAAAACACCUGCUAGAACUAGCCUUCCUAGAUAUGAAUUGCCUAAGGUACCGGAAGGUUAUGUUAUGAAUGAGGAAACAACUAGAGAUAUUCUUGCUUGUAAGGAUAGAGAUGAUCUAGAGAAAUUACUAUGCAAGUAUAAAGAAAAAUCUCUGAAUGUUAGAAUGAAGUAUGAUCCUAAGUUUGCUACUUCACCUAUCUUUAAUGAUGACAAGGAUUAUGAAUUCUCUGUCGACCCAGAGUUAAUUACUUUGGUUGAAUCUGAUCCUUUUUCCAUGGUUAUGAAACUGAAACUGUUGUGGCACAUCUUACUAAGUUGAAUGAUAUAGCCGCCCUUUUUACUCAUGAUGAGAAAAUGGGCUAUUACUUUAUUCUCAAAUUAUUUCCUUUCUCAUUAAAGGGUGAUGCUAAAGCUUGGUACAAUACACUUACUCCUGGUUGUGUGCAUAGUCCCUAGGAUAUGAUUUAUUACUUCUCUGAAAAAUAUUUUCCUGCUCAUAAGAAACAAGUUGCCUUACAUGAAAUAUUUAACUUUGUGCAAACUAAAGAAGAGAGUCUCCCACAAGCUUGGGGGAGACUUUGCCAGUUACUUAAUGCUUUGCCUGAUCAUCCUCUUAAGAAAAAUGAAAUACUUGAUAUCUUCUAUAAUGGACUAACCGAUGCUUCUAGGGACUUCCUAGAUAGUUGUGCUGGUUGUGUUUUCAGGGAACGAACUGUUGGACAAGCUGAAGAAUUAUUGAAUAACAUAUUGAAAAAUUAUGAUGAUUGGACUAUUCCUGAACCACCGCCUAAACCCACUCCGAAGAAGAGGGGUAUAUUAUAUCUCAGUCCUGAAGAUAUGCAAGAGGCGAAGAAAUCUAUGAAGGAAAAAGGUAUUAAUGCCGAGGAUGUUAAAAAUUUACCUCCUAUUGAAGAAAUACAUGGGCUUAAUACACCACCACUGCCUAAGGUGGUAGAGGUAAAUUCUUUAAUGAAGUUCAAUGAUAAUGAUAAUCCUCAAAAUAUGCAUCCUAGUCAAUGCCUUUGUGAGUUUGAAAACUACAUUAGAAAACAAGAUCACUUCAAUGCAAAUGUUAUGAAACAAUUGAAAUAUAAUUUUGAUAUGAUUGCUCGCUUGACUGACUUGUUAUUUAGAAUCUCAAAUGAUGUUAGAGGUGUUGGAAAACAUGCUUCCAUGGUUCAAACUCAACUAGAACAAGUUGCUAAAUAACAAAGAGAAUUACUUGAUGAAAUGAAUCAUAAUAUGCAUGACUUUGCUGUUAGAGUUGCAACUAGAGGAGGUAAAAUGACUCAGGAACCACUUUAUCCUGAGGGACACCCAAAAAGAAUUGAACAAGACUCACAAAGAGCUGACACUAGUGCACCUAGUCCUUCUAAAAACAAAAAGAAGAAGAAAAAUGAUAGGACUUUGCAUGCUUCUAGUGAACUUGAAAUAGAAAAACCUCCUGAUAAAGAAAAUUAAACUUCUAUCUCUGAUGCUGAAACUCAAUCUGGUAAUGAACAUCCACCUAGUGAUAAUGAAAAAGAUAAUGCUGAUGUUCAUGAAGAUGCUCAACCAAAUGAAAAGGAACCAGAUAAUGAUGUUGAGAUAGAACCACCUACUGAUCUUGAUAACCCACAACCUAAGAAUAAAAGGUAUGACAAAAGUGACUUUGUGGCUAGAAAACACGGUAAAGAAAGAGAACCGUGGGUUCAAAAACCCAUGCCUUUUCACCCAAGUCAACUAAAAAGAAUGAUGAUGAAGAAUUUGAACGCUUUGCUGAAAUGUUGAGGCCAGUCUUUUUGCGUACUCGCUUGACUGAUAUCUUGAAAAUGCCUCCUUAUGCAAAGUAUAUGAAAGACAUCAUCACUAAUAAGAGAAAAAUACCGGAAGCUGAAAUCUUCACUAUGCUUGCUAAUUAUACUUUCAAAGAUGGAGUGCCUAAAAAACUUGGAGAUCCGGGUAUACCAACUAUACCUUGCUCUAUCAAAAAGAAUUAUGUGAAAACUGCUUUGUGUGAUUUAGGAGCUGGUGUUAGUGUUAUGCCUUUCUCUUUAUAUAAAAGACUUGACUUGAAUAAACUCACACCUACUGAAAUAUCUUUGCAAAUGGCUGACAAGUCAACUUCCAUACCUAUCGGUAUCUGUGAGGAUGUGCCCGUUGUUGUUGAUAAUGUUACUAUUUUGAUUGACUUUGUUAUACUUGAGAUGCCCGAGGACGACAACAUGUCUAUUAUCCUCGGUAGACCCUUCUUGAAUACUGCAGGGGCUGUUAUUGAUUGCAAUAAAAGCAAGGUCACUUUUCAUAUUAAUGGUAAUGAGCAUACGGUGCACUUUCCCAAAAAACAAUUCCAAAUGGUAUUAAUGUUAUUGAAAAAUCUCCGGCAAUCACUAUUGGAAGUUUUCAAAUACCUCUACCUAUUGUCAAAAAGAAAUAUGAAAUGCUUAUUGUUGGGGAGAUGCAAAUCCCCAUUGGGGUAACUUAGUGAUUUACAAAAAUUCUUCGGUUUCAUGCUAAUCGAAAGUGGUUGUUAAUAAGACCUGAUCAACCUUAUUAAUGAAUCAUUUUUGAGCGGUAUGAAGUUGAUGAAUUUAGUAAGCACUACCUUUUUUCCUACUUUUUUCUGUUCUUAUUAGUUGAAUAAAAUAAAAUUCCAUGUUUUGUCUGUUUUCUGAAUUUCCCGUGCAAUAAAAAUGACCCAAAAAUAAAAUUUCUCAGAAUGCCCUAAAAAAUUUAUACGAUUUUUUUUUUGAAUAUUUAAGAUUUUUUGGUGCAAAUAACACCAGAGGGAGGUGCACCAAGUGGGCACAACCCACCUGGGCGUGCUAGGACCCCCAGGCGCGUCCUGGUGGGUUGUGGUCCCCACGUGGGCCCCCUCACUUAUCUCUUCAUCCCACAUCAUCACUUACCUCCAGAAAAAAUCCCCAUUGCUCUUUCUCCCGUGUUCUUGAGCUCAAACCCGCGGAUUUCGAUCUCUUUGCUCGAAGCUCCGUUUCCGAAACUGUUUCGGCGGAUUGUUGCUUGGUAUGUGACUCCACCAUUUGUCCAAUUAGUUUUUGUUUUAGUGGUUUAUACUUUAAAUAAUUAGCUACUCUUGGUGCUGCUGUAGAUAUGUUUGCAUGUUGAAUUCUUAAUGUUCUAAGUAGUUUGAAUGCUUGCUAUGGCCUCUAUGUAUCCCUAUGAGUAGUUGCUAUCAAUUUUGUGAAGUUUUGUUGAGAAAAUUUUGUGAACUAAAAAUUCAGAUUUUUGUUCAUAGGAAAAAUUGUACGCGGACAUGAGUAUCUUCAGGAAGUUUGGCUCUAAGAAGAACUCCAAGGGUGUUAUUGGGGAGUCUUCUGACAGUGAUCUCCACCCUCGGAGGUUGGCGGAGGUACGGCCGUGCGAAUGGCCGCACACCCCGUUCCUGCAAGAGGCUGGAAUUCAUGAGGAGUUCAUCCAAUUUAUUGCUAAUGUCGGCCUCACCGACUUCAUCGCAGAUGAGUGUGACCAACACCAAAUCCUCACAAACAUCUUUCUUCAAAGUUUUACUUUCCUGCCUAGAAAUAAUCCUCCCGAAGUUAGCUUUGACUUAUUGUAACACCCCGGAUGUAACUUUCCAUAUUUGUAACUCCAACUCUUGCCAUUUUCGGCUAUGUGUUAUGAUAUUCCCUCCGUGGUCGGGUUUUGCCUUUCGUUUUGUAUUUUGUUCAUGUCAUGCAUUUCAUAUCAUGCCAUCUCCCCAGUGAUGUAGUCCAUGUAUUUUUGUGAUCUCUGUGGUGACUAGCACAAGUAUGCAAAGUAGGCUUCGUAAUGUUUCUGAUUUCAGAGACAGUGAUUUCUCUAAGUCCUUGUCUGCUGUUAUUUUGUUUCCAUGUAAACUUGAUGCUACAGAGAGAUCCAUGCAUAUUUUGGAGAUCUUCAGUAAGGAUGUUUUGUAGAUAUUGUUGUAAUUGAUCCAUUCAUGCAAUUGUUUGCAAUUAUGGAGUGCCAUAGCAUGACUCAAUCUUGCUCUACUUUUGCUAUAAAAUAUUUCUGGCAGAUUCUUUACAUGAUAUUCAUUUUUGCCAAGCUUGCUGUAGUUGAUACAUACAUGCUAUGCUUUUGUUCUUGCCAUGGAUAGCUUCAUAAACAUGCCAUUUUGCUGUGGGUAUGCUAGUUUUGUCAUGCAUUGCUUUGUGGUGAGUGCAUCAAGCUCACAAACAUGCCUUCAUAUUAUUAUUUCUGUCAUGCUCUGUUUUCUGCUAAGUCUGGAACCUGAUAACGAAACUUGCUAUGUUUACAUGCUUGCCAUCAUAUCUUCUGAUCCUUUUUGGCUUAUGGUCAUUAAGGGACUUUUGUCAUAUGCAUUUAGUAGAAUACUGUGAUGCCUUGUUUUGUCAUGUUAAGUUCCUGUAGCAUGUUGAUUUCGUGCUCUGAACAUUGCUACCUGAUGCUGUUUCAGACAUGUCCAGUAAUUUCACUAAGUCUGUGAACCUGUUAUCUUUUGCACUUUUGCCAUGCUUGUUUGAGCUUGAUAUGUUGUGAUCUAGCAGUAGGUCAGUGUUCAUAUUUUGUCAAGCAUCUCCUGUAGAUUACUGUCAUAUGCUUUGUUGCUAUGUUGGAGUCCUGUAGCAUUGUUGCUUGUUGCAUUUUAAGUGCUAUCAUGUUGUUAAUCACAGAUUCGUGUCAUUCUUGUUUUGCUUGCUAUUUGCAAACCGUGCAUCCGUUUCCAGUGCUCUUUAUAUCGAUUUCGACCGAAAUCAUCUUAUCUUUCCAGUGGCAUGCUUGGUUUGUCAAGUUACUGCCUUGUUCAUCAUUUUCCUUCCAGAGCACGCAUAUGCAUCGCAUAUCAUAUCUUGCAUAUCAUUCAUGUUUUGUAUCAUGUUGCUUGUGCAUUUCCCGUGAUUGAUUGUGGUUCCGUUGCUUGUGUUCUUGUCUUGGGUAGAGCCGGGAGACGAGUUGGUGAACGAGGAACCUGUUGAGUACGCUUACGAGGAUCAAGCUUUCGACAACUCUGAGAACCUUGCAGGCAAGAUGACCACCCCUCGAAAUCACUUCUAUCUUUGCUUUGCUAGUUGUUCGCUCUAUUGCCAUGCUGCGCUACCUAUCACUUGCUAUAUCAUGCCUCCCAUAUUGCCAUGUCAGCCUCUAACCAUCUUUUCCUAGCAAACCGUUGUUUGGCUAAGUUACCGCUUUUGCUCAGCCCUUCUUAUAGCGUUGCUAGUUGCAGGUGAAGUUGAAGUUGGUUCCAUGUUGGAACAUGGAUAUGUUGGGAUAUCACAAUAUCUCUUAUUUAAUUAAUGCAUCUAUAUAUAUUUGGUAAAGGGUGGAAGGCUCGGCCUUAUGCCUGGUGUUUUGUUCCACUCUUGCCGCCCUAGUUUCUGAGAUACCGGGAUUAUGUUCCUUGAGUUUGCGUUCCUUUCGCGGUUGGGUGAUUUAUGGGACCCCCUUGACAGUUCGCCUUGAAUAAAACUCCUCCAGCAAGGCCCAACUUUGGUUUUACCAUUUCCCACCUAAGCCUUUUCCCCGGGUUUUCGCGAGCCCGAGGGUCAUCUUAUUUUAAAACCCCGGGCCAGUGUUCCUCUGAGUGCUGGUCCAAACUAGAGCACCGUGCGGGACCGUCCCUUGGCAACUUGGGUUAUGUUGGUACCUGUACGCUUGGCUCAUCCGUUGUGCCCUGAGAACGAGAUAUGUGCAGCUCCUAUCGGGAUUUGUCGGCACAUUCGGGGGCUUUGCUGGUUUUGUUUUACCAUUGUCGAAAUGUCUUGUAAACCGGGAUUCCGAGACUGAUCGGGUCUUUCCGGGAGAAGGUUUAUCCUUCGUUGACCGUGAGAGCUUAUGAUGGGCUAAGUUGGGACACCCCCUGCAGGGUAUUAUCUUUCGAAAGCCGUGCCCGCGGUUAUGAGGUAGAUGGGAAUUUGUUAAUGUCCGGUUGUAGAGAACUUGUCACUUGACCCAGUUAAAAUACAUCAACUGUGUGUGUAGCCGUGAUGGUCUCUUCUCGGCGGAGUCCGGGAAGUGAACACGGUUUGAGUUAUGUAUGACGUAAGCAGGAGUUCAGGAUCACUUCUUGGUCAUUACUAGAUGACGACCGUUCCGUUGCUUCUCUUCUCGCUCUCAUUUGCGCAAGUUAGCCACCACAUAUGCUUAUUGCCGCUGCAGCUCCACCUCAUUACACCAUCCUUUCCUAUAAGCUUAAAUAGUCUUGAUCUCGCGGGUGUGAGAUUGCUGAGUCCUCGUGACUCACAGAUUCUACCAAAACAGUUGCAGGUGCCGACGAUGCCAGUGCAGAUGAUGGGGUCGAUCUCAAGUGGGAGUUCGACGAGGAACGUGGUCGUUACUAUGUGUCUUUUCUUGAUGAUCAGUAGUGGAGCUCAGUUGGGAUGAUCGGGGACCUAGCAUUUGGGGUUGUCUUAUUUUCAUUUGGAUCUUGACCGUAGUCGGUCUAUAUGUGUGUAUUUUGGAUGAUGUAUGAAUUAUAUUUAUGUAUUGUGUGAAGUGGCGAUUGUAAGCCAACUCUUUAUCCCAUUCUUGUUCAUUACAUGGGAUUGUGUGAAGAUGACCCUUCUUGCGACAAAACCACUAUGCGGUUAUGCCUCUAAGUCAUGCCUCGACACGUGGGAGAUAUAGCCGCAUCGUGGCGUGACACUUAUAUGCUGAAAACCAUCAGAUACCACUUACUGAGUUUUGUAACAUAUGCAUGAUCCCGUCUGAUGGGAGCUUGGCUGAGCCUAGGCCGGCUGAGUUUGAGGCCUUCUGUCGCACUUUGACAGUAGGUGAUGAGAGAAGAGUGUCAGCCAUCACUGCCGGUGGCUUACAUUUUCCUGUUGUUCGUUACUUUGCACUCUUCAUUACCAAAUGCUUGCUUGCUAGAGAGAAGGUGGGUACUCUUAGUUCACCAGACCUUGCUGUUUUACGUCGUGCAUUAGAGGGCGACGACACUUAUAGCUUGGGAGCUAUUGUAGCUUGUCGCCUCCAUCUUAAUAAAUCUCAGGUAAAGUACAUGGUGGGAUUUUUGCUACUCGUUUGGCGGCUCACUUCGAUGUUGAGAUACGCUCUCAUGAUUACCCCCUGACCAAGGUUUACCUAGACCAAGAAGCCAUGGAUCACCAUCACUUUCUUGCACAUGAUCGUCCUGAUAUGGCCAUUCCUUAACCUGGUUUAUAGCAUUGAAACUCGUGAUGUUAUCCCCUUGCCUGCACCUGCUUUGUUUGAUUCUGUUGCUAGGGGCGGAUACCGGAUUAUGCCUGCAGACAUCCACGCCUACUGGAACGCUCACGCUGCUGCAGAGGCUGCUCAGGGACCUCAGCAGUGGGAUGAGUGGAUGCCUGCUCCUCGGGAUCCCUACUACCCUCCAGGCUACUGAUCGAUUACCAACUUAGGCCAAAAGCCUAAGCUUGGGGGAGUACGUGUUUCUCACCGACAUUAUAUUCAUGUUCACUCAUAUCAUUCUAUGUCGGUGUUCACACUUUCUCAUUCAUCCAUGCUUAGAUUUAUUUUUCUUGCUUUCUUCUUGUGUGUUUGAAAAACUUUAGAAAAACUAAAAAAUUAGUUGUAGUAAUUUACUUUCCAUGCAUACUUAGUAGUAGUACUAAAAAAUCCAAAAAGAAUUCCUUGUUCUUCUUUUGCUUAUUGGGAGCUUUCUCGUGUAAAUAGUUUUUCUCGUUUUUUCUUUUUAUUUGCUCGUUCAAGAAAACCAAAAACUCCAAAAAUAUUUCAGUGUGUUUCUCUGAAUUUCUUUUCCUUUUAUUCGAGUCUUACCGAGGAGAAGACCACGAUGAAAAUGUUGAGUGGCUCUCAUAUGAAUAACUAUUGAACUAAUAAAGAGCCUAUUUUACCUUGUCUUCUCCUGUUGAAUAAAAUGUUUUGCAGAUUCCAGCUUAGUGCAUGGCACUCUUGCACUAUUAUUAUUUUCAUAUCAUUUGGUCAUGCAAGUGAAAGGCAAUAAUGACGAUAUUCGAUGAGCUGGCCGUGGCAAGGAGAAACUGGUAUGAACUUGACUUGUUCUGUUUGUGUAAAUAUGUUUAACCCAGUAUCCAGGCUUCAGCCCGUUAUGAUUAAACAAGUUUGCAAUGACAAUUAGAGAUUAUAGUUUCUCAUGCCAUGCAUAUGUAGUGCUACCUCUUGAGCAUGCGUUGGUUUUCCCUUGAAGAGGAAAUGGUGAUGCAGCAAAGUAGCGUAAGUAUUUCCCUCGAUUUUUGAGAACCAAGGUAUCAAUCCAAUAGGAGGUUACACGCAAGUCGCCUAGUACCUGCACAAACAAUCAAGAACCUUGCAACCAAUGCGAUAAAGGGGUUGUCAAUCCCUUCACGGCCACUUGCAAAAGUGAGAUCUGAUAAAGAUAAUAAGAUAAUAGUUUUGGUAUUUUUGUUGUAUAGAUUGGAAAGUAAAGAUUGCAAAAUAAACUAAAUAGUAAACUAGAAUUAUAUAUCAGAAACUUAUAUGAUGUAAAAUAGACCCGGGGGCCAUAGGUUUCACUAGUGGCUUCUCUCAAGAUAGCAUAUUUUACGGUGGGUGAACAAAUUACUGUCGAGCAAUUGAUAGAAAAGCGCAUAGUUAUGAAAAUAUCUAGGCAUGAUCAUGAACAUAGGCAUCACGUCCGUGUUAAGUAGACCGAACGAUUCUGCAUCUACUACUAUUACUCCACACAUCGACCGCUAUCCAGCAUGCAUCUAGAGUAUUAAGUUCAUAAGAACAGAGUAACGCAUUAGGCAAGAUGACAUGGUGUAGAGGGAUAAACUCAAGCAAUAUGAUAUAAACACCAUCUUUUUAUCCUCGAUGGCAACAAUACAAUACGCGCCUUGCUGAACCUACCGUCACUGGGAAAGGACACCGCAAGAUUGAACCCAAAGCUAAGCACUUCUCCCAUUGCAAGAAAGAUCAAUCUAGUAGGCCAAACCAAACUGAUAAUUCGAAGAGACUUGCAAAGAUAUCAAAUCAUGCAUAUAAGAAUUCAGAGAAGAAUCAAAUAUUGUUCACAGAUAAUCUUGAUCAUAAACCCACAAUUCAUCGGAUCUCGACAAACACACCACAAAACGAAUUACAUCGAAUAGAUCUCCAAGAGAAUCGAGGAGAACUUUGUAUUGAGAUCCAAAGAGAGAGAAGAAGCCAUCUAGCUAAUAACUAUGGACCCGAAGGUCUGUGGUAAACUACUCACACAUCAUCGGAGAGGAUAUGGUGUUGAUGUAGAAGCCCUCCGUGAUCGAUUCCCCCUCCAGCUGAGCAAUUGAUAGUGGAUCUCAUGGGUACAGAAGGUUGCAGUAGUGGAAAAAGUGUUUCAUGGCUCUCCUAGAUGUUUUCAAGGUAUGAGAGUAUAUAUAGGCGAAAGAAGUAGGUCGGUUGAGCCACGAGGGGCCCACGAGGGUGGGGGCGCGCCCUCCUGCCUCGUUGCUUCCUUGACGUCCACUCCAAGUCUCCUGGAUUGCGUUUGUUCCAAAAAAGAUCCUCGCGAAGGUUUCAUUCCGUUUGGAUUCCGUUAGAUAUUUCUUUUCUGCGAAACAAUGAAAUAGGCAAAAAAACAGCAACUAGCAUUGGGCCUCCGGUUAAUAGGUUAGUCCCAAAAAUAAUAUAAAAUAGCAUAUUAAAGCCCAUUAAACAACCAAAACAGAUAAUAUACUAGCAUGGAACAAUCAAAAAUUAUAGAUACAUUGGAGACGUAUCAGCAUCCCCAAGCUUAAUUCCUACUCGUCCUCGAGUAGGUAAAUGAUAAAAACAGAAUUUUUGAUGUGGAAUGCUUCCUAACAUAAUUUUCAAUGUAAUUUUAUUUAUUGUGGCAUGAAUGUUCAGAUCCGAAAGAUUCAAGACAAAAGUUUAAUAUUGACAUAAAAAUAAUUAUACUUCAAGCAAACUAAUAAAGUAAUCAUGUCUUCUCAAAAUAGCAUGGCCAAAGAAAGCUAUCCCUACAAAAUCAUAUAGUCUGGCUAUGCUCUAUCUUCACCACACAAAAUAUUUAAAUCAUGCACAACCCCGAUGACAAGCCAAGCAAUUGUUUCAUACUUUUGAUGUUCUCAAACUUUUUCAAUCUUCACGCAAUACAUGAACGUGAGCCAUGGAAAUAGCACUAUAGGUGGAAUAGAAUGGUGGUUGUGGAGAAGAAAAAAAGGAGAAGAUAGUCUCACAUCAACUAGGCAUAUCAACGGGCUAUGGAGAUGCCCAUCAAUAGAUAUCAAUGUGAGUGAGUAGGGAUCGCCAUGCAACGAAUGCACUAGAGCAAUAAGUGUAUGAAAGCUCAACAAGAAACUAAGUGGGCAUGCAUCCAACUUGCUUGCUCACGAAGACCUAGGGUAGCCCAUCAUUGGAAUAUACAAGCCAAGUUCUAUAAUGAAAAAUUCCCACUAGUAUAUGAAAGUGACAACAUAGCAGACUCUCUAUCAUGAAGAUCAUGGUGCUACUUUGAAGCACAAGUUUGGUAAAAGGAUAGUAGCAUUGUCCCUUCUCUCUUUUUCUCUCAUUUUUUUAUUUGGGCCUUUCUCUCUUUUUUUAUGGCCUCUUUUUUUCCGUCCGGAGUCUCAUCCCGACUUGUGGGGGAAUCAUAGUCUCCAUCAUCCUUUCCUCACCGGGACAAUGCUCUAAAAAGGUAGAUCAUCACACUUUUAUUUACUUACAACUCAAAAAUUACAACUCGAUGCUUUGAACAAAAUAUGACUCUAUGUGAAUGCCUCCGGCGGUGUACCGGGAUGUGCAAUGAAUCAAGAGUGACAUGUAUGAAAGAAUUAUGAAGGUGGCUUUUCCACAAAUACAAUGUCAACUACAUGAUCAUGCAAAGCAAUAUGACAAUGAUGGAGCAUGUCAUAAUAAACGGAACGGUGGAAAGUUGCAUGGCAAUAUAUCUCGGAAUGGCUAUGGAAAUGCCAUAGUAGGUAGGUAUGGUGGCUGUUUUGAGGAAGGUAAAUGAUGGGUUUUUGAUACCGGCGAAAGUUGCGCGGUACUAGAGAGGCUAGAAAUGGUGGAAGGGUGAGAGUGCGUAUAAUCCAUGGACUCGACAUUAGUCAUAAAGAACUCACAUACUUAUUGCAAAAAUCUAUUAGUUAUCGAAACAAAGUACUACGCGCAUGCUCCUAGGGGGAUAUAUUGGUAGGAAAAUACCAUCGCUCGUCCCCAACCGCCACUCAUAAGGAAGACAAUCAAUAAAUCAAUCAUGCUCCGACUUCAUCACAUAACGGUUCACCAUACAUGCAUGUUACGGGAAUCACAAACUUUAACACAAGUAUUUCUAAAUUUCAGAACUACUUAACUAGCACAACUCUAAUAUUACCAUCUUCAUAUCUCAAAACAAUUAUCAAGUAUCAAACUUCUCAUAGUAUUCAAUGCACUUUAUAUGAAAGUUUUUAUUAUAUCCAUCUUGGAUGCCCAUCAUAUUAGGACUAAUUUUAUAGCCAAAGCAAAUUACCAUGCUGUUCUAAGGGACUCUCAAAAUAAUAUAAGUGAAGCAUGAGAGAUCAAUAAUUUCUACAAAAUAAAACCACCACCGUGCUCUAAAAAGAUAUAAGUGCAGCACUAGAGCAAAAUUAUCUAGCUCAAAAGAUAUAAGUGAAGCACAUAGAGUAUUCUAAUAAAUUCCGAUUCAUGUGUGUCUCUCUCAAAAGAUGUGUACAGCAAGGAUGAUUGUGGUAGACUAAAAAUCAAAGACUCAAAUCAUACAAGACGCUCCAAGCAAAACACAUAUCAUGUGGUGAAUAAAAAUAUAGCCUCAAGUAAAGUUACCGAUAGACGAAGACAAAAGAGGGGAUGCCUUCCGGGGCAUCCCCAAGCUUAGGCUUUUGGUGUCCUUGAAUUUACCUUGGGGUGCCUUGGGCGUCCCCAAUCUUAGGCUCUUGCCACUCCUUGUUCCAAAAUCCAUCAAAUCUUUACCGAAAAACUUGAAAACUUCACAACACAAAACUCAACAGAAAUUCUCAUGAGCUUCGUUAGUAUAAGAAAACAAAUCACCGUCUUAAGGUAAUGUAAUGAAAUCAUUCUUUAUUUAUAUCGGUGUUAAACCUACUGUAUUCCAACUUCUCUAUGGUUCAUACCCCCCGAUACUAGCCAUAGAUUCAUCAAAAUAAGCAAACAACACACGAAAAACAGAAUCUGUCUAAAACAGAACAGUCUGUAGUAAUAUGUAUCAAACGUAUACUUCGGUAACUCAAAAAAUUCUGAAAUAAAUUGGUGGACGUGAGGAAUUUAUCUAUUAAUCAUUUUCAAAAAGAAUCAACCUAAUAUCACUCUCCAUUAAAAAAUGGCAGCUAAUCUCGUGAGCGCUAAAGUUUCUGUUUUUUACAGCAAGAUCGCAAAGACUUCCCCUAAGUCUUCCCAAAGGUUCUUCUUGGAACAAACACUAAUUAAAACAUAAAACCACAUCUAAACAGAGGCUAGAUGAAUUAUUUAUUACUAAACAGGAACAAAAAGCAAAGAACAAAAAUAAAAUUGGGUUGCCUCCCAACAAGCGCUAUCGUUUAACGCCGCUAGCUAGGCAUAAGAUUUCAACGAUGCUCACACGAAAGAUAAUAAUUGAAACACAAAGAGAGCAUCAUGAAACAUGUGACAAACACAUUUAAGUCUAACUUACUUCCUAUGCAUAGGCAUUUUAUAAGCAAACAAAUUAUCAAGGCAAGCAAAAACUACCAUAUGCAAGGAAGAAGAGAGAAACAAUAGCAAUCUCAACAUAACGAGAGGUAAUUUAGUAACAUGAAAAUUUCUAAAACCAUAUUUUCCUCUAUCAUAAUAAUUAAAUGUAGGAUCAUAAGCAAAUUCAACAAUAUAGCUAUCACAAAACAUAUUCUUAAUAUGAUCCACAUGUAUGCAAAGUUGACACUCUUCCAAAAUAGUGGGAUUAACAUUAACUAAAGUCAUGACCUCUCCAAACCCACUUUUAUCAAAAACUUCAUAAGAUUGAACAUUCUCCAAAUAUGUGGGAUCUAAAGUUGACACUCUUCCAAACCCACUUUCAAUAUUAUUGCAAACAUUAUUUUCAAUCUCAUAUUCAUCACGGGGCUUAACUAAAUUUUCAAGAUCAUAAGAAGAAUCACCCCAAUCAUGAUCAUUGCAACAAGUAGUAGACAUAGCAAAACUAGCAUCCCCAACCUUAGGGUUUUGCAUAUUAUUAGCACAAUUGACAUCAAGAGAAUUUAUAGUAAAAUCAUUGCAAUAGUGCUUUUUAUUCAAGGAGCUAUCGUCAAUCUCUUCAUAAAUUUCUUCAUCACAAUUUCCAGAUUCACGAAUUUCAAGCAAAACCUCAUAAAGAUAAUCUAGUGCACUAAAAUCACUAGAAAUUGGUUCAUCAUAAUUGGAUCUCUUAAAAAGAUUAGCAAGGGGAUGAGGAUCCAUAAACUUUUAGCAAGCAAAGAUGCAAGCAAAAAGAAGGCACAUGGUAACACAAGAUCGAACGGAAGGAGGGCGAAGAAAAGGCAAAGGUGAAGUGGGGGAGAGGAAAACAAGAGGCAAAUGGCAAAUAAUGUAAUGCGGGGGAGAAGAGUUUGUGAUGGGUACUUGGUAUGUCUUGACUUGAGCAUAUAUCUCCCCGGCAACGGCGCCAGAAAUCCACACGUUGGCGGGAGAUCAAAUCUGGACUUCACUUGGCGUAAACCUCCCCGGCAACGGUGCCAGAAAUCCUUCUUGCUACCUCUUCAGCAUGCGUUGGUUUUCCCUUGAAGAGGAAAUGGUGAUGCAGCAAAGUAGCGUAAGUAUUUCCCUUAGUUUUUGAGAACCAAGGUAUCAAUCCAGUAGGAGGUUACACGCAAGUCGCCUAGUACCUGCACAAACAAUCAAGAACCUUGCAACCAACGCGAUAAAGGGGUUGUCAAUCCCUUCACGGCCACUUGCAAAAGUGAGAUCUGAUAAAGAUAAUAAGAUAAUAGUUUUGGUAUUUUUGUUGUAUAGAUUGGAAAGUAAAGAUUGCAAAAUAAACUAAAUAUUAAACUAGAAUUAUAGAUCAGAAACUUAUAUGAUGUAAAAUAGACCCGGGGGCCAUAGGUUUCACUAGUGGCUUCUCUCAAGAUAACAUAUUUUACGGUGGGUGAACAAAUUACUGUCAAGCAAUUGAUAGAAAAGCGCAUAGUUAUGAGAAUAUCUAGGCAUGAUCAUGAACAUAGGCAUCACGUCCGUGUUAAGUAGACCGAAACAAUUCUGCAUCUACUACUAUUACUCCACACAUCGACCGCUAUCCAACAUGCAUCUAGAGUAUUAAGUUCAUAAGAACAGAGUAACGCAUUAGGCAAGAUGACAUGAUGUAGAGGGAUAAACUCAAGCAAUAUGAUAUAAAACCCAUCUUUUUAUCCUCGAUGGCAACAAUACAAUACGUGCCUUGCUGCCCCUACUGUCACUGGGAAAGGACACCGCAAGAUUGAACCCAAAGCUAAGCACUUCUCCCAUCACAGGAAAGAUCAAUCUAGUAGGCCAAACCAAACUGAUAAUUCGAAGAGACUUGCAAAGAUAUCAAAUCAUGCAUAUAAGAAUUCAGAGAAGAAUCGAAUAUUGUUCAUAGAUAAUCUUGAUCAUAAACCCACAAUUCAUCGGAUCUCGACAAACACACCGCAAAAAGAAUUAUAUCGAAUAGAUCUCCAAGAAAAUCGAGGAGAACUUUGUAUUGAGAUCCAAAGAGAGAGAAGAAGCCAUCUAGCUAAUAACUAUGGACCUGAAGGUCUAUGAUAAACUACUCACACAUCAUCGGAGAGGCUAUGGUGUUGAUGUACAAGCCCUCCAUGAUCGAUUCCCCCUCCGGUGGAGCGCCGAAAAAGGCCCUAAGAUGGGAUCUCACGGGUACAGAAGGUUGCGGCAGUGGAAAAAGUGUUCCGUGGCUCUCUUGGAUGUUUUCAGGGUAUGAGAGUAUAUAUAGGCGAAAGAAGUAGGUCGGUUGAGCCACGAGGGGCCCACGAGGGUGGGGGCGCGCCCUCCUGCCUCGUGGCUUUCUUGUUGCUUCCUUGACGUCCACUCCAAGUCUCCUGGAUUGCAUUUGUUCCAGAAAAGAUCCUCGCGAAGGUUUCAUUCCGUUUGGAUUCAGUUUGAUAUUCCUUUUCUGCGAAACACUGAAAUAGGCAAAAAAAUAGCAACUGGCAUUGGGCCUCCGGUUAAUAGGUUAGUCCCAAAAAUAAUAUAAAAUAGCAUAUUAAAGCCCAUUAAACAUCCAAAACAGAUAAUAUAAUAGCAUGGAACAAUCAAAAAUUAAAGAUACGUUGGAGAAGUAUCAAGUAGCUAGGAGUGGAUAAUGAUUUAUCUUGGAUAUCAUCAUAGCGUUAAAAUGAUUGUGAUGUAGUAUGACGAUAUGAUAUCCUCCUCUGAAUGUUCGAGUGGCUUAACUUGGCACAUGUUCAUGCAUGUAGUUGAAUCAAAACCGACAUAGCCGAUAUAAUAUUUAUGUUCAUGGUGUUCAUAUCCUACUCAUGCUAGUGUCCAAUGUUACUUAUGCAUAAUGCCUGGUUAUGAUCGUUGUUGCUCUCUAGCUGGCCGCUUCUCAAUCUUAAUUGCUAGCCUUCGCCUGUACUAAGUGGGAAUUCUGCUUGUACAUCAAAAACCUUGAACCCAAAGUUAUUCCAGAUGAGUCCACCAUACCUACCUAUAUGUGGUAUUACCCUGCCGUCCUAAGUAAAUUUGCAUGUGCCACCUCUAAAAAAACUUCUAAAAAAUUAUCCUUUUUGUGUGCCUCGAUCGUUCAUGGAACGACAGGAAGAGGUCGAUAUCUUCCGUGCUGAGCGGGUUAUUCUCAGGUCGAGUGUUUAUUCACUCGCCAUCGCACGAGAAAAUGGGCGGUAAUAGGGAUGCCCAGUCCCAAACUGCAAACAUGAAAAAGAGUUCAUCUCUUGAAUAAUCAAACAAAAACUCCCAAUGGAGUCAAAACCUUUACUUUUAUCGCUUGGGAACCGCCACUAGCAUGCUUAGCAUGGAAGAUGUUGAUAACUGAUGAUCGUGAAGUGAAUAAGAAGGGUGCAUGUCUCAAAAUAUCAUUUAUCUCUAUUUUAAAAAUUGAGCUCUGGCACCUCUGCAAAUCACUGAUUCCCUCUGCGAAGGGACUUUCUAUUUACUUUUAUGUUGUGUCAUCACCUUCUAAAACAAGCGCCAGAAACUGAGCAGAGCACAGCUGUCAUGAUUUAUGCAUUGUGUAUAGCUAAUGCUGGAUGCAUCAUGACUGGAUCUUUUCUACCAUGAAUUACAAUGUUUAGUCACUGCUUGAACUUUGGAGGUGCUCUGCAUUUAUGUUUUGCGGUCUCAGAAAGGGCUAGCGAGAUACCACUAUUGUCAUAUUAUAUCUGUUGGGGAACGUAGUAAUUUCAAAAAAAUUCCUACGCACACACAGGAUCAUGGUGAUGCAUAGCAACGAGAGGGGAGAGUGUUGUCCACAUACCCUCGUAGACCGAAAGCGGAAGCGUUAGCACAACGCGGUUAAUGUAGUCGUACGUCUUCACGAUCCGACCAAUCAAGUACCGAACGUAUGGCACCUCCGAGUUCAGCACACGUUCAGCUCGAUGACGUCCCUCGAACUCCGAUCCAGCCGAGCUUUGAGGGAGAGUUCCGUCAACACGACGGCGUGGUGACGAUGAUGAUGUUCUACCGACACAGGGCUUCGCCUAAGCACCGCUACGAUAUUAUCGAGGUGGACUAUGGUGGAGGGGGGCACCGCACACGGCUAAGAGAUCCCAGGGAUCAAUUGUUGUGUCUAUGGGGUGCCCCCUGGCCACGUAUAUAAAGGAGUGGAGGAGGGGGGAGAGGGCCGGCCCCUAUGGCGCGCCCUAGAGGAGUCCUACUCCCACCGGGAGUAGGAUUCCCCCUCUUCCAAGUAGUAGGAGUAGGAGUCAAGGAAAGGGAAGAGAGAAGAGAAGGAUGGAGGGGGCGCAGCCCCUCCCCCUAGUCCAAUUUGGACUAGGCCUUGGGGGGCGCGCAGCCUCUCCUCUCUCUAUCCCCUAAAGCCCAAUAAGGCCCAUAUACUCCCCGGUGAAUCACCCAGUUACGUUGUGAUGUUUGGUAGCACACAAAGUGUUCCUCUGGUAAACGGGAGUUGCAUAAUCUCAUAGUCAUAGGAACAUGUAUAAGUCAUGAAGAAAGCAAUAGCAACAUACUAAAUGAUCAAGUGCUAAGCUAACGGAAUGGGUCAAGUCAAUCACAUCAUUCUCCUAAUGAUGUGAUCCCAUUAAUCAAAUGACAACUCAUGUCUAUGGCUAGGAAACUCAACCAUCUUUGAUCAACGAGCUAGCCAAGUAGAGGCAUAAUAGUGACACUAUGUUUGUCUAUGUAUUCACACAUGUAUUAUGUUUCCGGUUAAUACAGUUCUAGCAUGAAUAAUAAACGUUUAUCAUGAAAUAAGGAAAUAAAAAUAACUUUAUUAUUGCCUCUAGGGCAUAUUUCCUUCAGUCUCCCACUUGCACUAGAGUCGAUAAUCUAGUUCACAUCGCCAUGUGAUUUAACAUCAAUAGUUCACAUCUUCAUGUGGUUAACACCCAUAGUUCACAUCGAUAUGUGACCAACACCCAAAGAGUUUACUAGAGUCAGUUAAUCUAGUUCACAUCGCUAUGUGACUAACACCCAAAGAGUACUAAGGUGUGAUCAUGUUUUGCUUGUGAGAGAAGUUUAGUCAACGGGUCUGCCACAUCCAGAUCCGUAUGUAUUUUGCAAAUUUCUAUGUCAACAAUGCUCUGCACGGAGCUACUUUAGCUUAAUUGCUCCCACUUUCAAUAUGUAUCUAGAUCGAGACUUAGAGUCAUCCAGAUCGGUGUCAAAGCUUGCAUCGACGUAACUCUUUACGACGAACCUUUUGUCACCUCCAUAAUCGAGAAACAUAUCCUUAUUCCACUAAGGAUAAUUUUGACCACUGUCGAGUGAUCUACUCCUAGAUCACUAUUGUAUUCCCUUGCCAAACUCAGUGUAGGGUAUACAAUAGAUCUGGUACACAGCAUGGCAUACUUUAUAGAACCUAUGGCUGAGGCAUAGGGAAUGACUUUCAUUCUCUUUCUAUUUUCUGCCGUGGUCGGGCUUUGAGUCUUACUCAAUUUCACACCUUGCAACACAGACAAGAACUCUUUCUUUGACUGUUCCAUUUUGAACUACUUCAAAAUCUUGUCAAGGUAUGUACUCAUUGAAAAAACUUAUCAAGCAUCUUCAUCUAUCUCUAUAGAUCUUGAUGCUCAAUAUGUAAGCAGCUUCACCGAGAUCUUUCUUUGAAAAACUCCUUUCAAAUACUCCUUUAGUUCCAGAAAAUUCUACAUUAUUUCCAAUCAAUAAUAUGUCAUUCACAUAUACUAGAAAUGAUGUAGUGCUCCCACUCACUUUCUUGUAAAUACAGGCUUCACCACAAGUCUGUAUAAAACUAUAUGCUUUGAUCAACUCAUCAAAGUGUAUUUUCUAACUCCGAGAUGCUUGCACCAGUCCAUAUAUGGAUCGCUGGAGUUUGCACAUUUUGUUAGCACCUUUAGGAUCGACAAAACCUUCUGGUUGCAUCAUAUACAACUCUUCUUUAAGAAAUCCAUUAAGGAAUGUAGUUUUGACAUCCAUUUGCCAGAUUUCAUAAAAUGUGGCAAUUUGCUAACAUGAUUCGGACAGACUUAAGCAUAGAUACGAAUGAGAAACUCUCAUCGUAGUCAACACCUUGAACUUGUCGAAAACCUUUUUGCGACAAUUCUAGCUUUGUAGAUAGUAACACUACUAUCAGCAUUCGUCUUCCUCUUGAGGAUCCAUUUAAUCUCAAUGGCUCACCAAUCAUCGGGCAAGUCAAUCAAAGUCCAUACUUUGUUCGCAUACAUGGAUCCCAUCUCAGAUUUCAUGGCCUCAAGCCAUUUUGCAGAAUCUGGGCUCAUCACCGCUUCCUCAUAGUUCGUAGGUUCGUCAUGGUCAAGUAACAUGACCUCCAGAACAGGAUUAUCGUACCACUCUGGUGCGGAUCUUACUCUGGUUGACCUACGAGGUUCGGUAUUAACUUGAUCUGAAGUUUCAUGAUCAUUAUCAUUAGCUUCCUCACUAAUUGGUGUAGGUGUCACACGAACCGGUUUCUGUGAUGAACUACUUUCCAAUAAGGGAGCAGGUACAGUUACCUCAUUAAGUUCUACUUUCCUCCCACUCACUUCUUUCGACAGAAACUCCUUCUCUAGAAAGGAUCCAUUCUUCGCAACGAAUUUGCCUUUGGAUCUGUGAUAGAAGAUAUACCCAAUAGUCUCCUUUUGGGUAUCCUAUGAAGACGCAUUUGUCCGAUUUGGGUUCAAGCUCAUCAUGUUGAAACUUUUUCACAUAAGCAUCGCAUCCCCAAACUUUAAGAAACGACAACUUUGGUUUCUUGCCAAACCACAGUUCAUAAGGUGUCAUCUCAACGGAUUUAGAUGGUGCCCUUUUAACAUGAAUGCAGCCGUCUCUAAAGCAUAACCCCAAAAUGAUAGCGGUAAAUCAGUAAGAGACAUCAUAGAUCGCACCAUAUCUAGUAAAGUACGAUUACGACGUUCGGACACACCAUUUCGCUGUGGUGUUCUGGGUGGCGUGAGUUGCGAAACUAUUCAGCAUUUUUUUUCAAAUGAAGACCAAACUCGUAACUCAAAUAUUAUCCUCCAUGAUCAGAUCGUAGAAACUUUAUUUUCUUGUUACGAUGAUUUUCAACUUCACUCUGAAAUUCUUUGAACUUUUCAAAUGUUUCAGACUUAUGUUUCAUUAAGUAGAUAUACCCAUGUCUGCUUAAAUCAUCUGUGAAGGUGAGAAAAUAAUGAUACCCGCCGCGAGCCUCAACAUUCAUCGGACCACAUACAUCUGUAUGUAUGAUUUCCAACAAACCUGUUGCUCGCUCCAUAGUUCUGGAGAACGGCAUUUUAGUCAUCUUGCCCAUGAGGCACGUUUCGCAAGUACCAAGUGAUUCAUAAUCAAGUGGUUCCAAAAGUCCAUCGGUAUGGAGUUUCUUCAUGCGCUUUACACCAAUAUGACCUAAACGGCAGUGCCACAAAUAAGUUGCACUAUCAUUAUCAACUCUGCAUCUUUUGGCUUCAAUAUUAUGAAUAUAUGUAUCACUACUAUCGAGAUUCAAUAAAAAUAGACCACUCUUCAAGGGUGCAUGACCAUAAAAGAUAUUACUCAUAUAAAUAGAACAACCAUUAUUCUCUGAUUUAAAUGAAUAACCGUCUCGCAUCAAACAAGAUCCAGAUAUAAUGUUCAUGCUCAACGCUGGCACCAAAUAACAAUUAUUCAGGUCUAAAACUAAUCCUGAAGGUAGAUGUAGAGGUAGCGUGCCGACCGCGAUCACAUCGACUUUGGGACCAUUUCCCACGCGCAUCGUCACCUCGUCCUUAGCCAAUCUUUUCUUAAUCCGUAGUCCCUGUUUUGUGUUGCAAAUAUUAGCAACAAAACCAGUAUCAAAUACCCAGGUGCUACUUCGAGCAUUAGUAAGGUACACAUCAAUAACAUAUAUCACAUAUACCUUUGUUCACCUUGCCAUCCUUCUUAUCCACCAAAUACUUGGGGCAGUUCCGCUUCCAGUGACCAGUCUGUUUGCAGUAGAAGCACUCAGUCUCAGGCUUAGGUCCAGACUUGGGUUUCUUCUCCUGAGCAGCAACUUGUUUGUUGUUCUUCUUGAAGUUCCCCUUCUUCUCCCCUUUGCCCUUUUUCUUGAAACUGGCGGUCUUGUUGACCAUCAACACUUGAUGCUCCUUCUUGAUUUCUACCUCCACAGCCUUUAGCAUUGCGAAGAGCUCGGGAAUCGUCUUAUCCAUCCCUUGCAUGUUAUAGUUCAUCACGAAGCUCUUGUAGAUUGGUGGCAGUGAUUGAAGAAUUCUGUCAAUGACGCUAUCAUCCGGAAGAUUAACUCCCAGUUGAAUCAAGUGAUUGUUAUACCCAGACAUUCUGAGUAUAUGCUCACUGACAGAACUAUUCUCCUCCAUCUUACAGCUGUAGAACUUAUUGGAGACUUCAUAUCUCUCAAUCCGGGCAUUUGCUUGAAAUAUUAACUUCAACUCCUGAAACAUCUCAUAUGCUCCAUGACAUUCAAAACAUCGUUGAAGUCCCGGUUCUAAGCCUUAAAGCAUGGCACACUGAACUAUCGAGUAGUCAUCAGCUUUGCUCUGCCUACUCCUAAUGGAGCAGUUGGUAGUCUCCGCCGGUCAAUUUUCGUCCCAUCUACCAUGGUUUUUUUUUCGUCCUACCUCCGCUGGUUUUUUUCAUAGAUUUUUUCGUCCCCUCCCCCACUUCGUCCCACCACUUUCGCUGUUUUUUUUCGUCUCCCUUCCCACGUCGCGCGAAAAAAACCCCAGGGAAUAGCCCCCAUCGCACCGCACGCCAACGGGAUCCAGGUCCCCUCGAUCUAUUCGCUAUGUCCAUCGUCAAGCACGCCCCAGCCGCCACCGAGGUCCGCAUCCCGCCGUCGAGGUCCGAAAGGGGCCGCGGCCGCCUUCAUUCUGGACAGGAGGUCUGCGCCAUACCUCAGGGCAGGGCGGUUCAAACCCCUGGAUCGUGAUCGUCAAUAACGCCGCCGCCGGCAUCAUGGAUCUCUCCUCCGCCCAUCAUCUUGCUCCUCCGCCAGCCUUCGAGAUCGCCGCCGCCGCUACCACCAGUUCGCUCGCACGCCGUGGCCAUCACCCGGCCCGUAUGCCGCCGCCAUUACCCUUCGCCGCUGCUCGGAUGUGGCGCUCAUGCGCCAUGGCCGCCAUGGCAUCCAUGGCCGACAGGGGAGGACCCUCGGCCUCGGUUGUGGCUCCUGCACAGGACAUGGGGAAGGUGAGCCAAAUCCACACGUGGUCCUCCAGUAAAUCCGGGCCAUGACCUACCUGAACCUGUUGCAUCUCUUUCCUCUCUGUCUGCAGUCUCUUGGAAUGGUGUGCGGCGGCUUCGACGCAAGACCAUGGCUGGAGGUGCGGCCAUCGGUGGGAUGAGGUCGGCCAAGGUGGACAACACCUACGCACCGGAUCUACCACAGAAACCUUCUCAAGUAUGAUUUCUUCCCCCAUUUUGCUUGUAUAGUUAAUUGUUCGUCCUUGUAUCCUGACUUUCCAGCUGAGUGAGUCAUGGAGUUUGUGGGUUGCACGCGCUAUAGGUAGUUACUGGAUGGAAUAGUAAGAAUUGAUGUAACCGUAGAGCCUAGAAUCUCACUCCCUUCAAGGCCGCUUUCUUCUUCUCCUUACCCUGUUUGGUUUACUGAGAAAUUCCCCAAACACUCUUUAUAUAGUGAAUCUAUUUAUUAUAUACUCAUGCCAUCUAAGUAGUGAAAUAUUCUAUCUUAUAAAUAUAUGGAAUAUUUCUUCUAGAGAAAUCAAGCUUUUUUCGUUCUAGGUAUUUCUCUUGUUCAUGCAUAAAACCUUACCAACAGAAUCUACAAUAUAGAAGUACAGAAGUUGAUGCAAAUGUAUGGAGCAUGGUCACCACUCUCACAUUUGGUCAGUGAUUAAUGCAACCUCUACGUACAUCUCUUUCAUUCAUUGAACCACUCUUUCAUGACACAUAUGCAGUUCUACACCUUCUCAUAUCCAAACGAUGACUCCUUGUAGUGGGAUGAGAGGAUAUUAUAUCUAAGCAUGUGAGGGAGGAGCAAGAUAUUAUGAGGUGGACUAUGGGGUUCAUAACAUCUGGUGUUGCUCCUGCAGCAGGUCUGGCACCUAGCGGUGCUUCCAGGACGUAAUUCUUCUGUGCAGCAAUGAGGAUAAUCCUCAAGUUACGGACCCAGUCCGUGUAAUUGCUACCAUCAUCUUCCAACUUUGCUUUCUCAAGGAACGCAUUAAAAUUCAACGGAACAACAGCACGGGCCAUCUAUCUACAAUCAGCAUAGACAAGAAAAAUACUAUCAGGUACUAAGUUCAUGAUAAAUUUAAGUUCAAUUAAUCAUAUUACUUAAGAACUCCCACUUAGAUAGGCAUCCCUCUAAUCCUCUAAGUGAUCACGUGAUCCAAAUCAACUAAACCAUGUCCGAUCAUCACGUGAGAUGGAGUAGUUUCAAUGCUGAACAUCACUAUGUUGAUCAUAUCUACUAUAUGAUUCACGCUCGACCUUUCGGUCUGAGUGUUCCGAGGCCGUAUCUGCAUAUGCUAGGUUCGUCAAGUUUAACCUGAGUAUUCCGCGUGUGCAACUGUUUUGCACCCGUUGUAUUUGAAUGUAGAGCCUAUCACACCCGAUCAUCACGUGGUGUCUCAGCGCGAAGAACUUUCACAACGGUGCAUACUCAGGGAGAACACUUAUACCUUGAUAAUUUAGUGAGAGAUCAUCUUAUAAUGCUACCGUCAAUCAAAACAAGAUAAGAUGCAUAAAAGAUAAACAUCACAUGCAAUCAAUAUAAGUGAUAUGAUAUGGCCAUCAUCAUCUUGUGCUUGUGAUCUCCAUCUCCGAAGCACCGUCAUGAUCACCAUCGUCACCGGCGCGACACUUUGAUCUCCAUCGUAGCAUCGUUGUCGUCUCGCCAACUUAUGCUUCUACGACUAUCGCUACCGCUUAGUGAUAAAGUAAAGCAUUACAGGGCGUUUGCAUUGCAUACAAUAAAGCGACAACCAUAUGGCUCCUGCCAGUUGCCGAUAACUCGGUUACAAGACAUGAUCAUCUCAUACAAUAAAAUAUAGUAUCAUGCCUUGACCAUAUCACAUCACAACAUGCCCUGCAAAAACAAGUUAGACAUCCUCUACUUUGUUGUUGUAAGUUUUACGCGGCUGCUACGGGCUGAGCAAGAACCGUUCUUACCUACGCAUUAAAACCACAACGAUAGUUUGUCAAGUUAGUGCUGUUUUAACCUUCUCAAGGACCGGGCGUAGCCACACUCGGUUCAACUAAAGUUGGAGAAACUGACACCCACCAGCCACCUGUGUGCAAAGCACGUCGGUAGAACCAGUCUCGCGUAAGCGUACGCGUAAUGUCGGUCCGGGCCGCUUCAUCCAACAAUAACGUCGAACCAAAGUAUGACAUGCUGGUAAGCAGUAUGACUUAUAUCGCCCACAACUCAUUUGUGUUCUACUCGUGCAUAUAACAUCUACGCAUAAAACCAGGCUGAGCAAAAGCGGUAACUUAGCCAAACAACGGUUUGCUAGGAAAGGAUGGUUAGAGGCUUGACAUGGCAAUAUGGGAGGCAUGAUAUAGCAAGUGGUAGGUAGCGCAGCAUAGCAAUAGAACGAACAACUAGCAAAGCAAAGAUAGAAGUGAUUUCGAGGGUAAGGUCAUCUUGCCUGCAAGGUUCUCAGAGUUGUCGAAAGCUUGAUCCUCGUAAGCGUACUCAACAGGUUCCUCGUUCACGAACUCGUCUCCCAGCUCUACCCACAGCAAGAACACAAGCAAUGGAACCACAAUCAAUCACGGGAAAUGCACAAGCAACAUGAUGCAAUACAUGCAUGAUAUGCAAGAUAUGAUAUGCGAUGCGUAUGCUUGCUCCGGAAGAAAAAGAAUAAACAAGGCAGUAACUUGGCAAACCAAGUAUGCCACUAGAAAUAUGAGAUGAUUUCGGUCGAAAUCAAUAUAAAGAUCACCGGAAACGGAUGCACGGUUUGCAAAUGGCAAGCAAAACAAGAAUGACACGAAUCUGCGAUUAACAGCAUGAUAGCACUUAGGAUACAUCAAGUAACUAUGCUACAGCACUCCAACAUAGCAACAAAGCAUAUGGCAGUAAUCUACAAGAGAUUCUUGACAAAAGAUGAACACUGAGCUAUGGCUAGAUCACAACAUAACAGGUUCAAACAAGCAUGGCAAAAGUGCAAAAGAUAUCAGUUUCACAGACUUGGUGAAAUUACUGGACAUGGCUGAAACAACAUCAGGUAGGAAUGUUCAGAGCAAGCAAAACACAUGCUACAGGAACUUAACAUAGCAAAACAAGGCAUGGCAUGAAUCUACUAAAUGCAUAGAACAAAAAGUCCCUUACUGACCAUGAGCCAAAAGGUACAGAAGAUAUGAUGGCACCCAUGUAAACAUAGCAAGUUUCGUUAACAGGUUUCAGACUUAGCAGAAAACAGAGCAUGGCAUUAACAGAAAUUAUGAGGGCAUCUUGUGAGCUUGAUGCACUCAUCACAAAGCAAUGCAUGACAAAACAAGCAUACCUAAAGCAAGAUGGCAUGUUUAUGAAUCUAACCAUGGCAAGAGCAAGUUCAUAGCAUGAAAGGAUCAACUACAACAACCUUGGCAAAAUUGAAUAUCAUGUUAAACAUUCUGCCAGAAACAUUUUAUAGCAAAAGUAGAGCAAGAUUAAGACAUGCUAGGGCACUCCAUAAUUGCAAACAGUGCCAUGGAUGGAUAGAGGAUAACCAUAGUUCAAAACAUCCUUAUUGAAGUAUCUCAAAAUAUGCAUGGAUCUCUCUGUAGCCACAUGGAUACAUAGCAACAAAAUAACAGCAGUAACAGACAGUGAAAAUCCCAAGUCCCUGAAAACAGAAAACAUCACGAAGCCUAGUUUGCAUGCUUGUGCUAGUCACCACAUAGAUCACAAAAAUACAUAGCAUACACCUCUGUAAAGAUGGCAUGGCAUAGAUCAAAACACCUGUAGAGCUCAUGCUCAUAAUAUGCACACAUCAAUUGCAACAAAAAUAACAAAUCACCAAGUUCUGAUAAGUAACAGCAGUAAACAUCAUAUAGCACACUUUCACCAGAGAUUUUGGCAUCAAUAUGGACUCAAACGAGCAUGGCGCAAUGGAACAAAAUGAAGAGCAUCUCGUGACGAACAUUUCGAUAUAUUACACGCACGAAACAGAGCUAUGUGCACGGAGAUAUGAUGCGAUGAACAGAGCAAUAUUAUGCAAAAACUUCGGGACUUGGACAAAUCGAGGGGAGGAAAAAGUCAACCUAGCCCCGAUCUGGAUCUAGCGCGGCUUGGGCGCGCGGUCGCCGAGGAUCGCCGGGGCUAGCGCGGCUGCGGGAGACGGAGGGAGACAGCGGCGGCUGGAGAGAGCUCGGGGGAGGCGCGGGGCGGCCGGAGCUCGGGGCCGGACCUCGCCGGAGUUGGAGAGGAGGGAGAUGGCCGGCUGGAGCUCGGGGAGGCCCGGUCGGCGGACGGGCGCCGGAGCGCCGGAGCUCGCCGGCUCGGGUGCGGCGGACGGCGACCUGCGGAGGACGGCGGGAGGCGGCGAUGGCNNNNNNNNNNNNNNNNNNNNNNNNNNNNNNNNNNNNNNNNNNNNNNNNNNNNNNNNNNNNNNNNNNNNNNNNNNNNNNNNNNNNNNNNNNNNNNNNNNNNNNNNNNNNNNNNNNNNNNNNNNNNNNNNNNNNNNNNNNNNNNNNNNNNNNNNNNNNNNNNNNNNNNNNNNNNNNNNNNNNNNNNNNNNNNNNNNNNNNNNNNNNNNNNNNNNNNNNNNNNNNNNNNNNNNNNNNNNNNNNNNNNNNNNNNNNNNNNNNNNNNNNNNNNNNNNNNNNNNNNNNNNNNNNNNNNNNNNNNNNNNNNNNNNNNNNNNNNNNNNNNNNNNNNNNNNNNNNNNNNNNNNNNNNNNNNNNNNNNNNNNNNNNNNNNNNNNNNNNNNNNNNNNNNNNNNNNNNNNNNNNNNNNNNNNNNNNNNNNNNNNNNNNNNNNNNNNNNNNNNNNNNNNNNNNNNNNNNNNNNNNNNNNNNNNNNNNNNNNNNNNNNNNNNNNNNNNNNNNNNNNNNNNNNNNNNNNNNNNNNNNNNNNNNNNNNNNNNNNNNNNNNNNNNNNNNNNNNNNNNNNNNNNNNNNNNNNNNNNNNNNNNNNNNNNNNNNNNNNNNNNNNNNNNNNNNNNNNNNNNNNNNNNNNNNNNNNNNNNNNNNNNNNNNNNNNNNNNNNNNNNNNNNNNNNNNNNNNNNNNNNNNNNNNNNNNNNNNNNNNNNNNGGCGCGCGGAGGGACGGAUCUAGCUUUUCAGGACCCGGAAUUUGGAGGAGGGAGCACAUAUUUAUAGGUAGAGGGAGUUAGGAGACUCCAAAUGGAGUGCGGUAUUCGCCCACACGAUCGUGAUCGAACGACCGAGAGCAUGGAGGUGACUUAGAUGGGUUGUUGGGCUGUUUGGAGGGGGGUUUUGCUGCAACACACAAAAGGCCUUUGCGGUUACCCGGUUGACCGUUGAAGCACCAAACGACCUCCAAAUGGAACGAAACUUGACAGGUGGUCUACCGGUGUUCUACCAAGUCCAGUUGGCAAACCUCGGUCCAUUCCGAGAAUGUUUGACACCCGCUCACGAAAAGAGACAAGAGGGGGUGCGCCGGUGCACGUGGGAGUGUCGGAUUGCAAAACGGACAACGGGGAAAAUGCUCGGAUGCAAGAGACGAACACGUAUGCAAAUGAGAUGCACAUGAUGACAUGAUAUGAGAUGCAUGACAUGAAAAAAAUGUAAAACGAGAGACAAAACCCGACCACGAAGUGAAUAUCAUAACACAUAGCCGAAAAUGGCAAGAGUUGGAGUUACAAAUAUGGAAAGUUACAUCCGGGGUGUUACAACACUCCACCACUACGAGAGGAUCUCGUCCCGAGAUCUAGGACUGAAAGAACUCCGGAUAUUCGGAACGGAGGUGGUCCUCGCGUUCCCAGGUGGCUUCUCGGUCGGAAUGGUGCGACCACUUCACUUUCAGGAAUUUGAUUGACUUGUUGCGAGUCUUGCGCUCAGUUUCUUCAAGAAUAGCAACGGGGUGCUCAUGAUAAGACAGAUCUUCUUGGAGGUCAAUCUCUUCGAAGUUGAUGGUGCGCUCAGGAGUCUUGAAGCACUUGCGAAGCUGUGACACGUGGAACACAUCGUGCACGUUCGCGAAGUUGGAGGGAAGCUCAAGUUGAUAGGCGAGGUCGCCUCUUUUUCCAAUGAUCUUGAAAGGACCCACGUAUCUAGGGGCAAGCUUCCCUUUGAUACCGAAGCGACGAGUGCCUUUCAUUGGAGAGACGCGGAGGUAGACAUGGUCUCCGAUCUCAAAAGCCAAAUCACGGUGCUUACUAUCAUAAUAACUCUUCUGCGCGAUUGCGCGGCUUUGAGAUUUUCACAGAUGACUUUACACAUGUCUUCAGCCUCUGUGAUUAAGUCAUUGCUAAGAAGUUGGCGUUCACCAGUCUCUGACCAAUUGAGAGGAGUACGGCACUUUCUGCCAUAGAGAAUCUCGAAUGGGGCCUUGCCCGAACUCGCUUGGAAGCUGUUGUUGUAGGAGAAUUCGGCAUAUGGAAGACAAUCUUCCCAUUUCAUGCCAAAGGAAAUGACACAAGCCCUGAGAAUAUCUUCAAGGAUUUGAUUGACUCGCUCGACUUGGCCACUAGUUUGAGGAUGGAAAGCUGUGCUGAAGCGAAUGUUGGUGCCCAUGGCUUUCUGGAAGGAGUCCCAGAACUUAGAAGUGAAGAUACUUCCACGAUCUGAAGAUAUCAAUUGUGGAAUGCCGUGCAAGGAGACAAUCCUGGAGGUGUAUAGCUCUGCCAACUGAGCUGCUGUGAUUGAUUCUUUGAUUGGAAGGAAAUGCGCCACUUUAGAAAGCUUGUCGAUGACAACGAAGAUAGCAUCAUUUCCACGCUUGGACUUGGGAAAUCCAGUCACGAAGUCCAUUUCGAUAUGAUCAAACUUCCAUUCUGGGAUAGCGAGAGGUUGGAGGAGACCAGCUGGUCGUUGGUGUUCUGCUUUCACCCUUCGACAGACAUCACAUUCAUUCACGAAUUGAGCGAUUUCUCGCUUCAUUCGAGUCCACCAAUACGACUGCCUGAGGUCAUGGUACAUCUUCGUACUUCCGGGAUGAAUGGAAAGAAGAGAAUUGUGCGCCUUGUUCAUAAUGACUUUCCUUAGAUCACCUUUAGGAACCACCAACCGGUCCUCGAAGAAUAAAGUGUCUCUGUCAUCAAUGCGAUAGCACUUGUAUUUGGAAAGACCCUUGUCGAUACCAUGUUUCACCUUCUUCACCAUGGUAUCCAGGAGUUGUGCCUCACGAAUUUGAUCUUCCAAAGUAGGAGAGACUAUGAGGUUGGCAAGAAAGCCUUGAGGAACAACUUGGAAAUUGAGCUUGCGGAAAGCUUCACAAAGAUCCGGUUGAAAUGGCUUGAUAAUUAAACUGUUGCAAUAAGCCUUCCUGCUCAAAGCAUCUGCAAUGACAUUGGCUUUGCCUGGAGUAUAUUCAAUACUCGGAUUGUACUCUUGAAUCAUUUCGACCCAUCGAGUUUGCCUGAGGUUGAGGUUGGGUUGAGUGAAGAUGUACUUGAGACUCUUGUGAUCGGUGAAUAUGUCCACUUUUCUUCCCAACAAGAGAUGUCUCCAUGUUAUUAAUGCAUGGACAACUGCCGCCAACUCAAGAUCGUGAGUGGGGUAGUUCUUUUCGUUGGGCUUCAACUGACAAGAGGUAUGGGCCACAACUUUCUUCUCUUGCAUUAACACAGCAUCGAGACCUUGAAGAGAAGCAUCACAGAAAACUUCGAAUGGCUUGGAUUCGUCAGGAGGAGUUAAGACAGGAGCUGUGACGAGUUUCUCUUUGAGAGUGUUGAAAGCAACGUCACACUCAGGAGUCUAGACAUACUUCACAUGCUUCUGGAGGAGGUUGGAGAGAGGCUUUGCAAUCUUAGAGAAAUUCUCAACGAAUCUUCGGCAAUAGCUUGCAAGACCAAGAAAACUGCGAAGCUGCUUGACAUUCUGAGGAGGUUCCCAAUUCACAAUUGCAGACACCUUCUCGGGAUUAACAACGAUGCCCUUGGCAGAGAUGAUAUGACCAAGGUAAAGAACUUCGUCAAGCCAAAACUCACAUUUGGAAAACUUCGCAUAGAAUUGAUACUCUCUGAGCUUGUCGAGUACCAAUCACAAAUGUUUGGCAUGAUCCUUCUUAUUCUUGGAGACGACCAAGAUAUCAUCGAGAUACACCAGGACGAAUUCAUUGGUAUAGGGGUUGAAGAUGAAGUUCAUCAUUCGAGAGAAUGUUGGAGGAGCAUUGACAAGGCCGAAAGACAUGACAGUAUAUUCAUAAGAACCAAAGCUUGUUCUGAAUGCUGUCUUGGGAAUAUCUUCUUCACGAAUGCGAAUCUGAUGAUAACCCAUCCGGAGGUCAAGCUUGGAGAAUACUUUAGCACCUUUAAGUUGCUCGAAUAGCUCAUUGAUGUUGGAAGUGGAUACUUGUUCUUGAUUGUCUUCUUUUUCAAUGGACGGUAGUCGACACAAAGUCGGUCCGUGCCAUCCUUCUUCUGGACAAAAAGAACACCACAACCCCACGGAGAUGAACUCGGUCUGAUCAAACCCAGACGCUCUUGUUCAUCGAGCUGUUUCUUCAAUUCCUUCAGCUCCUUGGGUCCAAGCUUGUAUGGACGCUUGCAAACGGGUUCCGUGCCAGGCUCAAGAUCGAUAACAAACUCAACUGGCCGGUGAGGAGGCAUACCCGGAAGCUCUUCUGGAAAGACAUCUUGGUACUCACAAACGACUGGAAUUUGAGAAAUAGCAUUCCACUCGCCCUUCUCAUUGAGAGAAAACAACUGAAUAGUUUCAUCACGAGCGGCAUAGAUGAUAACAUCCUCAGAAGAGUGUGUCAAUUUAAUUUCCCUGGCAGCACAAUCAAGUUGAGCCUUGUGCUUAGAAAGCCAGUCCAUCCCGAGAAUUAGAUCAAUAUCCGAGUCACCAAGGACAAUUGGUGAAGACAGAAAUUUAUAGUUGCCCAUCUUGAUGGAAACAUCCGGAACCAUGGCUAAUUAUGUCAUUGAUAUGAAUCAUUAUAAUUUUUAAAUGUUAUUGUCGACAUGGUUAGUUAUAGUGCUGGCUGAAAACCUGGGUGUUGUUUAAGCUUAUUUAUGCAAACAAGAGCAAAAGAGUUCGUAAAAGUUUUUCUUUCCCACUUCCAGUUUAUCAACUUAAGCUUGGGGGAGUUGAUACGUCUCCAACGUACCUACUUUUUCUCACGCUUUCCUCUUGUUUUGGACUCUAAUUUGCAUGAUUUGAAUGAAACUAACCCCGAACUGACGCUGUUUUCAGCAAAACUACCAUGGUGUUGUUUUUAUGCAGAAAUAAAGGUUCUCGGAAUGGAACGAAACUUUGUGAGGAUUUUUUAUAUCAAUGAUAAUAAUUUCUGGAGCCAAGACCUGCCAGAGAGGGGCACCUGGGUGGGCACAACCCACCAGGGCGCACCCCCCUCUCCUGGCGCGCCCAGGUGGGUUGUAUCCACCUGGUGGCCCCGCUGACGACCCCCCUGAUACUAUAAAUUCACAUAUUUCCAGAAAAAAAAUCAGGAAAAAAGAAUUAUCGCGUUCCACGAGACGGAGCCGCCGCCAAGCCCUGUUCUUCCUCGGAAGGGCAGAUCUGGAGUCCGUUUGGGGCUCCGGAGAGGGGGAUCUUCGUUCUUCGUCAUCACCAACCAAUCUCCAUCGCCAAUUCCAUGAUGCUCCCCACCUGUGAGUAAUUCCUUCAUAGGCUGCCUGGUCGGUGAGGAGUUGGAUUAGAUUCAUCAUGUAAUCGAGUUAGUUUUGUUAGGGCCUAAUCCCUAGUAUCCACUAUGUUCCUAGAUUGAUGUUGCUAUGACUUUGCUAUGCUUAAUGCUUGUCACUUUGGGCCCGGGUGCCAUGAACUCAGAUCUGAACCGUUUAUGAAUUCAUCAUUAUAUCCAUGUUUUAAAUCCGAUCUUGCAAGUUAUAGUCACCUACUACGUUUAUGAUCCGACAACCCCGGAGUGACAACAACCGGGCCCACUCUCGGUGAUGACCGUAGUUUGAGGAGUUCAUGUAUCACUAUUUGUUAAUGCUUUGUUUCGGUUCUCUAUUAAAAGGAGGCCUUAAUAUUCCUUAGUUUCCAAUAUGGACCCCGCUGCACGGGAGGGUAGGACAAACGAUGUCAUGCAAGUUCUUUUAAUAAAGCACGUAUGACUAUUUACGGAAUACAUGCCUACAUUAUAUCGAUGAAUUGGAGCUAGUCCCGUAUCGCCCUAGGUUAUAACGGUCACAUGAUGAAUAUCAUCCAACAAGUCACCGAUCCAAUGCCUACGAAUUUAUUUAUAUUGAUCUUGCUGUGUUACUACUGCUAUCAUCACUGUUACACUUGCUACAAAUUACUGCUAUCACUGUUACUGUUAUCAUUGCUGCUGUCACUACUAUCAAAACUAUCAAACUACUUUGCUACUGAUCACUUUGUUGCAGAUAAUUAAUCUCCAGGUGUGGUUGAAUUGACAACUCAGCUGCUAAUACCUUCAAAUAUUCUUUGGCUCCCUUUGUGUCGAAUCUAUAAAUUUGGGUUGAAUACUCUACCCUCGAAAACUGUUGCGAUUCCCUAUACUUGUGGGUUAUCACUGUCCAACCCCCAUGUGUCGGCGACGUUGGUCAGGGGUGCAGCAGGGACGGUGGCGGCACACAGGACGGUUGUGACGACGACGGCGGCGGUGACUACACCAAGUUCUACAGGCUCCUCGGCAUGUAGAAGGCGGGCGGCGACAACGGCGGCGCAGUAGUUUGUUUAAGUUCGUUUGUUUUAGUUUUAGUUAUGUUUUCCGUUUUUUGUACAAAUGUCAAUGAAAUCGCCUCGUUUGGCCGAAAUUUGUGUCGUGUUUGAUUUUUUAAAAACCCGCGUCUGGGACGGCCUUGGGGCGGCCGUCCACACGCCGAGUUUUUCGCCGGCGCACCCCCAAGCGGCGCUAUUUCAAGCCCCUAGAGAGGGCCAACGAGUGGAGAUGCUCUAAGCAAGACCAGUGUGUUGCUACCGGCAAAGGCAACGUCGACGACCUGCAGUCGAGCUGUUUGAUGGAAUGCCAGAGAGAAGUAAGCUUGAGAGUGUUAGACGCCGACGGGUGAACCCGCUGCAGCUUAACAUUCCAGGCUAACGGAGUGUAUAUUUGAUGCCACGUAAACGCUUACAUAUGGGUCCCAUGCAUCAUAAACAUGGUUAAAACAGAUGAACUACGUCCCUAGUGUCUUUUGUGAAAAUUAGGGGCAAUACUGGUAGGUUUUAGCAAAAAAAAUAGAGCGGUUGUUUUUUGAACCCUAAUCGUGAUUGUAGUGGUUUUUUCUAUUUACUCCAUCUAUACGAUAUCAAACAAAAUUGGGGAUAAAUGAUUUUCUUAGCUUAACUUAAGUUCUCAUCAUAGUGUGUGCGAGAAAUAAUAACUCAAACCAGGUUCUCACCCCGCUUUAUAGAUAAAACACAAACCAAAGUACAUGGCCAAACGAUACAAGGUAAUGAGGGGGCCCUCAUAGAAAGCAGAUCCUAGAAUAACUAAUCAGCAUAAAUGCACACAACUAUGUUGUAGAAAGCUAACACGGGCAGGCCUGAAAACUACGGCCAAACACAUCCUCGCCUAAGCUUCCAUAACAGCGCCCUUAGGAGGCUGAACAAUGUGAAGCGUCGUCGCUGCCAAGUCCGAGGGAGACAAGGGUUUUCACUUGAAGCCCUGGCACAGAGAGGAGAACCACGCCUCAAGAGGAUAGCGGCACCCACGCAUUGUAGCGUCAUUGGCAUCAAAGUGCGAAGCUUUCGUUUGGCAGAUCAUACAUGCCACCAUGAGGUAUCUAUGAUAAUCGCAACGAGCAUAAGCCUUUAGCUCCGGAUAUGGGCGCCGCCACUACCAACGAUAGGAAGCGAGGCAGAGCCUUCUACAGCAACACCGUACCCCUUGCCGCCCAGACAACCAAGAAGGAUACCCACCGUCGCCAUCAUGGUGCCCGCUGUAGCUGUGGAGCCAUCCAUGCGGGCCAGCAUCUAUGGUUCGAGCCACUGCCAACCCUCUGCGUCACGGCGCGCCAACCAAGUACAAGCAGAAGUCACUCCUUCUAUUCCUAGCCUAGCAUCAACCACUAGGUCCGGACCCAAUGCCUCCACCGUAGAAAGCGCCAGCAUGUGCCUCUCUAAGCAGUCUCGAUGGACUAGGGGGACACAACGCAGUGACUAUCGAUGGCCACCUUCGGGCAAGCACCGAACCGAGCCCUCUGGUCCGCAACCUAUGCGGCAACCACGUCAGGUCACCGCCAUCACCCCGCGCCACCCGCCAUGGCCAGGUCCCCAAAUCGGGAUCCACUAGAUGCCACAUGCACCCACCAGAGAUUGCCCGUGCAUAGCCGCCACACACAAGCACUCGCCCCAUGUCGCCGCCGCCCACCCUCGAGCGAACGUUGCUGCCACCCGCGCCUGCUGCCGCUCUGCCGCCCAAGGCUCCUCCGCGCGACUAGGCCAUCCCGCGCCAACCUUCACGGACCGAGCGAAGGGGAGAAGAUUCCCUCCGCCAUUUGGGCUUUGCCCAGCGGCGGCGAGGGGAGUGAGAGGUGUUGUUGGGGGUUAUUAGUCCGUCUCCAUGGGCUUUGGUCAAUAUCGCUCGUUAAUUCCUACUCCUACGCAUGUACGUCGGGUGCAGAACUGCACGCACUAGUUAGUUCGCCCAAAAGUUCAAGCUGAUGGGGGAAAGGUGGGCUAUGCAUUUAUACGUCAACACACACCCUUGUGUGUGGCUCCCUGAGGCCUAAACAUGAACUGAAAGUGGGCUGCAAUUUAAUUACGCCAGCCGUGUCUUGAACUAAAGACCUUUUGGUUCUAAUACCAUGUACAAAUGCACGCGCCAGCCAGUUCAUCCAAAAGCUCAAUCUAUGAGAGAGGGCAUGGCAUUAUACUUCAACACUCCCCCUCACGUCUAUGCUCCUUUGGAGUGUAUGACGUGGGCAGCGAAAGCCGGGCAAGCCCCAAUUAUUUAUUGUGUUUACUGGGUUUUGAACCCUAAACCUCUUGGUUGCAAGUUUAUGUACCUAACCAGUUCACUCAUAAGCUCAAGCUAUGGGAGAGGGUUGAACAUUAUACUCCAAGACUCCCCCUCACGUCUAUGCUUCUUUGGAGAUUAUGAUGUUGGCAGCGAAAGUGGGGCAGGCCGCAACCAACUCAUCCAAAGGUCCGGAGUGAUGGAGAGAGCCAGACAAUGUACUUAACACCCCCUCACAUCUAGGCUUAUUUAGUCUUUAGACAUGAGAUUUAUGUAGGCCGCAAAAUCCUUUUUUAAUACUACGUUGGCAGAGUAUUACUCAAGACCUCCUGGUUCAGAUACCAUGUUAAACUAAUGUUCUAGCCAACUCAUUCAAAAGUUCCAACCAUGAGAGAGGGCCGGACAUUAUACUUCAACAUCGACGAUGAAAACAUUGUAGCGGGAGCGGACAAGAAUGUAGUCCUCCAGUGGCGAGUAGCUGUGAUGAGCCAAAUACUUUUUUUAUAAAGGGAAUAUAUUAAUAUCACAGAUAUCAAUUACACCCAGCCUAUGCAACAAUGCAAUGCCCUAAUGGCAUUAUGGAUGUGCACAACCAAAAAAGAAGAAUCUAAAAAAAAGCCCCGCUAGAGAGUUCCAGUCCUUGCAACAGCAGUACAACCACCACCAAAACAACACCUCAAGUCCAAGUUCUCCAAAAACGACGCCUCAAAGAAGGAAACAGUGCACAAACACCAUCGUCACCCGAUCGUAGAUCUUGGAUUUUCACCCUGAAGAUAGUCUCCGCUCUCAAAACAAUGCCUUCAACAAGGUCAUUGCCAUGCACAACCAACUAAGGCCAGACCUUGGAUUUUCACCUUGAGAGGUAAGACUUUGAACUACACAUGUGUUGUCGCCCCCACUUACAUACCGUUGCUACAAAAUCCGAAACUCCAAACAAGCUCCUCAUCGCCAUAAAGGCUCCAGUCACCAUUACUAGUCCUCCGAUCUCGGCUUCCAUGACAUUCUCGCCUCUGACUUCACCAUAGAGUUAAACAUAUCCCAUGAUGACAACAGAUAGCAGAGCUUCGCACCGCUCCCUUCUUAACGGAGAACCAGUGGGCACGACCGAAUCCCAUCCGAUCCAGCAAUCUACAGACAUAACACGCCCAUGGGAGUUCACCGGCAGAGCCUUCCGGAACCUGACACUCCGACCGGAUCAAGGAGGACAGGCGUCAGGCAAAUCUUCGUCUUGUCACUUGAGGAACCCUAGGACCGCCCCCUUAAUUCAGGCCGAGCCCGCAGCCCCACGCCGCCGCGGCACCCCGGAUCAGAUCGGAGGGAUCGGCAGGCACCAGCACCUCGACCAACGACCCAGGGAUGCGCGAAUCUCAUCGAGGGCAGUAGGGGCGCCGGGAAAGGGCACCUCGCGGGUAGCCAAUGGCGCGCCGCCGCGCCAUGGAGGAGCAGGCAACACACCGCCUAAACAAAGCACCAACACAAUGGCCGGCUGCUGCCUCGGCCUUGAAUCUGAGGGGAAAACGCCGCGCCGCGAGAGAGAGCUCGCCCCGCCGCCGCCGUCCGCGGCACGGGCUUAGCCCGGUCGCCUCCUCCGAUGACAGCGAUGGGGGAUGGAGGGGUGGGGCUCGCGGUGGCCGGCGGCUGGGUCUCCCCCGUGUCGCUCGAGUCCAUGGCCACAAUUUCGUCGUGUGGACAUGUUCAGAAUGAAGCACAAGUGGUAUAGUAUAUUUUUUCUGCGGCAUCUUUUCACUAGUCUUGCUCUUUGUUUCGAUCCAGAAAACAGCAGCAGAAAUCAGAGAUUUGGGGCCCUUGGCACGACACCUCACUGUCACUGUCGUGCCUUGUGCACAUGCGUCUGUUCACUCGAUCCUCCCAUGGUACAAUAGCAUGUAAAGAAGGCAAAUGACAAGAAGACAUGCAAUCACCAGACAAAUUACUGAAUAGAUUAGGAGCAACUGUACUCGCCAUCAGUUACGUACGUACCAUGCAUUUGGAUGCCACGAACAUCUUACAAGUUACAGUCACAUCAUAUGUAUACCCCUUUUGUUGGAGAUUAUAACAUGUAAAUGAUGUAUGGCUGUUCGUAGAUCUCGAUCUAGUCGAUCAUGAGAGACAAUACUGACAAGACAGCUCACCCAACUGCAUUCUGAUCUACGGCCAGCAAUGCAUGGGCACCGACGCAUCAACCGCUCUUUCGUUCAUGCAAUGUAGACAAACGUUCUCCGUUGUUUCUUGAGAGGCAUCAACCAAUUUUUUGUUCUACAUUUAAGUGUAAAUAAUGGAAUGCGACAAUUAAAACCUGACGUGCACAGGAGCGCAAUUGGAUCGACAAAUAAUACACCUCAUGUCCAUUAUCAAGGGCCAGCCAGGGGACCAUGGACCCCCAAAUCCCCAGUACCACAGACGCAAUCCUACUGUUUUUGUAUAUAAACAACAAACCCGAACGUGCUGCAUCAGCAGUGAUACGGACUAGCAAGCGCUGUAGUCUUCCACUCAUCCCGGCCAUGGCUUGCUUCAAGCUCAACCCCACGUCCUUCGCGCUCGCCGCAGCCGUCGCCGUCAUCCUGGCGGUGGCGGCGCCGCGGCCGGCGGCCGGGGCGUCGGCGCACCUGCACGUGUACAUGCACGACGUGAUGGGCGACAGCGCGAUGAUGGUGGUGCGCGGCCCGCGGGGCAACUUCGGCAACACGGUGGUGAUGGACGACGUGCUGACGGAGGGCACGUCGGCGUCGUCGGCCGCCGUGGGGCGCGCGCAGGGGCAGUACAUCGUCGCCUCCUCCAAGGGAGGGUUCGAGCUGAUGGUGACCAUGAACGUGGUGCUCACGUCGGGGACCUACGCGGGGAGCUCGGUGACCGUGAUGGGGCGCGACGACACCGGCGUGGCGGUGCGCGAGCUGGCCGUGGUCGGCGGCACAGGGCAGUUCCGGAUGGCGAAAGGCUACGUGCUGUGGAAAACCGUCCGCCCCGACCUGCUGGAGCUCGACAUCUACGUCAACCCAUGAGUCACUGCCCACUGCCCACUCGGCCGAUUCAGCGUGCAUGCGUCAGUGACCUGUGGCAGCAUUACGUAAGUGUUGCGCGUGGUCGUUCAAAAUAAAAUCAGUGUUGCACCUUGUGUUACAAAGCGCUACGUGAAUGUUUGUGAUAUUGUUUUUAGUGUUUCUUUUAUUGUGUCAUUCUUUUUUUUUCGCGGGUGAGUGUCAUUAUUUUUGUUGGUCUAAGUGCAACGGAUUAUGAGCACCUGUCAUAUGUGGAUGCUGCUUGUGUUUGAAUCAAAUAAAUAUUUUGCAACUAUACAAUAAUAAUCAAACAAAAAAAUAUUGCUAUUUUGAAUUUUAAUUCUAAUAUAAUUGCUCUAAUUCAUG
RNAcentral lists this long non-coding RNA (118395 nucleotides) under Triticum aestivum (bread wheat). RNAcentral describes it as "long non-coding RNA (TAES_LNC008787)". The record is from RNAcentral. Lineage: Eukaryota; Viridiplantae; Streptophyta; Magnoliopsida; Poales; Poaceae.